AGCACGACAUGAACCCGAGCUUCACGCCGUGCGUCUCGGUGAACGCGUCCUUGUACUCGGCGCGCAUCGCCAUCAGGUUGGACAUGUUAAUCUCGUUGAACGUCGUGAGCAUCGCGUACGUGUUUUGCGCCGACUUGAGGCGUUCGCUGAGGACCGUUCCAUACGAAGCGAUGUCGGGGUGGAGUUGAAAGGCGUCAGUUGGCGUUGAAAGGCGUCGAGGAUGGGGAUUGAACGCGAGAGGUGGGCGGAGAGACACGCCGGCGAAAGUCCUUAAGGAUCGGCGUUCACCACGCGAACGCGGUCGUAUGGGGACCAGUGUGAGAAGGACGCGCCUGACGCGCAAACGCAGGCGCGUCAUCUUCACGCGCGUCUCCGUGCGGUCGCCGCCGGUCGGAGGUGGUUUCGGCGGCGCGGGGGGCGCGGCGGAAGCGGCGGGCGGCGCGGGCGCGGGUUUGGCCGCGGGUUUGGCCGCGGCUGCCGCCGUCGCCGGCGCCGCGGAAACCGCUUUCGGCUUCUUCGCCGCCGCCGCGCCCGGAACGAACGUCGCGAUCUUCUGCCCGACCGUCACGGUGUCCCCCUCCGCGACGCUGUACUCUCGCACCGUCCCAGAGCUCGGCGCCUUCACGUCGAUCGUCACCUUAUCCGUCUCUAUCUGCGCGAUGACCUCGUCCGUCUCCGCGCUCUCGCCCGGCGCCUUGACCAGCGCCGCCACCGCGCCCUCGGUGAUGGAGUCGCCCAUCUGCGGCACCUCGAUCGCCACGGGCUUCGAAGCCGCGCUCUUCGACGCGGGCGUUUCGGUUUCGGCGGCGGGAGCGGACGCGGACGCCGCCGACGCCGCCGCGACCUGCGCGGCCGCGCCCUCCUCGAUCUCCGCGACCGCCUGCCCGACGUUCACCGUGUCGCCCUCGCUCACGAGCACCUUCGUCAUCGUCCCCGCGACGGGCGAUCGCACGUCGAUCGUCACCUUGUCCGUCUCGAUCUGCGCGACGACCUCGUCCACGGCGACGGCGUCCCCGGGGGCCUUGAGCACCGCGGCGAUGGAGCCCUCCGUGAUGGAGUCGCCCAUCUGCGGGACCUCCACGGUGGACGGCGCGAGCGAGAACGCGCUCGUCGCGAACCCCCGAGAGGCGUGAUGCAUCGUCUGGCUCGUGAUCUCAGAAACGACGAACGGUCGCGCGAUGAUGGACGCGUUCGCCGCGAGCGCGAGCGCGGGCGCGGUCGCGCGCUGCUGCGCGGGGGAGGACGCGCGCCAUGUCGCCGCGCGCGCGGCGACGUGAAUCGGGCGCGCGAUCGCGCGCGUCUGAGAGAAGAAAGGCGCGCGAUGGGGGCGCGGGGCGGGGGCGUCCGAUGUUAGCGAUCAGACGGCGAGCGCGCGAGAGAUAUUUGCUCGCAUCGGCGGGGUUCGGAGGGCGGCGGCGAUCGCGACGCGGGCGGGGUCGAUCGACGGCGAGUCGACGCACCCGCGACGAGGACGCGUUCAGAAGGGUCGCGAGGCGCCGAGCGGCACCGACGCGGUUCGCCAUCGUCGUGUGCGCGAGCGAGCGAAGUGUUCGCCGCCGAGGCGGGGAAGCGCGUUUUGAAAGACGACCGCCACGACCUUUCACUACUGGCGUAAAAAGUUCGGUCGCGAGGUCGGUGGCACGCGCGGCAGCGCGAUGGACGGCGCGCUGCCGUCUGCGCCACUGGAGAGACGCGCGGGACGGGACGCGCGCGCACGGGAGGUCGGCAUCAUGACGAACCCCGGCAUCGAGCGGCGGCUCGUGACCGGGGACGUCGUCGCCAUGCUCAAGAGCGGGAAGGUGCGCGCCGUUCGCCGCGCCCCGCGCGAUCGAUCGAUCGAUCGAUCGGAUCCUCUCUCCGCUCGUGACUGGUUCCCAUACGACCGCGUUCGCGUGGUGAACGCCGUUCCUUAAGGACUUCGUCGUCGUCGUCGUCGUCGUCGUCGUCGUCGUCGUCGUCGUCGUCGUCGUCGUCGUCGUCGUCGUCGAUCACCGAUCUCACCGCCCCCCCCAUCCCCCCGACCUCAUCACCAUCCCCGCAUCAGGACCCCAAGAUCGCGCCCGCGGACCAGCGUCGGUACGUCCUCGAGCUCGCGUGGGCGUUCCUCGGCGACGAGCUCGACGCGUCGCACCUGGACCGCGCGGUGCGCGUCGCGCUCCCGGGCGACGCGUCCGACGGCUCGGACGGGCCGUCGCUCGCGGCGUCCACGACCGCGGACGUCCUCUGGCUCGUGUCGUGCGAGGUGGAGAUGCAGCCGGAGCGUAGGGCAAAGGUCGUGGACCUCGCGAAGGCGCUGUGCGAUGGCGACGACGCGCUGUGCGCGCCGGGGCUGCUCAUCGAGCGAUGCGAGGGCGAGUUUCUGGAGGAGUGCGGGCUCAUCCCGUCCGCGGUGGGAUGGAAGAAGAAAGAAGUUCGGAUCAACACGCGGCUCGUGUACACGCAGAACAAGUUCAACCUGCUUCGCGAAGAGAGCGAGGGGUACUCGAAGCUCGUCGUCGCGCUCGCGGCGUUCGGCGAGCGCGGGUCCGGGGACGACGACGCCGUCGCCGGCGCGAUUCGAUCGACGCAGGCGCGUUCCAUCUCAUCACGCCGGUUCCCGUACGACCGCGUCGGCGCGGUGAACGCCGAUCCUUAAGGACUUUACUUCCCGGCGGUCGCAUCUCUCCGCCCACCCCUUGCUGCUUUCAAUACCCGCCCUCGGCGCCUUUCAACUCCGCUUCUGACGCCUUUCAAUCGCGCGAUUCGAUUCGAUCGACGCAGUCGCUUAUAGGCUACUUCGACUUGGACCCGAACCGCGUGUUGGACCUGGUGUUCGAAGCGUACGAGCGCUGGCCCGCGAACGACGGGUUCGCGGAGCUGCUGCGGCUGUUCCGAACGGAGAACUUCGCGCAGGUGCUCGGGUUUAAGUUUCAGUGCCACGCCAAGGCGGCGGCGGCGGCGCUCGCGGAGAAGGAGGACGGAGAAGCCGGCGAGGACACGGCCGGAGUCCUUAAGGAUCGGCGUUCACAACGCGAACGCGGUCGUAUGGGGACCAGUGUGCUCUCGGACGGCGCCGCGCGCGCGGAGGGCGGCGACGACGACGCCGCCCGCGAAGAGAAGGACGGCACGAACAAAGAGACAUUCAACGCGAACAAGGACAAGGACAAGGCGCCCGCGACGUCCGAGUCGCUGAAAACAACGCCGACGACGGUAACAGUGACGGCCACGCCGAAGUCGUUAUACGUCCUCGCGGCGACGCUCGUGCGCAAGAACCUGGUCGAGAUGGACGACCUCUACGCACACUUGCACCCCGCGGACGACGUCGCCGCGGAGAAACACGCGGCGGAGGUGAGCCGGCGACUCGCCGCCGCGAAGAAGAUUGGCGUCGUGAACCUUCGCGGCGGCGCGGACGACGGCGCGGCGCGCGGUCCGGACCCGUACGUCGUCGCGGCGACGCCGGUCCCGGACGAGACGAACCAGAAGCUCGGUCUGUUGCGCGGCUUCCUCGCGAUCGGCGAUUUACGCGCCGCCGCGUCGCUCCUCGAGCGCCUCGCCGAGCUCGGGUUAGACCCCGCGGAGGACGCGGAGGUGCGCGACGCGCUGUGCGUCGCCGCGAGGGACGCGCUGAAGGAGGCGCACGCGCGCGCGGCUCCCGCGGGAUGCGCCGCCGCGCUCGAGGGCCGCGGCGACGUCGACGGAAGAAAGCCGCCGUCCGCGGAGGGCUUCCCGCUUCCGGACGCCGCGUUCGAGAUUAUCGCGCUCCUCGGCCCGCACGUCCACCACGACGUGAUUCUGUUCACGAGAAUCGCGCGGUGCCUGAAGCAGCACAUCGCGUGGGCGCGGAAGCGCGGCGACGACGCGUCGGCGCGGAGAGGCGAAGACGCGGUGGGCGCGUGCGUCCUCCCCGCGCUCGGGCUGACGGCUUCGAACCCCGGCGCGGUGAACGAGGUGUGGGCGACGCUGGCGUCGCUCCCGGUCACGACGCGGUUUCGGUUGUACUCGGAGUGGAAGGCGGUGUUUUCUUCGGACGCGGAGACGGGCGCGGAGGUGAAGCCCGCGUUCGCGGCGGCCAAGGCGGUGGCGGAGAGCGAUACCCUCAAGGUGAUGCGUCGUCUGUCCAAAGACAACGUGAAGGAAUUCGGCCGGAAGCUCGGGAAGGUGGCGCACGCGAACCCGCUCGCGGUGAUGAACGCGAUCGUGCGUCAGAUCGAGGCGUACACGAACAUGAUCUCGCCCGUGUGCGACGCGUUCAAGUACCUCACGGCGAUGGGGUACGACGUGUUGACGUUCGUCGUCAUCGAGAAGCUCGCGGAGGGGCGAGAGAAGCUGAAGGACGACGGCCAGAACGUGUCGCUGUGGCUCAGCGCGCUCGCGACGUUCUGCGGGCACCUCGCGAAGAAGUACGGCAACGUCGAGCUCUCCGCGCUGUUGCAAUACCUCGUGAACACGCUCAAGGACAACCAGAGCCUCGAUUUGCUCGUCCUGAAGGAGCUCAUCACGCGCAUGACGGGGAACGAACCGCUCGAGGACAUGUCCGACGCGCAAGUCGCCGCCAUGUCCGGCGGCGAGACGCUCAAGUCCGAGGCGAUCAAUUUCAACAGCGCGAUGGCGCCCAAGGUGCGAGCCAAGGGCGUCGCGCGGCUGAGAGACGCGCUGCAGAGGGGCGCGAAGGGCGGGGACUCGCUCACGGUGCCGCUGCUGAUUCUCAUCGCGCAGUGCCGGCAGAACAUCGUGUUCAACACGCCGUCGAAGCACCUGAAGCUCAUCUCUCAGCUGUACGACGGGUGCCAGGAGACGUUCUUUCACUACUGCGACUUUCUCGCGCAGGCGUACGACGACGAGAAGUACGCGAAGAUGAUCCCGUCGCUGAAGGAGCUCGUGCACGACUACGGCAUCGAGCCCGGCGCGGCGUUUCACAUCUUCCGGCCGGUGUUGAGACACCUGAAGCCGCGCCCCGCGCCGUCCAAGGAUAAGCCCGUCGACGUUUGCAACGCCGCGAUCGCGCUCGACAUCGGCGGCGCGAAGACGACGUGGGGCGAACUGUUAGCGGACGUCCGAGGGAUGCUCCCGGAGGUGACGUGGCAGGCGAUAUCCCCGGAGUUGUACUUGUGCUUCUGGGCGAACACCGCGUACGACUUGCACGUGCCCAGGGCGCGGUACGACGCGGAGAUUGAAAAGUGCCGCGCGUCGCUGACGGUGCUCGAGGGCCUCCCGACGCGCGACGUUUCGUCUUCCGAUCUCGCGAAACGGCGCAAGGAGAAAGACCGUCUGCAGACGCUCGUGGACACGCUGCAGAAGGAGCUGGACGCGCAGGAGCGCGCGGUGAGCAAGAAGACCAAGUCGCUCAUGAUCGAAAAAGACGCUUUCCUCGUGGACUUGCCGGAUAUCAAGUCCACGGUGUCUGUGAUCUUGCAGCGGUGCGUGCUUCCGCGGUGCGUCUUCUCCCCAGCGGACGCCAUCUACUGCGCGCGCUUCGCCGAACGCCUCCACGCGCUCGACACGCCGUACUUCAGCACGGUGCAGUACUACAACACCGCGCUGAAGGACCUGACGCAGCUCAUCUUUUCGCGCACCGAGUACGAAGCCGGGAGGCUCGGGAAGUUUUUGAACGAGACGCUGACUCAGCUCGCGCGGUGGAAAGCGGACGAGACCGCGUACGAGCGCGAGUGCGCGAGCAAGAACGGGUUCAAGACGACGUUCAAGGAACCGUCCGGGGGAACGAACGCGAAGCGGGUGACGUACGAGGAGUUCGUGAAGCUCGUGUACAAGUGGCACCUUCGGCUCGCGAAGUGUUUCGUGCACUGCCUGGAGGGCAGCGACUACAUGGAGAUUCGAAACGCGUUGAUGGUGUUGACGAAGAUCGUCAAGGUGUUCCCCGCGAUCACUCGCAUCGGCGGGCACACGCUGCGGAGAGUGGAGAAGAUCAAAGAGAGCGACGAGCGCGGGGAUCUCAAGACGAUCGCCGCGCGGUACCUCGCGAUGCUUCAGAUGGAGCGCAAGGCGUGGCGGCCGGACAACGCGUUCAAUCCGUACCUCCCGCCGGACCCGAAGCAGCAGGAGAAGGACGCGGCCGCGACCGCGACCUCGAAGGGCGGCGGUGGCGACGAGGAGGGCGCGAUCAAGCCCGAGGGGGGCGGCGGGGAGAAGGGCAGCGGCGCGGCUGCGGGCGCGGGCGCGGGGGCGGCGGCGAAGAAGAGAGGAAGAGCCGACGCCGGCAAACUCUCCGCGGAGGCGCCGGAGUUUACCCCCACGAAGGACGCCGCCGCCGACGCGGACGGCGGCGGCGGCGGCUCGAAGAAGCGCGCCCGCGGCGCGAGGGACGCGGACGGGGGCAAGGACGACGGCAAGGGAGGCGCCAAGGGGAAAGACGACCAAAAGUCCGCCAAAGACGCGGGCGGCGGCGGCGGCGGCGGCGGCGGUCGCGGCGGCGGAGGCGGUCGCGGCGGCGGCGGGAGAGAGUCCGAGAAGGAGAAGGAGGAGCGUCUGCGAGCGGAGGCGAAGAGCGCGAAGGAGACGCGCGAGCGCGACCAGAAGCGCCGGAGGGACGACGAGGCGGACGGGAAGGGAGCGAAUGACUCGAACAAGCGCGCCAGGAAGGGCGACGGCGGGACGCGCGGACGGCCGGAUUGGGACUCGGGGAGGGAGCCGGGCGGCGGCGGCGGCGGGCGCGGGAACCGCGGCGGCGGCGGGGGCGCGCACCGCGACGACGAUCGUCGCGGCGGCGGCGGCGGGAGGGACCGCGGCGGUCCUCCGUCGAGACCUCGAGGGCGGCGAUAGAGCGGCGAGCGGCGCCGGUUGUCCUCGAUGAUGGCGAUAUCCGAAAUCCGAUCCGACGUUUCGACGACUCGCACACCAUCUCGCGCGAUGCACGCGUCGUCGUCGCUCCGCUCGCCGCACGUCGCGCUGACGCGCCGCGCCCCCCGAUCGCGUCGUCGCCGACGCGUCGCGACGGCGCCGUCCGCGAUCUCGAAUCCGUUCGACGACGGAUCGAAGCGCGCGGCCGACCUCAAGGACAAGGCGAAGGGCUUCUGGCAGAAGGAAGUCGUCGGCGCGAAGGAUGCCAUGAAGAGGCGGUUCGGCGGCGAGCCCGGCGCGGACACUUACGCGUGCCUGCCUCGCAUAACCCUCGAGGAGGCGGUCUCGGGCGCGAAGAAGCCGCUGACGUACUCGAGGACGAUCGUCUGCCCCGAGUGCGACGGCGACGGCAGAGUAUCUCAGACGUUCAUCGACUGCCCUCGUUGCGACGCCAGCGGGAAGACGUCGGAGACGACGGACGUGACCGUGACCGUGCCGCCCGGCGUAUGCGACGGCGCGUCGCUGCGGCUCAAAGAGAUGGGCGGCGGCGGGACGCCGCCGGGGGACUUGUACGUCAAGAUCGCGGCUGACGACAUGAGCGAGGGCGCGGUCAUUCGACGCGACGGCGCCAACUUGAUCAGCGAUCUGGUCGUUCGCUUCGAGAAGCGCGGCGAGGACACGAGCGCGCGCGUCAGGACGGUGGAGGGGGAACACGGCACCUUGAAAGUGCGCGCGGACGUGGAGGUUGGGCAGGCGUUGCGGAUCAAGGGAAGAGGCGCGCCGGUCAAGCCAGGGAGCGAGGAGAGAGGCGACCAUCUGUUCGUGGUGAAGAAGAUCAUUCAUUUGGACCGCGGUUCGGGCGACGGAGACGACGACGCGGCGUGAAGGCUCUGUGACAUCGCGGCGCACGGAACGUCGCGAUAUAGCUCACCGCGUCUGCGGCAUCGUGGAGAUAGAUAAGCUAUCAUAAUAACUGCAGUACCGCGUCUAUUCUAAAGUAUGCUGCUACGCGCGCGCUCUACCCCGGUGAUGAUAUCAUGACGUCUGCGACGCCGCUGUUUCUCAUCGACGCGACGCGAGCAACAGUCGGUUCUCGGGAGACACGCUCGCGUCGCAGUACGUCGCGACGGUCGCGUUCUGAAAGCCUCUCUCGCGGAGCCACGCCGCGCGACCGGCGUCUAACAGCGCCUUCACCGAACGCCCCGCCGCGGUCUUCUCCGCCUUCGUGAGCUCGCGAGGAUCCGUCGCGGCGGCGGGGGNNNNNNNNNNNNNNNNNNNNNNNNNNNNNNNNNNNNNNNNNNNNNNNNNNNNNNNNNNNNNNNNNNNNNNNNNNNNNNNNNNNNNNNNNNNNNNNNNNNNNNNNNNNNNNNNNNNNNNNNNNNNNNNNNNNNNNNNNNNNNNNNNNNNNNNNNNNNNCCGCCGCCGCCGCCGCCGUGUUCGCUCGAGCCGUCGGUCGCCCAGGACGACAUCUUCGCCAGGAGCGCGAACUCCGCGCUUUUGAACCCCAACCUCUUCACGAACGCCUUGUUCACGUACGCGCGCCAGUCGCAGCGGUGGUGGCAGCACGUCGCGAUGGCCACGCCUUUGGUCGUGAACGUUAUUUUAGUUCCUCCAAAUCCUCCUCCGUCCCCGCUUCCGCUUCCGUCCCCGUCCCCGUCCCCGUCCCCGUCCCCGUCCCCGUCCCCGUCCCCGUCCCCGUCCCCGUCCCCGCUUCCGUCGCUCGUCGAGCGUCUUCCGAAGACGCUCCGCAGCGCCAAGUCCGUCGCGCCGCCGCACAGGUGCUUCCCCGUAAACACGACGUCCCUCCCGUCCACGACCCCGACGCCGGCCACGUCCAGAUCCUUGAUGUCCACCUUGAGGCGCUCGCAGACGACGGCGGCGGCGGGGUCCGAUCCCGGGUUUUCCGCCGUCGUCGGCUCUCGUCGUAUGCUCCGCUCCGCCUUGUUUCGAUACGUCCUCCGCUCCACGAGCACGACGUCGCGCGGUCCGUACGCCUCGCACAGGAAGUGCGACAGGUACCCUCGCCCGGCGCCGAGCUCGACGUAGACCGGCGGCCGCGCGACCGCCGCCGCCGCCGCCGCCGCCGCCUCGGUUCCGGGGCCCCGCGGCCUCGUCUCCUCCACGAGCCCCGCGGACGCCAUGAGCGACACGAUCGCCGCCUGCUGCGUCGCGUGCCUCGCGUUGAACGGCGCGACGUGCGACGGGCGGCGCGCGGUCGCGGCCGGCGCGGGGUCGGUCGCCGACGCCGACGCCGACGCCGACGCCGACGCCGCGGCGGCUUCCGCCAGCGCCGCCGCCGCGCGCUCGCACGCCGGCGCGAUCGCGCGCGACGGCGGCGGCGUCUCCGCGUCCACGCCCGCGGCGACGCGCGCGGCGCGGACGCGGUCGACGAGCGCGCGCAGCGCCUCCCCGCGCGGCAGCCGCGUCGGCGUCGUCGGGUCGGGGAUCCCGUCGUCGUCGUCGUCGUCGCUUCCGGCGUUGACGUCCUCUCGAAAGUAUUCGCGCGACUCGAGCUCGAGCGCGUGCUUCCGCGCCGGGCAACACCUCGCGUGCUUCUCCAUCGCGGUCGUCGCGACGGCGGUGCCGCAGUGCGCGCACGGCGCGCGAGCGGGCCCGUCGACGCGAUGGUUCCCGCACCGCGGCGGGUCGCCGCAGCCCGGGGCGAUGACUUGCCCGCACGCGCGGCGCUUGCGCUCGAUCCAGUGGUCGCAUCGGGGGAGGACGCCGGCGGCGGUUCGAUCCCCGGCGCCGUCGACGACGGCGACGGCGCGCUUCGCGCGCUUCGCCUCCGCGCGCGCGAGCUUGUUGCCUCCCAUGCCGCCGUCUUGGCGCGCGCCGGCGCCGGCGGGAGUGGUGACGAAGAUCUCGUCAGAUCCUACGAUGGGCUUCAUCAGUCGGAUUGAAUCCACGACCGACGCGACGAGCGCGUCUCGGACUCAGAUCCGAGCGCGCGGGCGCACGGCGCGUCAUGAGCGGCGACGGCUCCGACGCCGUCGCGAAGCCGAAGGCCGCCGCUGCCGGCGGCGGCGGCGGCGCGCUGGCGAGCGCGAGCAAGGAGCAGCUCGUGAAGGCGCUGGAGAACGCGGCGAAGAGGGCGAAGAAGGACCAGGCCAAAUUGGCCGCGCUCGCCGCGGAGUGCGAGCGCCUGCGCGAGGAGGCCGCCGCGUCCGCCGCGUCCGCGACCGCGCCGGCCGAGGCGGAGGCGACGCCGCGGCCGGACCCGGACGCCGUCGCCCCUGAGGUUGUCGCCGCGCUGGAAGCGCGCGUCGCCGCCGCGGAGAGGGCGGCGUCCGACGCGUCCGCGAGAUCGCGCGCGGACGCGGACGCCGCCGCGACGACGACGCGCGCGCUGGAGGAGACGCGCGCGAAGCUCGCGGCGGCGGAGAGAGAGCGCGCGGCGAUCGCGAAGCACGAGGCGGCGGCGCGCGCGGAGGCGGCGAAGGCGAAGGCGGACGCGGCGAAGGCGGACGCGGCGAAGGAUGACGACGCGAAGACGAAGGAUGACGACGCGAAGACAAAGGACCACGCGAAGACGCACCGCGACGAGGAGGCGGCCGCGUCCGCCGCCGCCGCCGCGACGAUCGCGUCGCUGCGCGCCGAGCUCGACGCCGCGGCGAAGACCGCCGCCGCGGACGAGCGCUUCCGCGCGGCGGCGACGACGGAGACCGCGGCGCUGCGCGAGAAGUUCGCGAGCGCCGCGCGCGAGGCGGCGACGACGCGAGAGAAGCUGGCGACGACGGAAGCCGACGCGGCGACGGCGUCGGCGUCUCGCGCGACGGCGACGUCCGCGGCGGAGAGAGACGCCGCGGACGCGAAGGCUGCGCUGCGCACCGCGCUCGAGGACGCAGAGAGGAAGGCCAAGGCGUGGGAGGAAGAGCGCGCGCGCGUGAAGACGUCGCUGACGGACGUGAAGAAGAAGAUGACCAAGCUCGACGCGCGCGCGACGACGCUGAAGGCGCGUCCCGUUUGUCGCGCUAGUCCCCGUGCGACCGCGUUCGCGCGGUGAACGCCGUUCCUUGAGGACGUUUCUUCCCGGCGUCGUCACUCUCCGCCCAUCACCCCUCGGUUUCGAUCCCGACAUACCGCGACGACGCCUUUCAACUCCGCUUCUGACGCCUUUCAACUCCACCCCGCGACCGACCCUCAGACGGAGCUCGCCGCGGCGAGGUCGAAAGCCGCCGAAGACGCGGCGGCGCGCGAGGCGGAGAAGACCGCGCUUCUCAGCGACGUCGCCGCCGCGAAGGACGCGGCCGCGACGGCGGCGCGCGAGCACGCGGAGUACAAGACCCGCGCGCUUGCGUUGGUGCGCGCGAAAGAGGACGAGCUGAAGCGCGCGGGCGUCGGCGAGACGCAAUCACGCGCGGCGAAGGAAAUUCAAACCGCGAACGACGCGCGCGACCGCGCCGAGCAGCGCGCGGCGGCCGCGAGAGACGCGCUCGAGGACGCGCUCGUUGCGUCCAGGGACACGGAGGCGACGCGCGCGGCCAGGGACGCGGAGGCGGCGGCCGCGCGCAGGAAGGAGCUGGAGCGGUUGAGGGACGAGCUGAAGGCGGCGAAUCACGCGGCGGACCGCGCGCGAUCGGAGGCGCGUUCUCCUCACACUGGUCCCCGUACGACCGCGUCGGCGUGGUGCACGCCGAUCCUUAAGGACUUUGCCCGGCGCAUCUCUCCGCCCACCCCUCGCUUUCAAUCCCGACACAUCUCGACGCCUUUCAACUUCAAAUGACGCCUUUCAACUCCACCCCGACGUCGCUUCGCACGGAACGACCCCAAGGCGUACGCCGCGCACGCCGCCGCGGACGACGCGCGCGCUUCCGCCGCGGACGCCGAGGCGAACGCGAUCACGGCGGCGGCGGACGCCAAGGCGGAGGCGCGCGUCGCGAUCGCGCAGCUGGAGCGACGCGCGACGGCGGCGGAGGCGGCGUUGAAGACGACGCGCGCGGAGCUGGUCGCGGCGCGGCGCGCGACGGAGGAGGGCGCCGCCGCGUCGAGGCGGGAGGUGGCCGCGGCGGAGAAGGCGCUGGACGACGCGCGCGACGAGCUCGAGACGCUCAGAGCGCGCGUUAAGAAGGCGGGAGGAGGAGGAGGAGGGGCGACGGGGCGCGACGGCGAGGACGUCGGCGCGGCGGCGGCGGCGGAUGGCGAGGGCGAGGGCGAGGCGGCGUCGGCGUCGACGAGCGCCGAGCCGUUUGACGUCGAAGCCGAGGACGCCUAUCAGGCGCGUUCUAUACACUGGUUCCCAUACGACCGCGUUGGCGUGGUGAACGCCGUUCCUUAAGGACUUUUUACGGCGCAUCUCUCCGCCCACGCCUCGCUGCUUUCAAUCCCGACACACCUCGACGCCUUUCAACUCCGCUUCUGACGCCUUUCAACUCCACCCCGACGUCGCUUUGUAUGGAACGACUAUCAGGUGGAGGCGUCCAUCGCGUACAUACUCGGUGAGCCGGACCCGAAGGACGUCGCGGCCGCGCGCGCGAGAGCGGCCGCGGAGGAGGAAGCGGCGCGACGGAAGGACGAGGAUAGGAUGCGGAGGGCGAGCGAGGCGCAUCGCGCGGCGACGGCGGCGGCGACGGCGAAGUCAAAGUCGACCGCGCGCGUCGUCUCCGAGAUCGAGCCCGCCGCCGCCGCCGCCGCCGCCGCCGCCGCCCCGCCUUCGCCCUCGCCCUCCACCCCGCGCGCGUACGCCGACCCGCCGAUGUCGCCCUCGCCCGCGGUCCCGCGCGGGAGCUUCUCCAUGCGAGACCCGGACCCGACGUUGGACGAGGGCGCGUCGGAGUACUUUGGCGAGGCGUUUAGGGCGUUGGAGAGCGUCGCGGAGUUGGCGCCGGAUUUAGGCGUCUCGGCGACGCUGUCGUCGCUGUUCGGGUGGGGGGGUUCCGGCGGCGUCGCGGACGCCGCGCCGGAGCGGCCGGCGGUGAGCUCCGCGGAGAUGGCCGCGGCGAAGCGCGCGGCGGAGGCGGCCGCGAAGCUGGUGCAGAGCGCGCGCGAGGGAAGGACGUGACGACUCGAGAUAAAGUUGGUAUUAAAACGCGUUUGUGACCUUCCAGUCAAUACGGCGCCUUUCGCUUGCCCAUCGGAACCGCGGCGCGUCCCCCUCUCCCGCCGGGACCGGCGCCCCGGCCCGCGCGCACCGUCGGCGCGAACACCCUCCCGUCCCUCCCUCCUCCGCCUCCGCGUUCCCCCGGCCUCCAUCCGUGAUCCCUCGCGCCCCGUCCUCCGGAGACGCCGCCCGGCGGGCCGCGCCUGUCUUCGGUCCGGGGGGGGAACCCUCGGUCGCGCUCGCGCCCGGGUUCCCUUCCGGGCUCGCGCCCGGGUUCCCUUCCGGGCUCGCGCCCGGGUUCCCUUCCGGGCUCGCGCCCGGGUUCCCUUCCGGGCUCGCGCCCGGGCUCCCUCCCGAGCGGCGGGCCCGGGCCGGGGCCGGGCCCGGGGCCGGGCCCGGGCCCGGGGCCCACGCGCGUCGCGGUCCUCGGCGGCGGGCCUCUCGGCAGCGGCGGCGCCGCCGCCGACGCGCCGCCGCCGCCGCCGCCGGGCCGGACCUGGUCCCACCCCGUGCGGCUCUUCGCCCGCGCCGUGUUCGCCCUCGUCGCCGUCGCCGUCGCCGUCGCCGUCGCCGCCGUCGUCGUCGCCGUCGCCGCCGUCGCCAUCGGCCUCGCUCGCUUCCGCGUCGCCUCUGCGGCGGCUUUCAAACGCCUCAUCUCGUCGUCGUCGGCGUUCGCGGCGUUCGUCGCCGCCGUCGUCGUCGUCGUCGUCGUCAUCGUCGUCGUCGUCGCGACGGCGUCCGCGUCGUUCCUGUCUUCCGGCUCGCCGUCCAAGGUGGCCGCGUCGUCGUCCGCGAACGGAUCCUCCUCGUCCGACUCGAUGAUGUCCUGAAUCAGGUGGUCGUCGUCGUCGUCCUCCUCCUCCUCCUCCUUCUCGUCCUUCUCGUCGCCGUCGCCAUCGCCGCGGUCGCCGCCGUCGUACUCCGUCUGCACCGCCCCGGCGUCGAUCCCCGUCUCGAUCCCCGCCUCGCCGCGAUCCUCGCCGCCGGCGGCGUCGUCGCCGCCGACGCUUUGCAGCUGCGCGACGCAGAACGCGAGGUGCUCUUGGAGCAUCGCGUCCGUGAUGAUGGAUUCUCUCGCGCCGCUCCUCGCGUCGGCGGCAUCGGAAGACAAAUCGCCCUCGUCCGCGAACCCUCGCGCGAGGAGCUCCUUCGCGAGCACGCUCGACGUGUGCGUGAACUCGUGCUUCGCGAGGAACGCGGAGAACACCUUGAAGAUCUCCUGCGGGGUGUACCGCGGCAGCACCAGCCGAGGGCGCGGCAGCGGCGGCAUCCCUCUCGCGCGGCGCCGUCUGGCGGGCGAAAUCGUCGGGCGGUCGACCCAGACGCGCUUCCAGUCGUCCUGUCCGCGGUCGGCAACUCCGUCGCGAUUCGAGUUAUCGCGCGCGCGUCUCCGCGUGCGCGCGGCAUUGCCCAGAGCGCGGCGGCACCGCACGGGAUCGCGCGCAGAAGGAGUUCCGCGCACCGCCGAUCCGUCCUCACGCGCGGCGGGGGUCCGAUCGCGAGCGGAGGCGCGGCUCGAGCGGUCAGAUCGUCCGCGGGGGCGCUUGUUACCUGAGAGGCGAAUCUAUCGAUCGCGGCGAAACGAAUCGCGCUCGUCGGGAUCUCGCGCUCGCCGCCGCGGUCUUUCGCCUCUCGGUCAGACCGUCCCCCCCGCGCGAUCCGCGCUUCGUUCUCGGGGCGGACGGCGCGCGGAGGAGAAGGAGAAGGAGAAGGAGAAGGAGAAGAAGGAGAACCGCGCUCGCGGCGUCGUCCCGCGGCGGCGCGGCGCGGAGGACGGCCGUCGCCGUCGUCAUGCAGUCCAUGGCCGAGCUCGAGUCGCUGUGCAACGUGCUGUACAACUCGCACAACCCGGCCGAGCGCGCGCACGCGGAGAACACGCUGCGACCGUUCAGCACGAACGUGGACUACAUCGCGCAGUGCCGCGCGAUAUUAGACGCGGCGACGAGCCCGUACGCGCAGCUGUUCGCGACGUCGUCGCUCACGAAACUCCUGACCGAUCACGACUCGCUCUCGCAACAACUGCGCAUCGACAUGCGCGCCUACGUGAUCAACUUCCUCGCGACGAAGGGCACCGCGCUGGAGGGGUUCGUCGUCACCGCGCAGAUCCAGCUGUUAUCGCGCGUCGUGAAGACGGGGUGGCUCGAGGCGGACGAGGCGCAGAGAGACGUCGCGGCGGAGGUGAUGAAGUUUCUGGAGCAAAACAAUGCGACGCACUAUCACAUCGGUUUGAAGAUCUUCAACCAGCUCGUGAGCGAGAUGAACCAGCAGACCCCGGGGACGUCGCUCAUCGCGCAGAGGAAGAUCGCGGUGUCGUUUCGGCACACCGCGCUUCUGAACAUCUUUCAGAUAUCCCUGCGCGCGCUGCAGUCGCUUCAGAAUGAUCCGGCGUCAGAGGCGAGGCUCAAAGAGAGCGCGUGCGCGUUGACGCUCACGUGUCUCUCCUACGACUUCGUCGGGACCUCUCUGGACGAGUCCACGGAGGACAUCGGGACGAUCCAGGUCCCGUCGUCGUGGCGCGGGAUCAUCGAGGAGCCCGCGACGAUGGCGCUGCUGUUCGACGCGUACAAAGCGAGUUCGCCGCCGGUGUCGAACGCGGCUUUGGAGUGUUUGGUUCGCCUCGCGAGCGUUCGACGGUCGCUGUUCGCGUCCGAGGCUGAGAGGAACGGGUACCUCAGGCGGCUGAUCGCGGGGACGUCCGAGGUGCUGCGACUGAACCAGGGCUUGGGCGAGCACGACAACUACCACGAGUUUUGCCGUCUGUUAUCGCGGCUGAAGACGAACUAUCAGCUCAGCGAGCUCGUCGCCGUGGACGGGUACCAAACCUGGAUCCAGCACGUCGCCGAGUUCACGCUGACGUCGCUGCAGUCGUGGCAAUGGGCGUCGUCUUCGGUGUAUUACCUUCUCAUUCUGUGGAGCCGACUGAUAUCUUCGGUGCCGUACCUCAAGGGCGAGGCGCCGUCGAUGCUCGACGCGUACGUGCCGCGCAUAACGGAGACGUUCAUCACGUCGAGAAUCGACUCGGUGACGGCGGUGGCGUCGGGAACCGCGGAGGAGGACCCUCUCGACAACGAGGAGUCGCUUCAAGAUCAGCUCGAGUCGCUGCCGCACCUGUGCCGGUUCAGGUACGAGACGACGGUUCAGUUCCUCACGACGCUGAUCGACCCGACGAUCGCGGAGUUUAACAUGGCUGCGAACAUGCCGGCAGGGUCGGACCCGAGCGCGCUGAGCGUCGUCGAGGGAAGGCUCACGUGGCUCGUGUACAUCGUCGGCGCGGUCGUGCGCGGACGACUGUCGUGCAGCAGCUCGGAGCCGCAGGAGAGCCUGGACGGCGACCUCGCGUUUCGCGUGUUUCAGCUGAUUCAGGUCAUGGACCAAGGGUUCCACGCGACGCGGUACGGCGCGGAGAGUCGGCAACGGUUGGACCUCGCGGUUUUAAACUUUUUCGGAAAUUUCCGCAAGGUGUACGUUGGCGAGCAGGCGAUGCACAGCAGCAAGGUGUACGUCCAGCUGUCCGAACGCAUGGGGUUGCACGACCACCUCAUGGUCAUGAACUUGACCGUGACGAAGAUCACGCAAAACUUGAAGUGCUUCGCGCAGGUGGACAAGGUGGUCGAGGCGUCGUUGAACUUGCUUCAAGACCUCGCCGUCGGGUUCAUGUCCGGGAAGCUCUUGCUGCGUUUGGACGCCAUAAACGCGACGCUCGCGAAUCACACGCCGGACCACUUCCCGUUCCUGUCGCAGUACGCCAACACGCGCAACCGAACCAUCUUCUACGCCACGCUCGCGAGACUGCUGUUCAUGGAGGACGACGCCGCGAAGUUCGCGCAGUUUAUGGCGCCGUUCGGCGCGUUGUGCGAACAGCUGUCCAACGCGGCGAGGAGCGACGUCAACGCGUUUCGAUCCGACGCCGUGAAGCACACGCUCAUCGGUCUGUUCCGAGAUCUGCGCGGGAUCGCGUCCGCGGCGAACAGCCGGCGGACGUACAGCCUCCUGUUCGACUGGAUGUAUCCGCGGCACGUCGGGCUGCUGCUGCACGCGAUGGAGACGUACGCGGACGACCCGCAAGUCUCGACGCCGCUGCUAAAAUUCGUCGCCGAGUUUGUGUUGAACAAGACGCAACGGCUGACGUUCGAGCCGUCCAGCGUGAACGGGAUCCUUCUCUUCCGCGAGGUGAGCAAGCUCGUCGUCGCGUACGGCCGACGCGCGCUCGCGGCGCCGCCGGUGAAGGGCACGGAGGCGUACCCGCGGCGGUAUAAGGGCAUAUGGCUCGCGUCCACGGUGCUCAUGCGCGCGCUCUCGGGCAAUUACGUCAACUUUGGCGUGUUCGAUCUCUACGGCGACAACGCGCUGAAAGACGCGCUCGGGGUGGCGAUAUCGCUCUCGCUCACGAUGCCCCUAGAGGAGAUCAUGACGUAUCGCAAGGUGGCCAAGUCGUACUUCGCGCUCGUGGAGGUGCUCUUCCACUCGCACGUGCACGUCGUCGCGGCGUGCGAUAACGCGACGUUCGCGCAUCUCGCGCGGUCGCUCGAGGCUGGGUUGCGGUCGUUGGACGUCUCGAUAUCGUCGCAGUGCGCGGCCGCGAUCGAUAACCUCGCGGGGUUUUACUUCAAGGCGGUGAACCCGGUGAUCGGGGAGAAUCCGGCUCAGGGCGCGGAGGCGAUCGCGGCGCAUAUAAACCAGCUCCCGACGUUGUUUCCCGAGAUGCUCAAGACGCUGUUCGACAUCGUGUUGUUCGAGGACUGUUCGAACCAGUGGAGUCUGUCGCGGCCGACGUUGUCGCUCAUCCUCGUCAACGAGGCGCACUACGGCGCGCUCAAGGCGGAGAUCACGGCGUCGAUGCCGCCUUCGAAACGGCCGCUCAUGGACGGUUACUUUGAGAAGCUCAUGGACGGCGUCACGCGGAGCUUGGAGGCGCGGAACAGGGACCGGUUCACGCAGAAUCUGACGGUGUUCCGGCACGACGCCAAGGCGGGGUGAGCGAGGCGCGGCGGACCGGGCUACUAGGAUGAGAGGAGGGUGGGCGCGUGGUUGUGGGUGGGGGGUGUCGUGUUGUCGCGCGCGCGCGCGUCGAUUAGGGCGUAGUCAUGUCGUGGCGUUUAAAGCGAACGCGUCGUCGUCGCGCUUCGAGCGGACGAAGAGUCACGGAAAUCAGUUAAUCCGUUGAUGAGUCACGGAUCGAAUCCCUCUUUUUGUCGGACACGUCCCGCCAGAUCGGACACGUCCCCGCGCGCGCCGCCAUGGCUGACGACGCCGCGGCGAUGCGGACGGUCGUCGCGGAGCUCUUGGAGAGGAACGCGCGCGUGCUCGCGACGCUCAAGGCGCUCGCGCGUCGGCGCGGGGACGCGCCGCCGACGACGGAGGAGGUGGCGCUCGCGAUCGUCGCGGAGGAAAACGUGCGCGAGCUCUGUUCGAGAUCGGACGCGCCCCCCGGGAUCUCGGACCGCCUGCGCGCGUUCGUGGACGAGGCGCGCGCGCUCGGGCUGAUUCCGCCGGAGGCGUCGCCCGCCGCGCCGCCGCCGCCGCGCGCGAUGUCGUCGGACUCGCCCCCGGCGACGCGCGGGGACGGGCGAUUCGACCCGACGCUGUCGCCUAGUCGCAGUGAUGGUCGGAGAGAUAGUUUAGAGUAAACAGUGGUUUGACCGCGCGACGGGUCCGCUCAAGGGUCUAGGGUCUACAGGGGGGAUACGCCGACUCGGGAGGCGUUCUUUUGGAGGGUCAAGAUCGACCCGGAGGCCGCGCUCGGGGCCGUGCCGAGCGCGUCGGGGCGUUGACGAGUCGUCAAACGUCAACUCCGCGACGCCAGAAUUUAAUACGCAUAAUAAGUCUCGUCUAUCUACUCGCCGCGUCGCACACGGAAUCCACCGUGCACGUCUCGAUGAACCGGUCGUUCGCGCCCGCGCGCUCAAACGCGGCGGUCGCGAACGCGGGCAGUCGCGAAGAGCGCGCGACGUAUCGCUUUCCGUCGAACGCGAAGACGUACUCGAGCGAGUGCAACGCGACGCGGCCUCGCGUCUUCGGUUUCGUCCGACGCCGCCGCGCCGCGUCAUCAUCCGCCACGUCAUCCGCCACGUCAUCAUCCACAUCGGCACCCUCCGCGUGCCGCGUCAUCGCCUCGCGCGCGGCCGCGAGGCGCGCGGCGUCGUCGCCGCCGAACGCGCGCGCGUCGUCCGCGCGCGUCAGCGCCGCGAGCGCGAGCCCGCACUCGAGGCACCACGGCUGGUACGCGUCGCGAGUCAUCUUCAGCAGCGUCCUCUCUUCGUCGUCGGCGUACACCGCUCGGCCGCCGGGACACGUCAGCGGAUCGGCGGAUGCGAUAUCUGCGGCGAUAUCCGCGUGAUCGUCGUCGUCGUCGUCGGCGUCGUCGCGACGACCGUCGGCGUCGGCGUCGUAGUCUCGGUCGAAGACGAUCGGGUGGCCGACGUGCGCGAGGUGCGCGCGAAUCUGAGGGUCGUUCCAUACAAAGCGAUGGCGGGGUGGAGUUGAAAGGCGUCAGGUGGAGUUCAAAGGCAACGCGGUCGGGGAUUGAACGCGAGGUGUGGGCGGAGAGAUGGGUGGGCGGAGAGAGACGACCGACGGGCGAGAAAGUCGUUAAGGAAUGAAGUUCACGACGCGAACGCGGUCGUACGUGGACCGGUGCGGAAAGGAGGACGCGCCUGAUGGUACCGCCCGGACUUUUCCAACGCGACGGCCGCGAGCGUCAGUGCCUCCUUCUCUCCGCCGCCGCCCUUCGACGGCACCGCGACGACCGCGAGGGGGACGACGCGCGUCGCCGCGGGCUUCGCGCCGUCGCCGCCGACGACGGCCAGCCCGCGCUCGUCCUUGCGAAGCGGCGCGUCGACGACGAACCCCCCGCCGCCUGCGUGGGUGAAGCGAUCGGCCAGUCGAACGUCUUACCGGUCAACACCACGUUGAAAGGGAAGCGCGGGUGAAGAGCGACGACGGGAAAAAUCCUCAAGGAACGGCGUGCACCACGCGAACGGGGUCGUACGGGGAGCAGUCUCACCCGCGCCGCCGCCGCCGACUUCGACGCGGCCCUUCACGAGAGCGACGUACGUCUUGCGCGUCUCCCCGCGCGCCGCGCCCUUGUGCAGCGCGUCGCGCGCGCGCGCGGACAGACGACUCCCUUUCGCGAGGAUCCACACCCCGGAGACGGGCUUAUCGAUUCGGUUCACCGCGAACAGCGGCGCGUCGUCGUCGUCGCCGCCGCCGCCGCCGCCGCCGCCGUCGUCGCUUUCUUCUCUCUUCCUCUUCGCCGACGCCGACGCCGACGCGCGAAGACGACGCAGCACCGCGACCGCGUUGUUCUCUCCCGCGACGCCCGGGCCGACGCCCGCGAGCGUGGGCAACCCCGGGGGCUUGUCCACGAUCACGACGCGCUCGUCCUCGGUCAACACGACCGGCGCCUCCGCGUGCACGCACGGCUCGUGGACGUGGCGUCGCACGCGCAGCCGCGAAUCUCUCGGCACGCGCUCGUCCAGCGACGCCGGCGUCGCCCACCAGCGCUCCGGGACGUCGCCGCCCGUGGGGAGCCGCGCGAGGACGUCGGAGACGAUCGCGACGCGCCGCGCGUCCAGCUCGCCCUGCCAGUGCGCGCGGUCGCCGCCGCCCUUGACGCACUGCCCUUGAAACGCAUGAUGCCCGACGAGGCAAUCGAGCACGCUCGCGCCCUCCCGAGUGGUCGACACCUUGUAGAUCACGUCCUCGACGUACGGAACGACGUAUCGGAGGCCGUUGACGAUGACGUACUCGCGCGGGGCGUAGGACGUGGACGGGACGGCGUCGAGCGGCUCGACGCCGUCCCGCGACAUGACGCAAUGCGCUCGGAACGAGGACAGAUCUACUCUACGACAAGAAAGCCAAGAAAGGGGCUGAACUCUUCGUGUAUACACGGUAGGGCCUAGAGGCUUGAUAGUCCCGUUUUUAGUAUGUAAAUAAUCUUCGCCUCACUUUGAACCGCCCGCCCCGCACGAUGUCCGACGUGCGCGAACUCAUAAGCUUUGAUGUUCUCUCGUGAUAUGAUACCCUACGUGCGCGAACUCAUAAGCUUUGAUGUCGUAUCGGCAGAUGAUACUUUUAAUGUUGAAGUUGUGAGCGUCAAAGGCCCCAUAACAGCGACAACUGUCGUUAUUCAGGGUCGCCUGAAGGACGCACACUCGCAAAGCCCAACCCGAGCGACCUGGACGCUUCACUACAACAUGGCGACAGACCAAAAAGAGAUUGAUAUUUCCGCAUCAGAAAGCAUGAUUACCCCCUCAAUUCAACAGGCCAUCGCCGAAAGUGUGGUGAUAAGAUACAAGAAUGGUUCUUUAGGAUUUAGCCUACGAUAUGAGGACGAUGAGGACGAUGUUCCCGUUUUUUAGUAUGUAAAUAAUAUCUCCGCCUCACUUUGAACCGCCCCGCACGAUGUCCUCGUCGCCCCCACUCACACGACAGAGUUAAGGGUGAAAUGAACCCGAAGGGUUCAACCCUUUAAGCUCCGUCAAUUCACGCUAAGAAACCAGAAAAGCAGUCACAUCACACAACGCGAAGCCGCCGACUCGAGAGCUUUCGCUCGGAGCUCGCUCGUCGUAACGAAAUUGGACUAUUACAAGUGACACGUCACACACUCGACGGGCGAGGGAGACCUCUCUCCCUCCGCCCGCCGCCUCACUAAACUACCCCGCCGGCGCCCGGCCGCGCCCAUCCGCGCCUCUCUCUUCCGAUCUCAUCAUUCUUUCGGCACUCGCGUCGUCGUCGUCGUCUCGUCAACCGUCGCCGCGCGUCCCGCCUCUCUCUUCGUCGACUCUUCGUCGACUCAUCGACUCGCCGCCGACUUAAGAGUAGUACGGGAGCACCUGGGUGAGGAAGUACGACCACGCGACGCCGGAGAGGCCGCCGACGAGCCAGCCGGAGGUGAACUUCGCCCAGCCGUCUUCGCUCUGCACCGGGUCGCGCGAGAUGUCGCGCCCCGAGAGGGUCUUGACCCCGAUGAUCUCGUCGCGUUGGAACGCCGUCGCGCCGUAGAUGGAGAGGCACGCGGUGAGAAUGAUGACCAGCCCCGCGCCGGAGAGGCACCCCGCGAGCUCGGCGGCGUCGGUGCCGCGGAGCGGGCCGAGCUUAAUGAACGGGCCGGUGAGGAAGAAGCCGUGCGCGAGGCCCACCUCGACGCCGCGCGUGAGCGGCGAGACGCCGGUGCGAUACGCGGGGAGGUUGGAGAGGAAGUUGGCGACGAUCGGCGCGGACGUGACGGGGGUCUCGAGCAUGCCGAUGAACGGGUCGCCGUUGAUCGGCUUGAUCACCUGGGCCUGCGGUCGAGGAGGGCGAUGACGGAGAGGAGAGGCGGUGAGCGCGUCGCGGAUGGAUGAGCGGCUGGUUGAUGGAGAUGGAUCCUCGCGAUGGAACGAUCGAUCGGAUCGAUCGGGCGAUUUUUCGAACGACGACGACGCGGGCUGACGCGCACCUUCUCCGCGGCCGCGCGCACGACGACGGAAGCCUUGGCGGCGCUGCGGUCGGGGAAGACGAGGGGGGGGGGACGUCAGCGGCGGGUUCGAGGGGCGCGCGCGGUCGCGCGAUCGCGCGCCGCGCGCCGCGCGUCCGCGUCUUCAUCAUCUUUUUUUAUCGACCCCCCGGCCGCGCGCUAUCGGCGGAACGGACCCUACUGGGCGCGCGCGGAAACGUCGUCGACGCGCGACGCGCGACGACGCGAUCGAUGCGGGAGCGAACGUACCGCGCGGGGGCGAGGCCGGAGACGCCCUUGCCGAGGAAGGAGCGGCGGGCGGUGACCUGGCGACGGAGAGGAGGGAGGGACGACGGACGGGGAGUGGCGCGGUGAGUCACCGGGGAGUGGCGCGAUGAACGAAAAAUCGCGCGAGCGGAAGCGCGUCUCGGAAUACGCGCGCGGAGCGACGCGCGAGCGCGGCAUCGCGAAUCCGAACGCACCUUGGGCGCGGCGACGCGCGCGGCGACGGACAUGGAGGCGAUGGCGGCCAUUUUUUCUACUGCUGAGGAGUAAGACGAGCGCGGGACGGGUGCGGGAAUGGAUCGCCCGUCGCCCUCGGCGACGCUUUACGGGCUCGCCGCGGCGGAUUUCGCUCCUCUCGCGAGCCAAUAAAAACGCGCGGCCCAGGCACCGCACGCGUUUCAGUCAGGAAAGAGUACGCAGAAAACGUAGUACGAGAACAUCGGUCGGUCGACGCGCGAACCGAAAGAAAUAUUGUCGUUUGACCGCGGCGCACCCCAUCGCUUCGCGCGUCGUCAGUCACGUCGUCGCCGCGCGCCACCUCGCACGACCCGCGGCAGACGUCGUCGCGCGCGAUGUCCGCCACGGACGAGAACGCGCCCCCCGACGCGGAGGGAUCCGUCCCCGCGGACGCGACGGAGCCGGAGCCCGAGCCGGAACCGGAGCCGUUCACGUUCACGGUGACCGUGCUGGUGCGCGCGCGAGCGAAUCUCGUUUUAGCCCCGCUUUUGGACGCACGCAUCCUCAUCAUCCCAUCUGACCCCUCCCCGUCCCCUCCCCCUCGUUCGCGUCCCUCCCCUCCCUCCGCAGUCGACGUCGCCGCUGUUCCCCGCGCCGCCACCGCCGCCCGCGGAGGGCGAGGACGAGCCCGCGGAGCCGCCGCCGCGGCCCGCGCUGAAGAUCCGAUACGCCUUCCCGGGCAAGCCCGACGAGCCGGUCGACGAGGGCCCGUUCGAGUCGCGCGACGACGGCGCGUUCGCGUGCGACGCGACGCGGACGUUCGCGUUCCUCCCCGCGACGGACCGCCCGUCGAUCACGACGCUGCUCAACGCGCCGCUGACGCUGACGCUGAGCCGAGACGACGACGUCGCGAUCGCGACCGCGCGCGUGCCCUUCGACGGCUUCCUCGAGGUGCGUUCUAUCUCACACUGGUCCCCAUACGACCCCGUUCGCGUGGUGAACGCCGAUCCUUAAGGACUUUUGCCGGCGCAUCUCUGCGCCCAUCCCUCGCUUUCAAUCCCCGCCAUCGACGCCUUUCAACUCCAACUGACGCCUAUGAACUCCACCCCGACAUGGCUUCGUAGGGACGCGACGAGGGCGUCGUCCGCCUCGAGUCGAUCGCGCUGACGCGCGUGCCGUUCGAGGGCGAGGGCGAGGACGACGGCGCGGCGGUGAACGACCUCCUCCCGGACGCGACGAUCGCGGUGGAGCUGCGGAGCUCGGAGCUCCUCCUGACGCCCGAGGAGGCGCGCGCGGGGAACGUGCUCUGCCUGCGCGCGAUCGAGCUCUCGCCCAUCCCGGAGGCGCGUUCUAUCUCACACUGGUUCCCGUACGACCGCGUUCGCGUGGAGAACGCCGAUCCUUAAGGACUUUUCCCAGCACAUCUCUUCGCCCAGGGUCCCUCGCUUUCAAUCCCCUCCCUCGACGCCUUUCAACGCCAACUGACGCCUUUCAACUCCACCCCGACAUGCAGACGCUCUCGGAAAAAGAAAACCCGACGGACGACGCCUUCUCGUUCGCCGUCGCGUGCCCGAUACCGGGCUGCGCGGAGGGCGGCGUCGACCCGCUCGUGGCGACGGGCGGCGCGCUCGCGAGGAACCCGCCGCCGUCACCGCCGCCGACGCCGAAAGAGGGGGAAGAGCCCGCGCCGGCGCCCGAGGAGGAUCUGAAGAUGCGAAGGAUCGUCUGGAGCGACGAGACGCUCGUCAAGCGGUGGCUCGACGGCGACCAGGUUCGCGCGUUCAAAGCGUCCGUCAAGGGCAAAGGCGCGCGCGUGCCGUUCGAGGUUGGACGCGUCGUGCGCGACGCGGAGACGACGACCGACCCGUGCUUCCACGCGUACCGCGCGGUGUGCGAGUUGAACCUCGACGCGCUCGUGGACCCGGGUACAGCUGUCACGACGACGUCGGGCGAGCUGCGGCGACCGGACCCGCCGCCGCUCGGCGUCGCCGCGUCCGCCGUCGCGGUCCUGCCGUUCCCGCCGGAGGAGGUUCCGCCGGGGGCGAAGCCGAUCGCGGAGGAGCCGCCGCCGGACGGCGAGUCCGCGUGGGCGAGCGCGUCGGCGCCGCCGACGCUGUCGAUCGAGGUUUCGCUGUACAAGCCGCUGGUGCCGGCGUGGAGGAAGCCGACGCAGCCGGCGGAGGCGGUGGCGGACCUGCUGCCGCCGCGCUCCCCGCUCGGGCCACUAGACCCGAACACGUCAUCGCUGGAGCACUUCCGCGAGGAGGUGCUCGACGCCGCGAGCGCGCUCGCGCGGGAGUACGCGUCGAUGUUCACAGGCGAGCCGUCGGACGAGCUCGGGAAGGCGAAGCGUCGGUCGGACCUCGUGUUCGAGCUCAACCGAAGCGGGAAAUACCACGCCAUCAAAGACCGUCUGAAGGCGGCCGCGCAGGGGAUCAUCAAGCAGCGCUUCCACGCCGGCGGCGAGGGCGUCCAGGGGCGAUACAACGAGCUGUACCAGGCGCGUUCUAUACAAAAGUUUUCACCCAUAGCUCGGUUUCAACACUUGAUCGCGUGCGUCUCCUUUCAACUGACCGAUGAACUAUUUUUGUAUGGAACGACCCUCAGGCGUUGAUCGAGGAGAUGCACGCGGCGCUCAAGGCGCUGGGGAAGCCCCCCGCGGAAAACCUCGCGUCGGACGACCCGGACGACGGCGUCGAUCGCGCCGCGCUCGCGGCGUACAAGGCGUACGCGGACGAGUGCGAGAUCAACGACAAGUUAAACGUCGCGGACAAGUGGCACCAGGAGCGGCUCCUGCUGACGCGUCGGCACCCGGACGUGUGGAGCGACUACGCGGCGUUUUGCGCGCGGCGCGGGCGACGCGGGAAAGCAGAGGAGGCGUACAAGGAAGCGUUACAGCUGGACGGCGAGCACGCGCCGUCGCUGCUCGGCCUCACCGUCCUGACGAUGUGCGACGAGGAGUAUCAACGCGCGGAGGUGUACGCGCACGCGGCGACGACGUCCGCGAGGGCGUCGAGCGCGGACCCCGCGGCGUGGGCGCUGCUCGCGGCUACGUACGAAGGGCUCGAACGCGAGGAGGACGCGGCUAACUGCGACUUUGAGGCUCGGCGGCUCGCCGCGGAGGUGAUGUCUCACGUCUUUGACGACGCGCGGCCGUCCCCCGCGCAGCCCGACGCGUUCGAGGCGGCGGCGCUCGCGUGCCUGGACCUCGCGUGCGCGGCGCCGGCGUCCAAGGUUCUGGACAUGUCGCCCGCGGCGCGGCGCGGCGAGCCCGACGGGAUCACCAGAGCGUUGUGCCUCGCGCGGUGCGCGAUGCUCAGCAAAGCGCACGACACCGCGUACGCGCACCUGAUGCGCGCGCUGGAGGUGGACGCCACGGACCCGCGGCCGUUCGAGCUGCUCGGCGACGUGCAUUACGCGUGCGGCAGGUUCAAGGAGGCGCAGGAGGGGUACACGCACGCGCUCGCGCUCAGCGGCGGCGUGGACAACGUCGGCGGGCACCCGCCGGCGUCGCUCAAGCUCAUCCUCAAUCUCGGCAAAGCGUCGCUGGUGUGCGGCAGGCUCAAGGACGCGCGCGGCGUGUUUAUGUCCGCGUGCGGGGUGUCCCCCGUCGCGUCCACGUGGCUCGGCGCCGGGAUCGCGAUGUGCCGCGAGGGCGACCUCGACGGCGCGGAGGCUGCGCUCGCGGAGGCCAACUUGCUCGACGCGUCCAACGCGGACGUCUGGGGGUACCUCUGCCUCGUCGCGUUGCUCUCCGAGCGCGUCGACGAGGCUGAGCACGCGCUGAACGCGGCGUUUAAAGUCGGCAUCGACCACGCGCCGCUGCUCGCGGAGGUCGGGAGCCUGUUUUUGGAGCGAGGGCGGUGGAAGCACGCGGAGGGCGCGCUGCGGCGGAGCGUCAAGCACGGCGCGGGGGCUGACGUUCGCGUCGCGUUGGGCCGCGCGAUUCACGAGCGCGGCGACGCGGAGAGCGCGCGGUUCGAGCUCUGCGCCGCGGUGGACGCCGCGGGCGGGGAUAAGGAGGUGCUCGUGGGGGCGCUGAGCGCGCUCGUGGACGUGUACGGGGAUCUGGGCGACGCCGCGGCGGCGCAGUCGUGCGAGGACGAGCUCGCGAGGUUGUGAGCGAUGAUGGAUGAAAAAGUGCUCUCUGCCGAAACCAAAAACUAAUAAAGUGCGUGCUCUCCGCCGUUGAACUCUCCGACGCCGGCGCGGACCCGACGUGGACGCUCAAGCUCCACAGUUGUCUGGGUGCGAAGUGUUCCACCAAGACUGAAGGUCUCGUUCUUCGAAUUCCGGACAGUCUGGUUGCGCGACUAUCCACUUGAACGUCGUUUCCUUGCCAUGUUGAUGGGCGUACACGGGCGAGAGGAUAUCCCACUGGCAUCCCUUGGAGCGGAGGUACUUGAGGAUCUUCAGGUGACCGUGCUGCGAGGCUUGCGCGCAAGCCCCUCCGUUGCCGCCCACGGUCUCUAACGAUCCGCCGUUUUCGCAGUAGUACUUCACGCAGUCAAACUGUCCUCGCUCCGACGCGUAUUUUAACGUGCGAUAGUCCCACGGACAGCCGUUCUCGUGCAACCACUCGAGGCAGGCGAGCUGGCCGUUCUCCGCGGCUUAACAACACGUGAACUCGCUCCACGGGCACCCGCGCGAACGCGCGAACUGAAGCACGUCGAGGUGCCCGAAGAUGGCUGCUUUCGCGCACGUCUCCGUGUCGCACGUCCCCGUUCGCGGCGAACACCCGUGAUCGAGGAGCCAUUCGAGCGCUCGGCGAUGGCCCGCCGCGGCUGCGGCGGUGCACGCGUUCGAGAAGACGCGGCGUUCCCUCGAGGGUUGGCGGUGCACGGUUCUGGUGACUCCUCCGAUUUGGAUUGUUCUUGGGUCUUUCGUGGGUUCGGUCGGAACCACGUACGGCGGGCGCGGCGGGUUCGAGGUGGGGUCGCCUCGCUCCGCGAGUCUCGUCAGCGUCUCGAGAUCUCCCUCGAACGCCGCGCGCACGAGCGGGUCGUCUUCCAUGGGGGGACGAUAGGGUUCCGGCUCCAGCCAUAUCGCUCCCUCGCCUUCGGCCUGGGCCUCCUCCGCGUCGUAGUCGCUCAAGUCCAUUUUUUCAAGGCGCGCCGCGUGCUGUCGGAGGGCCUCGGAUUCCAUUCUCAUGUGAUGGUCACGCAUCGCAUCAGAUGGUAUCAAUGGGAUGUCCGGGAUGUCUCCUAAAAUUGUGGCAAGGCGCGGCAUGUCGUCGCGCGCGCGAGUGAGAGUCCGUCCUUCCGUCGUGGUCUCGUCAUCCGAGCGUUUUAGCUUCCGAGGAAAACCAAAAGACAAGACAAGUUGGAGUCGCGCCUCGCGCCAAGAUCGGUCGGUCGCACCUCGUACGAUUUGACUCGUCGAUUAGACCGUCGUUAAGUCGUGGAGGCGUCUGUGGCCCGUGAUCGCCCGAGCGCUUUACCGCUCGCCGUACAGCGCACCGCGGACGGACGGAACAUCGCAUCAUCCCUCGCGCGCGCUUCACGCAUUCGCCCGCGGGAGAUAUGGACGUCGCGGUCAUGUCGCGUCAGGUUCAAGACGCGUGGAAGUCAUGGGAUGCCGCGGUGGCGGGCGCGACGUUCAAAGCGCUGAAGGUGCGCGCGCCGUCGUCGUCGAUUGCCGCCGCGCCGUCGCCGUCGCCGCGUAUGCUUUUUUUCUCGCCCGCUCCUAUUAUCCGUCGCCGCCGCUGACGUCCGUCCGCGCCCUCUCCUCGCCCCGCCCCGGCCCCGCGCAGUUCAUCAACUGGGAGGUGCACCCGAUAAGCCCGGUCACGAAGCACUGGUUCGCGGUCGCGUCCCCGACGGUGCUCCUCACGAGCCUCGCGUUUUACUUCUUCGUCGUCGCGACCGGGUUCAAGGUUCUCAAAAACGUGAAGAAGGAUGCGAACGCGAAGGACGGGCUCGUCCUCCGCGGCGUGGUGAUCUUCCACAACGUCUUCCUCGUGACCCUGUCCCUGUACAUGUGCGGCGGGUGCAUAUUAGAGGCGUACAAGAACGGAUACAGAGUCUGGGGGAACGCGUACGACCCGAAGGAGACGGCUCUCGCGCACUACGUCUGGGUCUUUUACGUGUCGAAAAUAUACGAAUUUCUCGGUGCGCGCGAGACGAGACCGACGCCGACGCCGAGGCUCCCACCAUCCCCGACGCGUCUUCGCUCGCGCGAUCUCCUCUCCAUCUCGCCAUCUCUCUCAUCAAUCGCUGACCGCCCGCGCCCCCUCCCGUCUCUCCCCCCCUCCCGUCUCUCUCGCAGACACGUUCAUCAUGAUCGCGAAGAACAACCUGAAGCAAGUCAGCUUCCUUCACGUGUACCACCACGCGACCAUCUCGUUCGUGUGGUGGAUGAUCGCGCACCGCGCCCCCGGCGGGGACGCGUACUUCUCCGCGGCGCUCAACUCCUGGGUGCACGUGUGCAUGUACACGUACUACCUCAUGGCCGUCCUCGUGGGGAAGGACCAGCGGAAGCGGAAGAAGUACCUGUGGUGGGGUCGGUACCUGACGCAGAUGCAGAUGUUUCAGUUCGCGUUGAACCUCGCGCAGUCCGUGUACACGACGCUGUACUCGCCGUACCCGAAGUUCAUCUCGCAGAUCUUGUUCGUGUACAUGAUAUCCCUGCUCGGGCUGUUCGGGCACUUUUAUUACAGCAAGCACGUGUCGCCCAAGGCGAAGGCGACCGCGGCGGCGGCGACCGCGGACGGCGCCGCGAAAAAGGUGGAGUGAACUGGAGAGACGACGGAGAGACGGGGACGGGGUUCGGGUCGGGGGCGGGUCGGGAGGGGAAGGGAAGGGAAGAGACGCGGUCGCGCGCGUGGGGAGGACGCGGAGGACGACAGAGCGCGAACGAACGAACGAACGAACGAACGAACGCGCCGCGGCUCGGGGAUAGACGAUUUAAUACGACGGACGCGAGGGUUGAAAAGAAGACGAACUCGUAACGACCACUUGAAAUAACACACACACUUGUCUCGUCCAGCACAGAGCACAGACUAGCGCCGCGCGAUGGGCGUCUCCGACGCGGAGAACCUCGCGCGUCUGAGGGACGCGGUCAGGUUCUCCCUCGACGCCGCGGCCGCGCACGACCUGUCGUUCUACCACAGGAACGGCGAGGGCGGCGUGGCGCGGACGCGCGCGAACGUGCGCGCGGGAUGGGAGUUUCUCGCGACCGCCGCGGAUCUCGGGCACGCGGGCGCGAUACGCGAGCUCGCGACCGCGGCGGGCGAGCGGUACGUCCGCGCGCGCGCGGGCGGCGCGAAGACGCUGGAGGCGUUCUUGUCCGAGCUCGAGCGCGAGGACGCGCGACGAGGGAGGCCGUGGGUCGGCGACGGCGACGACGGCGACGACGCUCGCGCGCGACGACGCGCGCCCGCCGCGUCCGUCUCCGCCUCGAGACCGCUCUCCGGCCGCGCGCGCUGCUCGCACGAAGUCCGCGCGCUCGUGGACGCCGCGUCGCGCCCGCGCGGGCCCGACGCGGCCGCCGCGUGGACGCUCGCGUCGUGCCACCGCGACGGCGCGCGCGGGUUGGACGUCGACCCGUCGGAGGAGUGGCGUUGGCGCGACGUCGCCGCCGCCGCCGGCCACCCCGCCGCGCUCGACGCGAUGGAGACCCCGCUCGGGUGUCUCUUCCGCGCCGAGGGCCCGGACUCGCCGCUGUUCAUCCACGUCGCGACCGCGGGCGCGCUGGAGCGCGACGGCGUCACGACCUUCGAGGACGUCGGCGCGUGCUUCGAGCCCGGAUACGACGGCGUCGGCGACGGCGUCGUAGCCAAAUCGUUCGCCGCCGCCGUGUCGUGGUACCGCCGCGGCGCGGACUACAUGGACGCGCGGUCGCAGCUCGCGCUGGGGCUUCGGUGCGCGGCGGAGGGGGAAAAGGGAGGGGAGGGGUCGCGCGCGAUGCGCGCGGAGGCGCUGUUCUGGUUCGUCAAGGCCGCGGGGCGGAUCGAGUACACGCGUCCGACGAGCCGCGACGACGCGUUGACGCUCGGGAGACGGCUCGCGUGCCGCGAGGCGUCGGACGCGUCCGUCGACGCCGCGUACCGCGCGGGGGUGUGCUACGACCGAGGGCUCGGGACCACGGUGGACGUGACGAGAGCCGCGGAGAUGUACCGACGCGCGUGCGCGGGGCUGCACUACGACGCGAUGUGCGCGUUGGGCGUGCUGCUGUUGAUGAAGACGAGAGACGACGACGCGGAGUCGCACCGCGAGGCGACGCGAUGGCUCAGAGAAGUCGCGGACGCGACGGGGAACGACCAGGCCGAGGUGCACAUGGGGAUCGCGUACGCGACGGGGAAGGGCGUGGAGAAGGACGUGGAGCGGGCGAGGGCGUGGUACGCGCGCGCGGAGAGCGCGUACGACGACGCGGCGAUGGCGUUGAGAGAGGCUGGCGACAGAGCUUGGAAGGAGAGAGUUCGCGCCGCGCGCUUCGAAGGCGACGCGCCGACGUGAUAGCGUUCGCAUUCGCAUUAGAGUUCUUCAGCGCGGUUUAAUUCAUCUUCUCUCGUCCUCCCCUCGCGUCCUCCCCUCACGCGGCGCCGCCGACGCUGCCGACGGCGACGUCGACGACGGCGGCGUCGCGAGCGCGCAACUCGCCGCCGCCGCCCGUCGCCUCUCUCGCGAACGCCUUCGCCGCCGCCCUCAGCGACGCCGCGUGCGGUGGCGGCGCGCGGUGCCCGUCCCCAUCGACUCCGCCGCCGCCGACGACGAUCUCGUUCGCCGCCUGCGCGCACGCGCCGAUGAUCGCGCCGACCCGCCCCACGGCGUCCGCGUAGUCCGCGCUGCCGUCGCUCUCUUUUUGCGACUUGAUCGCCGUCUUCGGAUCCGACGACGCGUACUCGAACACGUCGAUCGCGCCCGAGGCGUCCGCGCGGCUCCCGAUCCCCGGACGCAUCACCCCCGGCGCUUGCCGCGCGAUCACCGUCUCGCGCAGGACGGAUCGCGCGAGUCGCAGCUUGCGCGUCGCGGAGCCCGGCAUUGCGGCUAAAAACGCGCGCUUCGACGCCGCGUCCUUCAGUCCUCUCGCCUUCAUGUAACACCGCUUGCACGCGUCGUCGAGCUGCGUUCGGAUCGCGACGAGCCGCCGGUCCGUCGUCCCGCCCGCCGUGGACGCCCCCGCGCGCUCGAGCGCGUCCAGGAGCUCGUCGACGUACGCCAGGAGGACGUGCGCGGCGGCGGCGACGUCUCUCGCGCCCGCGUCCUCGGCGCCGUUGGCGAGCGGCGCCGGCGGCGUCUCCCCGUCGCCGUCGCCGCCGCCGACGCCGCUCGCCGCGAGCUCGAGAAGUUCGACGAGGAACGCCGCGCGCUCGCCGUCCGUGGGGACGUGGUCCGCGAUGAACCGGUACAGGAGCGAGUCGCGGAGGAGGCCGGUCGCCCACGCGCCUGCGGCGACGCGCGCGGGCGUCGCGGGCGUCUCCGGGACGCCGUCGCUCGUCGGCUGGCUCGCGCCGUCCGCAGGCGGCGGCGUCUCCGUCUCCGCCGCGGCGUCCAGCGUCGUCGUUUCGGUGUUCUCAGAUGCCGACGAAACGCCCGACGUUCGAGCGUUAAACACCGCCAGCCGCGCGUUCGCGUCCGCCGCGAACACGUCCACGGCGUGCAGAAAAAACAGCGUCGCGCCGAGCGGCGGCGCGACGGCCCGCGCCGCGCGCUCCCUCUUCUUCGCGCGCUCGCGCGCGCGCGCCUGCGCCUGGCUCGGCGGCGCGUCCUCAUCUCCCUCGUCCUCCUCGUCCUCCGAUCCGUCGAUCGCGCCGCGCGCUGCUCCGGCGUGUCCCGCGCGUCCGCGUCGCCGCGCGGCGCCUCCUCCGUCGCCGCGGCGUUCGCUCUCCUCCGACGCGUCGCACAGCCGCCAGAGCGUCUCCGGCUUGCCCGCCGCCGCCGCCAUCAGCGCGGCGAACCGCCGCCAGUCCGCGGCGAUCCCUCGCUCGCUCCCCGCGCCGCCCGCGCCGGCGUGGCCCUUCUUCGGCGUCCUGUCGCUGUGGUGGUCCCUCGCGCGCGCUUCCGAGUCGAUCGGGGUCCACGUCAGCUCGCACGUCGCCACCGCGGGCGUCGUCCCCGGACCGUCCGCGUCCGUUCCUCCGCGCGGCGUCGAAUCGAUCGGAUUCGAGCGCGUCGUCAUCACGAUCUCCGCGGCCGGGUGCAGCGCGUGGACGCGCUUGAAGACGUCGAUCGUCGCGCGCGCGAGCUUGGCGUCCUCGGAUCGCGCGACGCGCGCGCGAAAUUCGAACGCCUCGAUCGAUUCGUCCUCCUCGGCGUCGUCCGCCUCCGCGCGCGCGCGCCUCCUCCGCGUGGGCGCGAGCCGCCGCCGCAUCAGCACGCGCGCGAGGCGCUCGUAGAAGUACUGCGGCGGGAUCUGAUCGCGCGCGUUCCGGAGGAGCGCGUCGAACGCGUUCACGAACUCGAACUCGCUGCGUCGCGCGUCGUCCUCGCCCUCGUCGCUCAGAUUCCGAGAUUUGAAUCCGCGCUCCGCGCCCUCCGUCUCCAGGAACUUCACCGUGAACGCGUCGUAGACGUGCGGGACGACGCGCACGGUCAGAGGCGCGUCCGCGUCCGCGCCGCCCGCGCGCGUCUUAAGCUUCUUCGGCGGCCGCGCGAAGGACUCGAAGAGCCCGAGCUGUCGGCCGCGAUCGCGCGGGCUGGACGCGCCGUUCGCUUUUUUCUUCUUCGCCGCGCCUCCCCCGCCCGCCGUCGCGCCACCCUUCGCGACGGGGGACGUCUUCGCCGCGGGCGCGCUCGCCGUCGCCGCGGGCGCCUUCUUCGAGCCUUUCGGGGGCAUCGCGAACGGACGCGCGCUUCCCCGCCGCCGCCCGCGUGCCUCGGCGAGUGCGGACCGCCUGCGUCACACGUUGAAAUGGAGCUCCGCCACUUGGCCGCUGGAUAUUUUAUUCGCGCGCAGAUCUCGGAGGCCUCGCCACUCCCUCGUACGCGCGCGACGAUGUUCGCCGUCACCGCCUCCGCGCGCGCCGCGCCCGCCGCCGCCCCCGUGACCCUCCGCGCCGCGUCGUCGUCGUCGUCGUCUUCUUCUUCUCCUUCGCGCGGCGUCGCGCGCGUCGCCCCGCGCGGUUCGAGCGUCCGAUCCCGCGCGUUCGGUUUCGGCAAAGAGUCUAAGAAGACGGAGGAGGCCGCCGCGGAGGACGAGGACGACGAGGACGACGCGGACGACGCGGACGGCGAGGGCUCCGGGAUCGACUUCAAAGGCCUGAAGCAGCUCAUCUCCAUGGGCCUCGGCACGAUCUCCGGGGACAUCACGGAGAUCAACUUCGACAAGGAGAACGCGUCGCGCGCGGUCGUCAUGGAGCUCGAGGCGAACAACUUCGAAGACGCGGAGGGGAACCCGCUCUGGAAGCCGGACGACGUCGGGUUCGUCGGCGACGCGGAGGAGAGGACGCCGAUCAUGAACUACGUCGUUCCGGUGGUGUUGGGCGUCGGCGCCAUCGGCGGCGUCGUCGCGACGCUGAACGCGUUGUAGAGCUCGCGUGCUUGUAAGAAGAGGAUAAACUCGCGUGCGUGUGCGGCCAUUCAGCGGAUCUCGCGCGCUCGACGUCACUUCUCGCCGCGCGCCCCGCGUCCACCCCCCCGUGCAUGGACGCGCUGCAACGCGGGAUAGAAUCGAUUCGCAGAGCGACGGACGACGCUAUACGCGCGAGCGCGAGGAGAGAGGCGGAGAAGGUCGUCGCGAGGAGUAGGCGCGAGGAGGCGACGGCGAGGGAGGAGGCGGAGGACGUUCGAAGAAGCGGAGGCGACGCCGAGGACGCGCGCGGGCGAGGGCGUCGCGCGCCGUACGACCCUCCGACGAUCCCGCCGAUCGAAGGCGAGCGCGAGCGCGAGCCGCCCGCGACGCCGCCGAUCGCCCCCGGCUCGGUCGCGAGCGCGCGGACGCCGCCGCCGUCCGCGCCCGCGCCCGCGCCCGCGCCCGCGUCCGCGUCCGCGAACCCUCGCGCGUCCGCGCCGACGACGACGGCGCCGGCGAUGGCGACGCCGUCGUCCUCGUCCGCGGGCGCCCCCGACGUCGACGUCGCCGUCGUCCUCGCGAGCGUGCAGUCCGAGCUCGACGCGGUGAGCCGACGCCAGGCGUCGCUCCAGGAGACGACGCGCGCGGCGGUCGCGGCCGCGAUGGCGUCCGCGCGAGACGAGAUCUUCGCGAGCGCGAUGGCCUCGCUCGAGGCGACGCUGGCCGCGAAAGCCGAGGAGCGGUGCGUCGCGGUCAUCGCGGAGCAGGUCGUUCCGCGCGUGGGGGAGUCGCUGCGGAAGCUCGACGCGCGGCUGACCGCCGCGGAGGCUGGCGUCGCGGCGCUCGCCGCGAACACGACGCCGACGCAGCCGCAGCCGCCGACGCAGCCGCCGCCGCCGCCGCCGCCGCCGAGCGCCGGGGUGGACGAGGCCGCGCUCGCGUCGCGCGUCCGCGAGCGCGUCGCCGCGGACGUCGCCGCGCUCGUCGGGAAAGUGGAGGCCGCGGAGGUGGAGGCGAUGGAGGCGAAGCGCGCGAGGAAGGCGCUCGAGGAGGAGGUGCGCGCUAUGCGAGUCGCGCUCGACGCCGCGAGCGCGACGGUCGUUCCUCCCCCUCCUCCUUCCGCGGCGCCGCCGGCGCCGUCCGCGGAGCUCGCGGAGCUGCGCGCGAAGGUGGACGUGAUGACGAUGCAGGUCUCGGAAGCGUCCGCGGCCGCGGCGGCCGCGGCGGAGUCGGCGACCAAAGCGUCGCGGGCGCCGGCGCCCGCGCCGGCGCCGGCGCCGGCCGGCGACGCCGCGGCGACGACGCUCAUGGAGCUCGUGGAGCUCAGAGAGCGCCUCAAGAGCGUCUCGAACGCGGUCGAAACGCACGAGAAGCUCGUAGACGGCGCGACGACCGCGGUGCGCGUGAUGGAGACGAGAGUCGCGGCGACGGAGACAGCCGUCGCCGCCGCCGCCGCGGACGCCGCCUCCGCGGUCGCCGUCGCCGAGGGCGCGGCGACGAACGCCGCGAAAAACGCGGUCGAGCACGCGCGGAUCCUCGCGAUGGACGAUCAGCACAUGAUCGAGCUCACCGCGCGAAGAGUCGCGGAGGUGGAGGUGGCGGAGCGGGCGACGAGGGACGAGAGCCGCGAGGCGGACGCGGCGAUUCGCGCCUCCUUGGACGCGUUGUCGGAAAAACUGUCGGAAAAACUCGACGCGCUCUCCGCGCUCUCCACGACGCCCGCGGCGGCGGCGGAGGAAGAGAAGAAGAUCGACGCGCUUGAAGAUACCGCGACGAUACCUUCGCACGACGAGAUCGCCGCGAAGAUCGACGCGCUGGAGAAGCGCGUCGUCGCCGCGGAGGACGCCGCGGCGGCGGCGGCGGCGGAAAAAGCGGCGGCGGAAAAAGCCGCGCCGCCCCCCCCCCAGACCGACGAAGGAACGCUCGUCGCGCGCACGGACGCGAUCGAGGCGGCCGCCGCGGCGCUCUCCGCGCGCGUCGCCGCGCUCGGCGAGCUCGUCGAGGACGACCACGCCGCGGCGUUCAAACGCCACGACGCGAAGCUCAAGUCCGUGGAGCAGACGCUCGUGAAGGAGGUGGCGCCGCGGUUCAAGACCCUCGACGCGAAGGCGCGAUCCGCGGAAAACGCCGCCUCUGCCGCCGCCGCGGAGGCGGGCCGCGCCGCGGACGCGGUCGCGGGGCUCCUCGAGCGCGACAUCGCGAGGGACCAGGAGGUUGCGGACGCGAAGAAGCGCGCGAGCGCGGACGAGGCGGACGCGAUGCGACGUGUCGACGAGAAGGUCGCGAGAGUGCGAGCCGGCGCGGAGGAGGCGACGCGAGAGUGCAAGCUGGCGCUCGAGAAGCUCGGCGCCGACGUCGCGUUUCUCGAGGCGAAGGACGCGUCCGGGGCGAAAGAGAUCGACCUCCUCGCGGAGGAGUGGUCGGCCGCGAGGGCCGGGCUGAAGCGACAGGAGGAGGCGCUGUGGGAGAGCGUGAUGAUGAUUCGACGCGAGGUGGAGGCGGCGUCGCCGAGUCCGAGUCCGUCGACGGGGCGGCGGGGACGGAACGGAAACGCGUUCAAGAAUUUGUUCCGCGGCGGCGGCGGCGGCGGCGGCGGCGGGACGAACGACGGGACGCCGAGCUCGACGAGGAGCGACGGGGGGAGAACCACCCCGGGGGGGUCCACGCCGGGCGGGACGCUUCCUCCGGCGCCGGCGCGAAGAGGUCGACGCGGAGAGAGCGAGACGCCCACGCCGGAGCGGUACGCGAACCCGUUCCUGGACGAGGAUUAAUAAGUUAAAAUCUUUUCGAAGAGUCGUCUUCGUCGCUCGUCGGUCAUCUCGUCAUCUCUCUUCGCUCCUCGUCGUCCUGUGCCCCCCCCGCGUCGUCGCUCUCCUCCGCGUCGACGACGACCUCCGCGUCCAUCGGCGACACCGCGACGACGGCGUCGGACGCGCUCGCCUCGGCCUCGGCCGCGCGCGCGCCCGCCGCGCCCAUCUCGAUCGCGAGGCUCGGUCGCGAAACCUUCGCCUUCGCCUUCGCCGCCGCGGCGUCUCUCUUCGCGUCCUCCUCCUUCGACGCGUCCUUCUCCUUCGCCGCGACGAUCGCGGCUUUCAACUUCGCGAGCUCCUCCUCCGUGUCCGCCGCGUCCGCAGCCUCCCUCGUCGCGGCGUCUUUCGCCACCGCCGCGGCUUUCGUCACCAGCGCGUCGGCGCGUCUGAGGACGACGUCGAGGUCGGCGCGUCUCGCGUCCCCGUCCGGGAGGUCGCGCUCGCGCUUCGACGCCUCCGCGAUCGCGACGAUCGUCUGACUCGCGGCGGACUUCAAGAACUCGAGUCGGUCGCGGUCCGUCGCGGGCGCGGGCGCCGCGGACGUCGAUUUCGAUUUCGACGGCGACUUUUCCGCCGCCGCCUCGUUCGCCGUCGCCCGUCCCGAUUCGUCGCCGGACAGCACCGCGUCCCUCAGCUCCUUCUCGAGCAGCGCGCGCUCCGUCCGCAUGCUCGAGAUCUCUCUGUCUUUCGCGUCGAGGAGCACGCGCAUCUUGUCGAGCUCGUCGUCGUCCGCGUCGUACGACCCCGACCCGGACCAGCCGCCGCCGCCGCCGACGACGACGACGCCGUGCGUUUUCCGCCGCCGGUCUGUUCCGCCGCCGUCGAACGACCCGCUCGGUCCGCUCGCGUACUGCCCGUCCUGUAUCGCGUACUGCGGCCCCAUCCGCUCGCCGUUCAUCCCUCCUGUGCCCCCGGCGGCGGGCGCGGCGGCGGGUUUCUCGCCGCCGCCGGUCGCGGCCGCGGCGUCGCGCUCCGCCGCGAUGAUGUCGUCCAGAGGUUGGUACCGAACCUUCAGACGCACGAGCUUCGCGCGCGACGCCGCCGCCUGGGACGCCGCCGCCGCGUCGCCGGUCGCCGCGGCGUCGUCUCCCGCUCUCUCGCCGGCGGUUCGAUCCCCGCCGCCGCCGCCUCCCGCCUCCCGAUACCCGCUCACGACCGCGCUGGGGAUCUGCCGCACGCCGCUCAGACCGUCCGCGCGAACCGUCUUAGGGUCGUUCCACACGAGCGAUGAUAUCGGGGUGGAGUUGAAAGGCGUCAGAAGCGGAGUUGAAAGGCGUCGAGGGCGGGGAAUGAAAGCGAGGGACCCUGGGCGGAGAGAGACGACGGGAAAGUCCUCAAGGAUCGGCGUUCACCACGCCAACGCGAUCGUAUGGGGACCAGUGUGAAGGAGAACGCGCCUUGUACCCCGCGACGACGCCGCUCGCCGACUUGGACACCACGCCCGUCACCGCGCCCGCGGCUCUUCCGAACCACCCGCCGCCUCGCUUCCCGCCCCCCUUCGCGCCGCCGACGGACUUGAUGUCCGCGCCGAUCGGAGGUUCGAGCUCCGCGGCGACGGGGACGGGGCCCCACUGCGCGAUCGCGACGUCCGCCUCUAAACCCUCCGCGCCGCCGCCGACGGAGGAGGAGGAGGAGGACACCGCCUGACGCAUGAGCUCGUCCAGAACCACGGACGCCUCGCCGUCGAGCCGCUCGGGGGUCACGACGACGCCCGUCUCCUCGUCCCUGACCUCGCGCGUGUACCACCGCACGCACAGCAGCUGCGCGCGCGGGUCCUCCACGGGCAGCGUGAUCUCCUUGCUGCUCAGGACGCCGCCGCCGGGGAGCGCCUUGACGCGCGUCUCCUCCUGGUUUUUCGCCACCAAAAGAUCCGCGACGGGCCAGCGGACUUGCAGCCCGACCUCGCCGGGCGAUAUCGCGCGGCCGUCGUGCGACACCACCUGGAUGUGCAGCAGGCCCGUGUGCGGCUUCUCGCGCUCGCUCUCGCUCGGGAGCGCGUAUCCGGUGCCCGGGAUGGCGACGGUGAUGCACCGCGGCCACACCAUCCACGACGCGAUGAGCGCCUUGAUGUCGGGGUGGAGUUGAAAGGCGUCAGUCGGAGUUGAAAGGCGUCGAGGGCGGGGAUUGAAAGCGAGGUGCGGGUGAAGAGUGACGCCGGGAAAAGUCCUUAAGGAUCGGCGUUCACCACGCCAGCGCGGUCGUAUGGGAACCAGUCUCACCUUGAUGUACGAUCGCAGAGGCACCUUGAGCCCGGGGACGAGCGUGACGUCGCCGCCGACGACGCGCAGGUCGAAGUCCAGCUGCGGCUCGUCCAUGAGCGCGAUCGUCAGCGCGCCGAAGCACGGGAACACGCCGAGGAGCGGCGCGAAGAUGAGACGCAGCGUGAACGUGCACUCGAACUCGGUCAGCGACACGGGCACGCUGUGUGAGGGGCGGAGUCGAAAGGCGUCAGACGCGGAGUCGAAAGGCGUCAGACGCGGAGUCGCGAGGCAGGCGUCGCGGCGGGCGGAGUCUUCUGAAAGCGAGGGACGAGCGAAGAGAAACGCGCGCGACGCCGCGCGCGAGCGAAGACCUCAAGGAUCGGCGUUCACAUCGCGAACGGGAUCGUAUGGGGACCAGUCUCACCUGAGCGCGUCUUGCGCGGCGCGGACGCCCAACACGACGUCCGGGUCCCCCGCCCAAAACACCUGAAGGUCGAUCUCCACGGACCCAUCCCCCGUGGUCUCGUAUACCUUCACGCCCUCGAUGCGCGCGGGGAUGUCCCCGAACGAGAACCGCUCGAACGACAGCGUGGUGAGGAACGACGGACGCGUCGCCUGCAAGAUCGGAUCCAACGCCGCGACGAUGACGUCGGACGUCGCCUGAUCCAGGUACGGCCACGCCGCGGCGAGGACCUUGUUCAGCCACCCGGCUCGUUCGACGUCGCGAAACGCGAGCCACGCCGGGAGCUCGCCCACGAGCUCCUGGAUCUCGGCCUCGUCGAGCAUGGACAGGUCCGCGAGCGCCUGGCGGUUGACGGAUCGAUUCUUUUUCGCGUCGAGGCGCGACUGCUGCCAGCCCAUGAAGAACCCGGCGGCCACCGCGCCGACGCCGAAGCCUAGGACGGCGGCGCCGAACUCGGAGAGCAGCGGCUUGACGAACGCCUGGACCGCGUCGGAGACGAUCGCGGCGUAGUCCACGGGGGACUCGGCGGCGGCGGCGUAGUCCACGGCUUCUCCCGACGACGACGACGACGAAUCGUCGAGCGUCGCGUCGGCGGUCGGCGCCUCCGCGACCGCGGCGCCGAUCCCGCUCGGCUCCGCCUCCGCGUUCGAUCGCAGGCGCUGCUGGUACGGCGUCGGCGGCGUCGGCGCCGUCGCGGGCUCGAGCGCGACCGCCGCGGGCGCGGACGUCGCGACGACGAGCGCCGCCGCGACGACGCCGACGCGCGCGGCGCUCGCGCGGGCGACGAAUCCAAUCCCCCCCGCGUCGUCGCGCGCCCGCCGCUCGGAGUGCGCGUCGUCGUCGCGGGAGGGGGACCGCGUCGCGUCGUCUCUCCGCGCGACGGCGACAACCGCGCGGUCGUCGUCGUCGUCGCCGCCGCCGCCGUCGCGUCGUCGCGUCGUCGCGUCCGCGCGCGCGAGCGAUCCUCUCGGACGCCGCGCGGACGACGCGCGCCGAGCGACGCCGUCGACGGCGGGAGGGAUCCGCCGCGGUCGUCGUCGUCCUCCUCCCUCGCCGCCGCGCCCUCGCGUCGUCGCGCGCGGCGGCGCCACCGCGGCCGCGGCCGCGGACGCGCGCAUCGCGCUCGCGGAGGAGGGGGACGCGCGCCCGUCCGCCCGCGGAGGGGCGUACUGGCGGGGGCGAGCGCGGAACGAACGCCGAGAUGGAAAAAAGCGCACCGAGAAAAGCUGCGAAAAAGCCAGCAGGAAAAAGCAAACAAAGCAAACGACCCUCGGGAGGCCCACGGAACGUUCCCACAGGCCAACCACGCGCCGUACGACGUUUAAUAAGAGAAUUUCCGCGAGAUAUUAUUUUGCGGCGCGUGGCGUGGCACGCUUUCAUCGUCAGCCAGUGAGCGCGCGACACGGCUGAACCGUGAAAUUUCGGUUUGAAGUUUGAAACGCGGCUCCGCGAGCGCUUCAGCGGCGGUGACGCGCUGCGAAGCGUGCACACAACGCGCGGCGCCGCAAGGAAAGGGACGCGCCACGGACGCGCGCGCGGUCGUCUGUUCGUAAUCCGCGCGAGCGAAAGGUACGCGCGCUCGCGUUCCCGUCCGUUUCCCCGCUCGAGCGCGCGCGCGUCGCGCCCCGCGCGCGCGCCGCGCGCGUUCGCGCGCGCCAGAUCACCCGCCCCGCCCUGGUCCUCGCCGGGGAGGGAAAAAAAAAGCGUUGUUUGAAAUCUUCCCGCGCGCGACGACCGACGCGCGCGCGCGUCGUCCCCCGCCGUUCGCGCGCUCACGCAUCCUCGCACCCCACCGCUGACAUCCACAGAACGUGCCGGCGUCGGAACGCGGAGGCGCCAUGGGGAAGAAAGUCAGGGAGCCGCCGGUGUUUUACCCCACCAUGGCGGACAUGAGAGGAAGCUUCGAGGCGUACGUGGAGAGCAUCGAGGAGGACCUCGAGGAGUUCGGGAUCGGGCGGAUCGUCCCGCCCGCGGGGUGGAAGCCGCGGCAGGGGAGCUACGACGACGUCGACUUCACGGUGCCGCAUCCGAUAACGCAGGUGCGCGAUGGAGCGCAUGGAUGCGCGUCGCCUCGAGGGCCACUCGCUCGCGCGUUUGGUUUGAAAAAAAACACGCGUCGCUUUUUCGCGCCAGAUCUCGCGCUGACCCCUCCCUCGUUUCUCCCGUCGCAGCACGCCACGGGGCGGAAAGGGCUGUUCCGGACGCUGCUCGUGGAGCAGAAGCCGCUGUCGAUCAAGAAAGACUUCAAACCGAAGGCGAUGAUGAAGGAAAACAUGCCCUCGGAGGCGGCGAUGCAAGACACCUCGGUGCGCGACCGCAAACGAAGUUUGUUUCCGCGCAACGUUUCCCUCUCUCUCUCCGUCUCGCGCUCUCUCUCGUCGGCCCUCCUCGUCGUCCGCGUCGUCUGACCGACCGCCCCACCCACGUCCCCGCCACCCCGAUCGCCGCCGAAACCGAAACCUCCAGACCCUCGAGCGCGAGUUCUGGAAGAAGGUGACGUACUCCCCGCCGAUGUACUGCGCGGACGUCCCCGGGACGCUGUUCGACUCGAGCAACUGGGGGUGGGACGUCUCGAGGCUCGACUCGCUCCUGUCGCGCACGCUCAAGAAGAAGGGCAUCACGCUCGCGGGCGUGAACUCGUCGUACUUGUACUUUGGGAUGUGGCGCUCGCUGUUCGCGUGGCACACCGAAGAUUUGGACCUGUACAGCGUCAACUACCUGCACUACGGCGCGCCGAAGUUUUGGUACGCCGUCGCCCCCGAGGACCGCGAGCGGUUUGAAAUCUUAGCGCAGGGCAUGGUCCCGGAGAUGUGGCGCCACUGCCCGGAAUUUCUCCGACACAAGGAGCUCCUCAUCUCCCCCACGCUGCUCGAGCAGAACGGCAUCCCGUUCACGAAGAUGAUGCAGCACCCCGGCGAGUUCGUCGUGACGUACCCGGGGAGCUAUCACAGCGGGUUCAACGUCGGGUUCAACUGCGCGGAGAGCUGCAACUUCGCGACGGAGGAGUGGGUGGAGAUUGGCGAAGAAGCGGGGAUCUGCGAGUGCAGGGACGACAGCGUCAGGCUGGACAUGAGCAUCUUCGACGAUAACGUCUGCGCGCGCGUGGACGAGGACGAUUACACCGCGGUGAAGAGAGGGCGGUGCGGCGCGCCGCGGCGAGAGCCGACGCGCGGCGGCGCCGCGGCGGCGGCGGCGGCGAGAGGCGGCAAGACCGCGACCGACCGCGAUCGCGACGAGCGCGUCAAGCCGACGCCGUUGAAACUCCCGAGCGGUCGGAAGGCGAUCGGCGCGGACGUCCUCGUCCCGGAGGGGUGGAAGCGCACGGUCGUGAAGAGGCCCGCGGGGACGUUGAAGAAGAACACCCCGGACGCGGACCGCGACACGUUUUACAGAUCCCCCGACGGAAAGACGCUGAAGUCGAAGCACGAGGUGACGAAAUACUUGGGGUCGAACCCCUCCGCGAGCCACGGCGUCACCGUGAAGGACUUCUUCUUCGAGACGACGCCGAGCGACGCGCCGCCGGCGCGGUUGCUCGCGCCGGCGACGCCGUCGCCCGCGAGCUCGGGGGAAAAGAAGACGUUCGGCGGCGGCGGCCGAUCGACGAGCGGCGGCGCCAAACGCAAACCCUCGACGACGACGACGAGCGCGCAGUCGAAGCGGCGCGUCGCGCCGAAGAGCAAGGCGACGAAGCUCAACGCGUCGAAGUCCUCCGGCGGCGUGGGGAAGAAGUCGUCGUCGACCGCGACGCCGAAGACGAAGAGCAAGCGCGAGUCGUUGAGCGGAUUUUUAUCCCCGCUGAAGCUGUUCGCGUCGUCGUCCGGCGCGGCGAAGCAGCGAAACGAAAAAACGGGAAAGGUGCCGAUGUCUCGCACCGAGCGCGCGGCCGCCGUGGACGUCGCCCCGGAGACGUUCAAGAAGUACAAGCAGGCUGGGCUGCUCGAGAACGCCAUCACGGACGUGCUGCGGCGGGCGGGCGCCGUCGGCAAAGCCGUGCGAGGAUCGUCGCUUGUGAUGCAAGUGGAGCAAGCCUUGGGCGUGGGGAGCGGGACGCUGCGGUCGCACGGGAACCAGAUCCAGACGAUGUCUCGGACGUUGAGUCGCCGCGUGAAGUGACGCGAUUGACGCGUGAAGUGACGCGUGAAGCGACGCGAAGCGACGCGAAGCGGGUUUUGUAUUUUCGGCGAAAUCCGCGGUUGUCUUUUUCAGGCGGGGGCGGCGUCGCGACCGAGUCUCGCCGCGUCCGCCGCGGCUCGCUACGCCGCGAGCCGCUCGCACGCGUCGUCGCGCGCAUCGCACCGCGCGCGCGGCGACACUAGGUAGAUGCAUUCUUUUGGGUUUUGUGUAAUAAGAGCUGCGACGGAUGCGUCUUCUAUUUCCGCCUCUCGUCUCUUCUGUCGAACACUCUGGGCGCGGCUGCUCGUCCGCGCGACACUCAUCAAGACGGUAAGAUGCGCGGCGCCGCCGCUCACACCAGACGGACGCGCUGGCACGCACGUCCUCUCGCGCGAUGUCGUCGGCCGCCUCGCUCGUCGCGCGCGCGCCGUGCGCGUCCGCGCGCGCGGACGCGCGUCGCGCGCCCGCGGCCCCGCGCGCCGUCGCCGCCGCGUGUUCGCCGCGCAGCGCGUCCGCGACCCUCGGAACGUCCACGUCGUCGUCGUCGUCCUCCUCCUCCUCCUUCUCCGUCGCUCGCGUUCUCCGCGGCGGCGCGCGCGCGCGUCGCGGGUCUAUCCUCCGCGCCGCCGUCGAUGCGGACGCCGCGGAAGCGCUCGUCGCGACGACGGAGGAGGCGGAGGCGGAGGCGGAGGCGGAGGACGGCGAGGCGGCGGCGACGUCGUCGGACGACGUUCCACCAGAUAAGAUGAAGACGGUGCCGUCGUCGGCCGUCGAGCGCGACCUCGCGACGGAGGUGAACUCGCGACGGACGUUCGCGAUCAUCUCCCACCCGGACGCGGGGAAGACGACGCUCACGGAGAAGCUCCUGUACUACGGCGGCGCGAUCCAAGAGGCUGGCGCGGUGCGCGCGCGACGCGGCGCGAAGGCGGCGACGUCGGAUUGGAUGGAGAUGGAAAAGCAGAGAGGCGCGUUCUGUUCCUCGCGCCGGUCCCCGUACGACCGCGUUCGCGUCGUGAACUUCAUUCCUUGAGGACUUUCUCUCCCAGCGUUCGUUUCUCUCCGCGCGCCCCUCGGUUUGAAUCCCGACGCACCGCGACGCCUUUCAACUCCGCUUCUGACGUCUUUCGACUCCACCCCGACGUCGCUUCGAUGGAUGGACCCUCGACCCUCAGGAAUCUCGAUAUCGUCCACCGCGCUGUCGUUCGAGUACGACGGCUUCACGCUGAACCUUCUCGACACCCCCGGGCACGCGGACUUCAGCGAGGACACGUACCGAACCGUCAGCGCCGCGGACAACGCGGUCAUGCUCGUCGACGCCGCGAAAGGUUUGGAGCCGCAGACGCGCAAGCUGUUCGAGGUGUGCCGCCUCAACGGCUUGCCCAUCUUCACCUUCUGCAACAAGCUCGACCGCCCGUCGCUCGAGCCGCUCGAGCUCCUGGACCAGAUCGAGCGCGAGUUCGACCUGCCCACGUACGCGGUGAACUGGCCGAUCGGCAGCGGGGACGCGUUCAAGGGCGUGUAUCAUCGACCGACGCGGGAGGUGCAUCUCUUCGACGCGGCGGUGACGAAGGAGUCGCGCGCGAAGAAGGGAGAGGAUAAGUCCACGAAGGGCCUCUCCGUGCUCCCCGUCGGCGACGCGACGCUGACGGAGAGGAUAGGCGAGGAGUUGCACGCGCAGCUGAUGGAGGACAUCGAGCUCCUGGACGAGCUCGGGAGCGACUUGGACCUCGACGCCGUGCACGCGGGGUCGCUCACGCCCGUAUUUUUCGGAUCGGGGAUGAACAAUUUCGGCGUGCAGCUCUUCCUCGACACGUUCUUAGGGUACUCGGUCCGACCGCGCGGGAGAGAGACGAGCGACGGCGUGAUCGGCCCGACCGACGACGCGUUCACCGGGUUCGUGUUCAAGCUCCAGGCGAACAUGGACCCGCGGCACAGGGACAAGGUGGCGUUCGUUCGCGUCGUCAGCGGUAAGUUUGAACGCGGCAUGAAGGUGACCAACGCGCGGACGAAGAAAGCCGUCGCGCUGUCGCGGCCGUCGCAGCUGUUCGGGCAGGAUAAGACCGUGCUCGAGUGCGGGUACGCCGGCGACGUCAUCGGUUUAAACAACCCCGGGAGUUUCGCGAUCGGCGACACGCUGUACACGGGAAAGCGACGGGUGCUGCCGCCCAUUCCGACGUUUUCCCCCGAGCUCUUCGCGUACUUGCGAAACGCGGACACGGGAAAGUACAAGCAGUUUCAGAAGGGCGUCGCGGAGCUCUUGGGCGAGGGCGCGGUGCAGGUGAUGUACUCUCGAGACUCGCUGAAGCAGGACCCCAUACUCGCGGCGGUCGGUCAGCUGCAGUUUGAGGUGGUGCAGGCGCGCAUGGCGCAGGAGUACGGCGUCGAGACGACGCUGGACAUGCUACCGUUCAACGUCGCGCGGUGGGUGGAGGGCGGGUGGGACGCCGUGGACGCCGCGGGGAGGAUAUUCAACGCGCAGUGCGUGAAGGACGUGUGGGGCGCGCCCGUGCUUCUGUUUAAGAACGCGUGGAACGUGGACCAGCUCGUCGCCGACACGCCGGAGAUCGGGACGCUGUCGCCGUUUUCGAAACCUCCGGCGGCGGAUUAAGACGACCCACGUCGUAGUCUAUUUGCUCAUCAUGCGGUUGGAAGAAUAUAAAAGUUGAUACAUUACAUGACUAGUCAUCACGACUGCUCGAGGAGGCGCGCGAGCGCUCGUCAAGUCAUAUUUUAGUCAACUCUGCUGAAUAAAAAACCGAGGGUUCCCAAACCGUCGUUUCGUGCGGAUCGUCGAUCGACGCGUCCGCGACGCGGCGCUUAGCGCAUGAUGACCGCGCCCGGCUGCGACAUCAUCACGCCGCCCAUCAUGCCCUGCUGCGGAGGUUCCAGGCGCUUCUUCAGGUCGAGGUACUCCUGCCCGACCGCGCAGGAGUAGCAGCACAGGUGCGUGCAGCAGUCGCCGCAGCAGCCGCCCGCGAUGUUGUACUUCGCGCGGUGAUUCCCGCGGCCGCUCAUGCCGCAGAUCGCGUAGAGCGGCCGCGCGUAGCACCCGAUCGCGUAGCAGAUGCACUCGCCGUUGCAGCCUUCCAUCGGGCCGAUGAAGCGCGCGUCGCGGCGCAUGUUCGCGUUCGAGCCGUGGACGCAGCACGGGAGGAAGCACGACGCCAUGCACAGGCCGCAGUCGGACUGGCACUCGCACAGCGACGCCUUCCAGAAGCCCAGCCCGGCGUUCUGCAUCAUCACCAUCGCGGGCUGCUGCAUCACCGGCUGCGCCAUCACCGGCUGCGGUUGCGCGUAGCCGUACGUCGGCGCCGGCGCUUGCCCGGGAGGGGGGGGGUAGUACGGCUUCGCCAUCGUCGCGCGCGGGCCGACGAAGAGGCCGCGGGGGUGCGAAUUGUGAAUUCUGGCGACGCGUCACGUCGGCGGUCGCGGUCGGAAAUUAAUAUCCUGCCUCCGCGGCCUCUCGUUUGGCUUCGGUCAUUCGUAUGGCGCACAGUCAGAAAGUACUUUUCGGCGGUACGAGUACGCGUCGCAUCCGCUCCCAACUCAUCAGCUCGCGGCGAGUCGCGACUCGCGAGACAGACCGACCCGCGACGACGCGCGGUCGCGCGCGCGGCGACACCGACACUUCCGCGCGUCGCCGCGCACCACCCCAACGCGCGAUUGAGCGACCGCCGCGGGACGAUGCCCGCCGCGCGAGCGCCGAGCGCGACGCGGUAGCGACGGACCGACGUCGCGUGAGGAGGAGAAGGAACACGUCAUCCAUCGCGCGCGCGCCGUGCCGACCCGACCUCUCCUCCGCGUCGUCCUCGCCGCCGCCGCGCGACUGACUCGACUCGACGAUGGAUCCGCACGCGGUCCUCGGCGUCGCCAGAGGCGCGUCGGACGAGGAGAUCAAGGCGGCGUACCGCGCCGCGGCGAUGCGAUGGCACCCCGAUCGCAACGCGUCGAUGGACGCCGCCGCCGCGAGCGUCGCGGAGGAGCGGUUCAAGCGCGUCAGCGACGCGUACGAACGGUUGAGCGGCGGUAACGGUCACGGCGCGGGGGUCGGCGGCGCGUCGUCGAGAUACCAGAACCACGGUCGCGGACAGACCGGGCGGCGCGAGAGCGGGCGCUACUACGGCGGCGCGGACGACCCGUUUGGUUUUCGCGCGAGAGAGCACGUCACGGGGGACACGCGGCGACGCGUCGAUCGCAAUCUUCGCGUCCUGUACGUCUCGCUCGCGUUUGUAGGGAUGGCGAUAUACCUCGCGCCGACCGCGCCGAGCCCGGCGGAGAUGUCCAGAGCGCGGCGGCGAAGGGAGGCGUCCACGCGCAAGAGAGAGGCGUCGCGGUUUUCGUCGUCGUCGUCGUCGUCGUCGACGUCGUCGUCGACCGUCGUGGACAAGGCGACGAACCGGCUCGCGCUCGGGUCGCCGCUCUUCGCCGCGGGGGCAUCGUCUUAUCGCGACCGGUACCUGGGCGAGAGCGAACUCCGCGCGUCGUUGCGCGGCGGCGGCGAGGAGGGGCCGGAGUGGGCGAGCGGCGGGUACGCCGGGCGCGGGAUACGCCGCAGGGUGCUGCCGUAUCACGCGCGCGGUCGCGGGCGAAUGCGAUCGCGCCACGUGGAAGAUGUGCGCGCCGACGCGCGCGCCGCCGACGCGAACGACGACGACGACGGCGAGGCGCACGACGAGAUCUCGAUGCGGUGCGCGAGGUGCGGGCACGAGCUCCCGCUCGUUCGGAGGUGCCCCGUGUGCGGCGCGCCGACGACGCGUCCGGACAGCGUCGUCGUCGCGACCAGGGCGCCGACGGGGGUGCCGACGGGGGUGCCGGCGAGGGUGCCGAUCGCGGACGCGCAGGACACGGGGUCGAACGUCGGGAGGGGGCGCGAGCGCACGAGAGCCGCGGCGGCGGCGGCGGCGGCGGCGGCGGCGGCGGCGGCGGCGACGGCGGAACCUCCGAAACCCGCGGAACCGGACUGACGAGGAAAAAACGAAGAGGACGGACGUCGUACGACUCCACCGGACCACGAAAACGAUUAGCGAACGUAGCGGCGGCUUCUCAAGCGUAGCGGACGAUAGGCACACACUUCUUCGCGCGCGCGUCCACGGCGCGCGUCUCGUCGUCGCCGUCGUCCCCGCGCGGACUUCCCCGGCGUCGUCUCCCGCGAACCCGCACGCGAGAUCGAUAGACUAAUCAGAUCGGUAAAGCGCAAAAGUCGUUAGGGAUCCAUCCGCGUCACGGCGAAAAACAUCAGACGGAUCGAUCCGAUGGACGUCGACGACGCGGCGAUGAACGCGGAGGCGCGGCGUCUCGAGGACGAGAAGGCGCGCGCCGACGCCGCCGCCGCCGCGGACGCGGAGGCUGAGUUCCGAGCGCUCCAGAGACGGCGCGAGGCGGAGAUCGAGGCCGCGCACGCCGAGCGCGAGAAGCGCGCGCGCGAGCUCGAGGAGACGAGGAGGAAAAAGCUCAAGCCGGGGAAUCGCGACGCGUGCUCGCUGCCGUACGUCGACGGGACGGACCCGCUGUACCGCGCGGCGAGCAACGGCGAUAUCGCCGCGGUGAAGCGCGUGCUGAAGGCGAUGAAAACAAAGCGCGAGCGAUGGGUCGCGGCCAACUCGCGGAACGAGGACGCGGACGAUCAGUCCGCGCUGCACGUCGCCGCGAGCCGAGGUGCGUUCUCCUUACACUGGUCCCCGUACGACCGCGUCGGCGCGGUGAACGCCGUUCCUUAAGGACUUUUCCCGGUGUUUCUCUCCGCCCAGGGUCCCUCGCUCACAAUCCCCGCCUUCGACGCCUUUCAAUUCCCAAGUCUGACGCCUUUGAACUCCACCCCGACGAUCGCUCGUAUGCAACGACCCCGAGGCUACCUGCUGAUGACGCGAGAGCUCCUGGACGCGGGCGCGGAGCUGCUGCCGGACGAGAAGGGACGCACGCCGCUGCACCUCGCGGCGGCGAACGACGACGAGCCGCUCGUGAAGCUCCUCCUGAAGCGCGCGAAGAGGAAGUGGGACGCGAAGACGGCGUUCACGACGGGCGGAUAUUCUCGCCCCGCGGCGCCCGUGCACCUGUGCAAAAAGCCAAACCUUCGAAAGCUGCUCGAGUUUCGAGGGUGCGGCGACGACGACGGCGGCCAGACGCGGAUCAAGGUCGAGGGCGACGGGCGCGGGGUGGAGAUCACGACGUCGAUGAAGAUCGCCGCGGGCGUCGCCGCGUUCGUCGUCGCGCUGUACGUCAGGGCGCGGCGGCAGAUCGAGGAAGGCUAUGCGCGGCCGACGAAGUACGUGCGGUGAGUAGGAGAAGAGAGAGCGCUGUAAACAUCGUCGCGCGUCGAUCGUCGAUGUCGACACGAACACUUCGACGUGGUGUACUCCGCCGCGACACCGCGCCACCUCGCUCGCCUCGACUCGACUCGACCCGCGCUUCGGUUCAGUUGUGCCGCUUCAUCGACGAUAGAUUACUCAGGAGCGUCACGACGCCGUGGCACGUCGCGUCCACGCCCUUCUCCAACCGCGCCCUCAUCCCCGUCGGCCGCAGGUGCGGCGCGUCCAGCGCGUCCAUCACCGCGGCGACCCUGAAUCCGGUCUCCUCGUCGUCCGUCUCCUCCGCCGUGAUGGCCGCGCGCGCGGCGUCGCACGCGCGCCAGCGCGCGGCGCCCGCGACCGCCUCGCAUCGAACGCACGUCUCGUAGUCGGAGAGCAGCGCGCGCAGCGCGGCGCCCUCGACGGCGUCGUCCGCGCGCACGUGCGGUCUCGCCGCCGCGGACAGGCGCCACGCGGCGUCUUCGCGCGCGACGUCGUCGAUCGUGCGCGGCGGCGGCGAGGGCGAGGGCAUCGCGCCGGGGGACGUCGUCGUCGCGUCGGCGCCCGUCGCGUCGACUCGCGGCGGAUCGGGCUGAUCCGCGGGCUGGGACGAGGACGACGACGGCGACGAGACGUACGACUCCGUCGACGCCGCGUCGCUCAUGAACCGCGGGAGGAAGGACGACGCGCGCUCGCGUCCGCGGCGGGGAGGUGGGCGGCGUCCCCGCGACUGACGACGCGGAGGAGACGACGCGCCAGUGAUAAGUAAACCAGACGGUUCGACGGUGCGGUGAACAGUAAACAGAAGUGUCGGCUGCUACAGUACGGUCGCGCGUCGCCCGUCAACCCUCCAGCAACUCCGCCCCCGACGACCGCAGCGCGUCGUGUCCCUCGAACCACACCCCGCUCGGGUCGUCGAGCAGAGCGUCGAACCCGAGCUCGCGCCACGCGAGGUCGAAGCCGCCGACGUCGCCGCCGCCGCCGCCGCCGUCCGCGGGACUCCUCCACUCGGCGCCUUCGGUCGGCUUAGGGUCGAGGGUCCGUGCCAGCGAACGUCGGGGUGGAGUUCAAAGGCGUCAGAAGCGGAGUUGAAAGGCGUCGAGGUGUGUCGGGAUUGAACGCGAGGGGUGGGCGGAGAGAUGCGACCGCCGGGAGAGAAAGCCCUUAAGGAUCGGCGUUCACCGCGCCGACGCGGUCGUACGGGGACCAGCGUGAGGAAAUCGCACCUUACAUGUCACGGCGACGACCUCGCCGUUCAACGCGAACCGCAGCGCCGCGGCGUGGAGGUACGCGCGAUCCUCGCUCGCGGCGGCGUCUUUCCCCGCGUACGCGGCGUCGCCUGCGGGCGGAGAGGAAGCGCGGGGACGGGAGGUGAGCGGCGCGGCGCGGCGAGCUCUCCGGCGCGCCGCCGAGAGAACUACUGUAACUCUCCGACCGGACGCGAAAACCAACUUUAUAGACGAAAACCAGAAUGAAGAGUCCGCGUCGCACCCAACACGGGCGACCCCAACGACUUCGCCGCGACGCGGAGCUGGUGCGUCUUCCCCGUGAGCGGCCGGAACACGAUCAGCCGCAGCGGGCGCUUGGAUUCGCCGUGACCGACGAUGCCGCGGCCGACGAACUGAGGGUCAUUCCAUACGAGCGAUUGUCGUGGUGGAGUUCAUAGGCGUCAGGUGGAGUUGAAAGGCGCCGAGGACGGGGAUUGAAAGCGAGGUGUGGGCGGAGAGAAACGCCGGGAAAAGUCCUUAAGGAUCGGCGUUCACCACGCCAACGCGGUCGUAUGGGAACCAGUGUAUAGAACGCACCCGAGUCUCCGCCGCCGCCGCCGCGCCGCCGCCGCCGCGGCGCUCGUCCCUGGUGAGCUUCCACGUCCCCCGCCGCGACCUCGCCAUGACCCCGCGCACGGUACCCAUCUUCUUCGACGGUCGCCGCGCGCUCAGCGCGACGUAGUACUUGUGCACCCUCCUGCUCGCGAACGCGGCGCCGAGCGCGGCGGCGACGUCCGGACGCUUAGGGCCGUUCCAUACAAAAAAAGUUCAUCGGUCAGUUGAAAGGGACCCACGCGAUCAAAUGUUGAAACGGAGCGAUGGGUGAAACACGUUUGUAUAGAACUAACGCACCUUCGCGAAGAGAAGCGCGCCGCUCGUGACCUUGUCCAGUCGAUGGACGCUGUGCAGCGGCCCGUCGUAGUCGCUCCCGCGCAGCGUCCCGGACGCUUGGAGCUGACGUAUCCUCGCGAGGACCCCCGGGCGGCGCGUCGCGAGGUCGUCGCCGUGGAACGACGCGCCCGCGGGCUUGUGCACGCAGAGCACAUCAUCGUUCUCGAAGACGACGAACGGAUCGGCGACGACGACGGCGUCGGCGUCGGCGUCGUCGACGACGCUCGGCGACGUCGGGGGCGACGCGCGCGCGCGGAUGUGAUCGCGGCGAUGACGCGCGCGGCGCGACGGCGCGGCGAGAGGCGAGGCGCGCGCCGCGGCCGCGAGAGCGGCCAUGCGCGGACUGCGACGACGAUGUUACCGAGAGCGCUGACGAGAGCUUUCGCUUUCGUUCGGGAAAAGUCGUCGAUGUCGCGUACGUGUACGAGACCACAAACUGAUGAAUGUUACCAACUGCUCAUACGAGCGGAGUACGGCCGUGUCCGAACGAGAAUCCACGUGUGCGGGCGUUCAUCGAAUGGAUAGACCGCCGAGCUCUCGCCAAAGGUCGCGCGCGCGCUCCCGCGACCCCGUCUCGAAACUCGCGGUCUCGACCACACGCCGCGCCGAACGGACCGCGCGCGCGAUGAUGCGCGCGGCGGCGUGGACGACGGCGCCGACGCCGACGCCCGCGGCGGGCGUCCGUCCGUUCGCGCGCGCGCGAAAAACAACGACGAGAGCGCUGCCGCUCAUCCAAGCCGCGCACCGUCAGCAUCAUCGUCGUCGUCGUCCUCCUCCUCCUCUCUCGGACGAGCCGCGCGCGCGUCGGCGACGCGCGUCCGCGACGACGCGCGCCGUGACGACGCGCGAGGACGAAGCCGCGACGGCGACGGCCGACGACGACGACGGCGGCGACGCCGCGGACGCGGCGUCCUCCUCGCCCGUCGAGCGCGAUGAAAACGACAUCGAGUGCAUCGCGUGGGGCGCGGGCGCCUACGACCCCGGCCUCGACGAGAGCCUCCUCUCGGAAUCGCGCUGCGACCUCACUACCGCGGUCAAGUUCCGACGCGACGCGGAGUGGCGCGAGUACCAGAGCCCUUCGCGGUACUUCCAGCAGCUGACGACCAUCAACGGCAGCGUCGUCGCGCGUCGCGUCGCGGCGCCGGCGAUCGCCGUCGCGGCGUGGGCCGCCGCGGUCGCGUUCGCGGUCAAAUCCGGGCUCGCGUGGACCGCGGGGAUGACAGCGGCGGCGGCGACCGCGACGCCGUUCUUGUCCGUCGUCGGCGGCGCGGUGUCGCUGCUCAUCGGGUUUCGAACGAACGCGGCGUACGGACGGUUCUGCGACGCCGCGGACUCCUUCGCCGACGUUCUCGGGAGCGUUCGGAAUCUGUCGCGGAAGCUCGCGGUGUGGUGCCCGGAGGCGGACCGCGCGCGCAUGGCCGCGCUCGUCGCCGCGCUGCCUUGGGCGGUGAAAGCGCGAGGGCAGGGCGUGGAGGGGUCCGCGGACGCGACGAUGCGGUUGCGGAGGAUUCUCACGCCGACGGGGCAGUUUGAAUCGAUCGAACCGACGGGCAACGUCCCCGCGCAGGCGCGUUCUCCUUACACUGGUUCCCAUACGACCGCGUCGGCGUGGUGAACGCCGUUUCUUAAGGACUUUUGCCGUCGUCUCUCUCCGCCCACCCCCACCUUUCAAUCCCCGUCCCCGACGCCUUUCAACGCCAACUGACGCCUUUCAACCGCGCAGCUCAUGACGGCCAUCACGCGCGGCCUCGACGCAAUGAACGAACGCAAGGUGGAGCUCAUAUAUCAGCUUCUGAUGGACAACGACCUCACGGCGCUGCACGCGCAGGUGGCGAAGACGGACCGGCUCGCGUCGACGCCGACGCCGGUGUCGUACACGCGGCACAUCUCGCGGAGUCUCAUGCUGUGGCUCCUCGCGUUGCCCGCGUCCGUCGCGACGGUCGCGACGCCGACGCCGACGCUCGUCGCCGCGUUGACCGCGUUCGUCGCGUGGGUGCGUUCUAUCUUACACUGGUUCCCAUACGACCGCGUCGGCGUGGUGAACGCCGAUCCUUAAGGACUUUAUCUCCCGGCGAUUCUCUCCGCCCACACCUCGCUUUCAAUCCCCGACCGCGAUACCUUUCAACUCCGCUUCUGACGCCUUUGAACCUCAGUUGCUGCUCGGUAUCGACGACAUAGGGAUGCAGUUGGAGCAGCCGUACACGGUGAUGGCGUUGGCGCAGUUUUGCGACGAGGUGGAGCGAGAGGUGACGGAGGAGAUCAACGGGAGCGACUGGACGCCGCGCGUGGAGACGCCUCGGGACGAGAUGCUCGUGAGCGAGUAUCUGAACCCGGCGUGGCAGGACGAGGAGAAUAGGAAAGCGCUUCGCGCGAUCGAGAAGUCGGCGGCGUGAAGUCGACCGACCGCGGGGAUAUGGGCGGAGAGACGCGCCGGGAAGUAAAGUCCUCGAGGGACGGCGUUCACCGCGCGAACGCGGUCGUAUGGGGACCAGUGUACAGCACCGCCCGCGCGGGCGGUCGCGGCGAGUCGGAUCCAUCCGUCGCAUUCAUAAAAAUAGUAUAGCCAUCACAAAGGUGACUCAGCGCGGCAGUCGCGAGUUUUCCGCGAGCGCGCAGUGCGAAGACGUCGCGCGUGGUCGUGUCGGUCAGUGAUCUAACAGCGCGACGAGCUUCUUCGUGAUCCUCGCCUCGAGCUCCUCCACGGCGUCGUCGAACGAUCGAUCGAACGCGCGCGGGUCGACGUUUUCUUUUCCCUCCUCCUCCUCCUCCUCCGCGCGGCCCUCGCUCGCCCUCGUCGCCCUCGCGCCGCCGCCGGGCGGGGAGUACCGCGGCCACCCGUCGUCGUCGCGCUCGUCCCCGGACCCGUCCUCCGCGGCGGACGCGUCGCCGUCGCCGUCGCCGUCGCCGUCGCUCGACGACGACGACGACGCGUCGUCGUCGUCGUCCGUGAGCCUCCCCUCCGCCACCGCCGCCGCCGUCGACGCGACGAGCCACGCGUCCAGCCGAUCGUCGGUCGUCGUCGCCGUCGCCGCCGCCGCCGCGCGCUCCUCGCGCCGCUCCACGCGCUCCACCUCGCGCCGCACGGCCCCGCCCUCCUUCCCGCCGCCCUUCGCGCCCUUCGCGCCCUUCGCGGUCGCCGUGGAAACCGCGGGCAGCUCCACGCCGACGCUCUCCAACAGCGCGCGCAGCGCGGCCGUCUCCUUCUCGAGGCUCGCGCAUCGCGCGUUCGCGUCGUCUCUCUCGCGUCGCAGCGUCCGCGCGUGGACCGCGAGCUCGCCGACGUCCACGAUCGCGGUCUCCGGGGCGCCGUCGUCGUCGCGGCCGGGUAGCGCGGCGGUCACGGCGGCGUCCGCGGGGUCGCGCGGCGGCGGCAUCGCGCCGAACGCGUCCAGGUCCGCGAGGCAGGCUACCUUGGUUCGCGUCGCAUCGCGCGCGGGACGAUGAUGUCGCGACCCCGGCUGCGACGCGGCCGCGCCGGGGUAUCGCCGCGGUUUCGACGCGCUGUCGUCCACGAACGACUCCGCGCGGUGCUUCGCCGCGCGGAACUGCUCGAGCUGCGCGCGGGAUCGACGACGGGUUCGCGGGCGGAUCGAGGGACAGGUGAGAUUUGGAAUUUCGAAGCGGAGCAUCAGGAGGGGCGGACGACGACGACGGCGCGGCCGCGCGACGACGACGACGACGACGACGACGACGCGACGCGCUCGCGCGGACGGACCUUCUUCAGCCCGACGUCGCGCAUCGCGGCGUGCGCGGAGCUCGGGGUCUCCAUCGCGCGCGGUCGCGGCGCGGAGUGCGCGCGAGCGGACCACGACGACUGAGCCGACGCCCGGCCGAGCGGAACAACGGUCGUCCCUUCCGCCAGCUCUCGAGAGCGCCGCGCGCCAUUGAUCGAUCGCGCGCCAUGCCGCGCCACGCCUUCGUCCUCGCGCUGUGCGCGCUCCUCGCCGUGGCGACGGCGCCGUCGUUCGCGUCCGCGAACGCGUGCGAGGAAUGGUGCGCGCGAGUCCCCCUCCGACGCGCUCGCCCGUCCCCAUCCCGCGCGCGACUCGAACCCGCUCGAAUAAGAACAGAGUGAAUGAUUCUCGAUUCCGUUCCCUCCUCCUCCUCCUCCUCCGUCCCCAGGACCGCGUGGGAGGACUCGGAGGUCAAGAGCCAGGCGUGGGAGCACAUCGCGCACGGGAACGUCGAGCUCGUGCUGCGUUCGAUCGCGGAGGAGCCGUGCUUCGCGAAGAUGCGCGCGAGGGACGGGCGAGGCCCGCUGCACUGGGCGCACGAGUUUCACGAGCGGCGACUCAUCGACGCGCUGCUCGCCGCGGGCGCGGACGCGGAGGCGACGGACGCGACGGGGCUGACGCCCGCGCGGAUGCCGCGCGCGCCGCCGAUCACAUACACCGCGCCGGAGGACGCGGAGGACGAGAUCGACUACGGCGACGACGACGACGACGACGACGACGACGACGACGACGACGAGGCGUGGAGCCCCCCUCGGCACGACGAGAUGUGAAAGACUGAAAAGACUCAAAGAAUAAAUCACGAUGCCGGCGUGACGUCAUCACACGCGCUCGCACCCCGCGCGCGCGAUGGCGCAGAUCACGACGCGCCUCGUCGCCGUCGCGACGACCGCGUCGUCGCCGUCGCCGCCGACGCGUAAUCUCCGCGCGGCGUCCCCGCGCUCGUCCUCGACGACGACGAAGACGACGACGUCCCCUCGCGAGUACUGCGGUCUCUCGUCGAACCCAUCGCGCCUCCGUCCUCUCCGCCGCCGUCGCCGCGUCGCCGCGACGCCCUUCGCGCUCUUCGGCGUCGGCGCCGCGUCGAAGACCGCGCCGCCGUCCUCCUCGGAGAUCGUUCCCGGGCAGGGCGCGGGGUCGCCGAAGUGGCCGGAGAUCUACGACGCGAUCGCGUCGGACGCGCUCCGCGUGCGGACGAUCGAAGCGUCGGAUCUCCGCUCGUUCCUGGCGUCGCGCGAGGGCGCGCGCGCGACGCUCGUCGACGUGCGCCAGGCCAUCGAGCACGACGAGUGGCGGCUCGCGGGCUCGAUCAACGUCCCGUACGCGAUCCCCGAUCCGUUCUGGCCGCGCAGGGUCGUGGGGUACGCCAUCUCGAUCAAGGGCGGGCUGAAAGGCGCGUUCUAUACACUGGUCCCCAUACGACCGCGUCGGCGUGGUGAACGCCGUUCCUUAAGGACUUUGCCCGGCGCAUCUCUCCGCCCAGGGUCCCUCGCUUUAGAUCCCCGCCCUCGACGCCUUUCAACUCCCAAGUCUGACGCCUUUCAACUCCACCCCGAUAUCAUCGCUUCGUACGGAACGGCCCAAAGUUCGCAACCCGCGGUUCGUCGAGGACGUCGACGACGCCGUGUGCGGCGGCGACGCGAACCGUCGCGGCGAUAAGAAAGCGUGUGUCGUCCUCAUCGACACCAAGGGCGGCGACCUGACCAGAGGCCCGAUACGCGAGGGCAGCGGCACGCUCGACGCGUCCGACGCCAGCUGUCUUCGCGCGGCGUACGAGCUGCGGCAAGCCGGGUACGCGGACGUGCGACACGUCCGCGGCGGGCUCCCUGGCGCGAUCGAGGACGGCGAAUUGCGUUGGGAGAGCGAAACGUGGGGGGACUUUCUUAGGUGGCUGGAUACGUGGAACCCGGACCAGCGGCGGUUGCUGAUGUACUCGCGGCUGCUGCCGGAUCCGACGAAUCUUCCGGGGGUCGUCGGCCAGCUGGCGGUGUUUACGACGAUAGGGCUGGCGUACUACGACGUCGGCGGGAUCGGGACGUGGGCGGCGGCGAACGUCCCGGCGGCGUGCAGCUUCCUCCCGGUGUGCUCGUGACGACGCGAUCGACCGCGGACGCGAUGCGUUCCCGUGGAGGGUAUUAAGUAUUGAAAACCGAUGAUUAGAUCAGACGAGCCGCUUCCUCCGUCCCGUCGCCUUCUCUUCUCUCCCCUCAAGCCCCUCUCCCCGAGUCAAUCGCUCGCUUCUCAUCAGUCAUCCUUCUUCUCCGGCAUCUCCACCGGCACCAACACGGGCUCGUACUUCUUCUCCUCCUCCCAGAUCGUCUGCGCCAACAUCGUCAGGCUCGACAACGCGCGCUGCGUCGUCGUCGCGGGCGCGGGGAACGGCAGACGCACGUCCAGCACCUUCCCGUUCCCGCUCCCGCCGCUCAAGGCCCCGCUCGUGAUGACGCGCACGUCGAACCCGAGCGAGUCGACCCACAGCAUCCGCGCCUCCGCGGGCUCGGCCUCGUCGGGGAGGCUCGCGCGCGCGAAGUUGACGACGUCUUCGUACCGGUCGUUGUUCAUCGCGUCCACGAUGGACGCCGCGUGCGCGCUGAGGGUCGUUCCAUCAUUCAAAGCGACGUCGGGGUGGAGUUGAAAGGCGUCAGAAGCGGAGUUGAAAGGCGCCGAGGUGUGUCGGGAUUGAAAGCGAGGGACCCUGGGCGGAGAGAUGCGACGGGAAAAGUCCUUAAGGAUCGGCGUUCACCACGCCGACGCGGUCGUACGGGGACCAGUGUAAACGUGAACGCGCCUGAGCGGAUCCGCGACGGCGUCCGCGAACGCGGCGGCGUCCACCACCUCCGCGCGCUUGUCGCUCCCGAGGCCGCCGACGUAGAAGACGCGGUCGACGACGAACGCGUAGUAGUCGUCGUUCCUCUGCAUCGCGUCCACGCCGACGUUCUCGCCGUGGACGCGGUCGUACCGAAUCGCCGCCUUCUCCGCGUCCUCCGCGUCGAGCUUCUCGAGCUUCCCGAUGAGCGUCGCGCGGCUCAGCACCCCGGGCGGCUGCGUCGCCGGCUGCACGUACAGCGAGCACCGCGGAUCGGACGCGAUGUUCUUCGUGUGCAUCGCGUCCGCGCGCAUGCGGAGAACGACGCCGCCGUCCUCGUCGACGACGUAGGAGGCGAACGUGCCGAGCGCGACGCCGUCGUCGCACGUGGUGGAGAUGGUGCCCGUGUUGGCGAGGUGCACGAGCGUCUUGGCGCAGUCCGCGGAGGAGGGGCGGAGGGCGUUCGUCGCCGCCUCGAUCGCGGCGGUCUCGGACGCGGUCGCGGUGGUCGCGGUCGCGGAGGCGCGCGCGGAGGACGCGCCGCCGCGGCACCUUGAGGGCGGCGCGACGGACUGAUGAUGGUGAUGAUGAUGUCUGGUCGCGCCGCUCCUUCGCGUCUUGACGGUUCCGUUGGAAAGACGCGCGGGCGCGGACGUCAGCGCCGGCGUCGCGGCGGCGCACAUCGCGGACGACAUGGCGGUGAUCGUGGAGACGUGCGUGGACGGUCCGAUCGGGGGGGGGACGCGCCGCGAAGAGUGCGAGGCGCGAGCGCGUCGCGACGACGACGCGCAAUCGGAAACAGUCGUUUUAUCCACUCGCUGGGAUAUUCGAGAUCUUCGGACGCCAGCCAGUCGCAGUCACGCGCGAUCGCGGGGGGGCGGGGAGGCGGGGGACCGACGCGGCGCGCGCGGACGCGAUCGAGACGACGACGACGACGACGCGUUCGCGGAUGUCGCGGUUUACGUACGCGACGCCCGCUCGCGGGCGUCGCCUCACAUCACAACCGCAGAGCUAAGAACACCACCCCGCCUCUCGCCGACCGAUCCGCGGCCGCCGCGAAGAGAGAGACUCUACUCAUUCCAUCUCCCUCACUUCUUGCCCUUGUUCUUUCGGUUGCGCUCCUUGAUCUCGCGGAGCGCGGCCUCGCGCGCGGCGGCGCGGACCUCCGGCUUCUCCGCGCGCUUCUUCGUGAUCAACUGCGAACGUUGGGCGGGGGACGGGAGGGGGAUCGUCAGGGAGCCGCGGCGGCGCGAGGACGGCGACGAAAGAUUUCUUCUCUCUCUUCACGGAGGGAGCGACCCGUUCCGUUCGCGCGGCGUGGGAAAAAAAACCCGCGUGCGUGAACGUCGCUCGCGGCGAGGGCGCGGGUCGAAUCGCACCUCGAGGUUCGCGCUGACGAGGGAGCGGUUUUGGAGCCUGACGCUGCGCUUCUUCUUGCGCGCGGCGUCCACCACGGCGUCCUGCGAGCGCGCGCGACGAGGGAGGGAGGGGGGAGGACGUCAGCGAUGGUUCGCGGAAACCCUAAAAAAAGCUCAUCUCGCGCGAACGAAACACGCGACGGGGGAUCCGGAGUCGACGACGCGACGUCGCGUCGCCGCCGCCAAUCCGCCCCGACGCGUCGUCUGCACAUCGCGAGGGCGUUCACGCCGCGCACCUUCUUGUGCGCCUUGCGGUACUGCGUCGUCCACGCGAGCUUCGCGGGCCUGAGGCGAAGGUUAAACAGCCGCUUGCACUUCGCGCUGAGGAACAGGUACGUCUGCGAGUCGAUCUUCGUCAGGCGCAUCCCGUGCCCGGGGUAGAUCUUGAGGCCGCUGAAGCGGCACACCUCCGUCUUGAGAACCAUCUCUCUCUACUUCUCCGCGUCCACUGCGUGCCGGUACGUGGCUACGCGCGCGUAUCAAGAGGGACGUCGAGCGAGACGCUCGCGGGUUUUGAGCGAAAACGAAAUGCCUCGCGGUCGGACGAGUUCGAGCUGGAGCUGACCCGCGUCGCGAUUCACGAAGGGUCAAAUUGAGCGAGAAAAUCGACUUCACCCCACGACGACCUUUCAACUGAGAUCGAUUCACCGGAGACGACACAGCAGAAAUGCAGCAGUCUCCGAGAGCUCGCGCGCCUCGACGCUCGGGUCACUCCGCGCGUCGCGCGCGAUGGCGUGCUCGUCGAGCGUCCUCGCGUCGGCGCCGGCGCCGCCGCGCGCGUCGUCGUCGCGGCGUCCCCGCGCCGUCGCCGCCCGCGCGUCUUCGUCUUCGUCGUCGGCGUCGGCGGCGGCGGCGUCGGCGGCCGCGCUCGUGCUGUACACGAAGCCCGGAUGCUGCCUGUGCGACGGCCUGAGGGAGACGCUCGAGGUCGUGAUGCGCGGCGACAGCGGCGUCGCCGUGAGCCCCGAGCUGGCGUCGCUGGGAGGCGGCGUGGAGACGCGCGACGUGUCCACGAACGACGCGUGGGCGGCGCGGCACGCGAUGGAGGUGCCCGUGCUCGCGCUGUCGUUCCGCGCGGAGGGGGAGGGGGAUGGGGAGGAGGAGGAGGAGGAGGAGGUGGAACUUCCGAGGCCGUCGCCGCGGCUCGCGCCCGCGCGGCUCGCCAUCAGGCUGAGCGCGGACGUCGCGAGGGCGAUGAAGAAGAAGGGCGGCGGCGCGACGAGCGCGUCGUCGGGGACGGACGACGAGGAGAAGAAGAAGCCGGGCGGGGGAUGGGCCGUCGUCAGCGAGCGGCCGUUCUAGCGACGAUGAUGACUCAUCACACGUAGCGAAGCCGUGAUGUCUUGUCACCUCGAUCGAAGUCGUCACUCCCCGACGCGCGCGCCGUCCCUCUCACACGAUGCGAUUCGCGAAGGCGAUGCCGCUCGCGCUCGGCGCCGCCGCGCUCGGGCGCUUCUUCGCGACCGCGCGAGCGCGCGCCGCCCGCGCCGCGGCGACGCCGCCGACGCCUCCCAAGGUGCGACGCGAUCCUCGCGCGCUGCGCUGUUCUUUCUCUUCUCUCCCUCGCUCCUCGCUCCGCCCCGCCCGCCCGACCCCUCCUUCUCACGCGCGUCGACGCCCCCCAACCGCUCCUUCUCACGCGCGAAACCGCUCGCAGGCGAAGCGCGUCCCGCACAAGGUCCUCUUCGGCGCGGUCGACGGCGAGAACCGCGGGACGAACCCGAUGCGCCCGCCCAUCGAGCGAGACGACGACCUGUUCUGGCUCCGAGACGACGACCGCAAAGAUCCAGAGAUCUUGCGGCACCUCGAGGACGAGAACGCGCACACGGAGGCGCACCUCGCGCACCUGAAGCCGCUGACGAAGCGUAUCUACGACGAGAUCGUGCGGAGCGUCCAGGAGAGCGACGACGACCUGUCGUUCCCGUGGGGCGAGCGCUUCGAGUACUUCGUGAGGACGCUCAAGGGGAAGGCGUACCCGAUCGUGUGCCGCCGGCGGCGAGGGGGCGAAGAGCGAGAGCGAGAGCGAGAGGAGGUCGUGCUCGACGUGAACGAGGUCGCGAAGACGCUGAAGUACUGCUCGCUGGGCGCGUUCAAGGUGAACGACGCGCACGACGUGCUCGCGUACAGCGUAGACGCGAACGGGUACGAGACGUACGAGAUUCGCUUCAAAGACUUGAACACCGGCGAGCAUCUCCCGGACGUCAUUCGCGGCGCCGCCGGGGGCGUGUCCUGGGGCCACGCGGACGGAGAGGUGUACUACAGCACGCAGGACGAGUCGCACCGAUCGAACAAGGUGUGGCGGCACGCGAUGGGCACGGCGCAGAGCGAGGACGAUUGCGUCUUCGUCGAGGACGACGAACUCUUCAGGUGCGUUCGCGUAGUAUACAAACGUACUGUAUUUCACCCAUCGCCCGGUUUCAACACUUGAUCGCGUGGGUCCCUUUCAACUGACCGAUGAACUGUUUUUGUAUGGAAUGGCUCUUCAGCGUCGGCUUCGGUCGGACCUCCGACGGGAGCCACAUGCUGAUAGAAUCCGAGUCGCAGGAGACGAGCGAGACGCGCGUCGUGGACUUGAGGUCGAAGCCCGCGGGGGAGGCGACGCUGAUGCAGCCGCGGAGGCUCGGGCAUCGGUACUACCCCGACCGACGGGGCGACCGGUGGUUCGUCCUCACGAACCGAGACGGGCGGAUCAACUUCGACCUCGCGUGCGCGCCUCUGAACGCGCCGGGGGAAGAGCACUGGCGCGCGGUCGGGACCCACCCGGGCGCGGGCGAUGCGUUCGAGUGGCGCGAGGGACGGACGCUCGAGACCGUGCGCGCGUUUCGCGACUUUCUCGUGUUGGAGGGGAGAGAGGACGGCUUCAGCGCGAUGUGGGUGUUGCGGUUGCUCCCGGACGACAAGAUUCAUCAGGGGGAAGACGGAACGUCAACCGACGCGCGGGGGGAAGACGGAACGUCGAUCGACGCGUCGUCCGCCCCGGGUCCGGUCGCGGCGAUCGCGUCGUGGACCAAGACGGAGUGGCCGUCCGAGAACUGCUGCGUGUACGCCGCGGUGGCGUCCGCGUCGCUGCCGUGCGUCUCCGCCAAUCAAAAUUUCGACGCGUCGCGUCUGUUCGUCGCGUAUCAAUCGCUCACGACGCCGAAGACGGUGUACGCGUACGACGUGGCGAGCGGCGCGAGAGAGGUGGUCAUGACGACGCCGGUGCGCGGGUACGACCAGAACAAGUACGUCACGACGCGCGUGGAGGUGAGCGUCCGCGACGGCACGAGAGUCCCGGUGUCCAUCGCGUAUCGAAAAGAUUUGCGGAAAAAAAACGGGCCGAUGCUCCUCGGCGGCUACGGAUCGUACGGCGUCAGCAACGACCCGAGCUUCGCGCGCGAGGACGUCCCGCUCAUGGACCGCGGCGUGGUCAUCGCCAUCGCGCACGUGCGAGGCGGCGGCGAGAUGGGACGGUACUGGUACGAGAAGGAAGGGAAGUACCUGAAGAAGAAGAACACGUUUCACGAUUUCGUCGACGUCGCGGAGCACCUCGUGACGACGGGAUGGACGUCCGCCGCGACGUUGGGCAUCACGGGGCGAAGCGCGGGCGGUCUGCUCGUCGGCGCCGCGCUGAACAUGCGCCCGGAGUUGUUCAGGUGCGCGGUCGCGGCGGUGCCGUUCGUGGACGUCAUGGUGUCCAUGUGCGAUUCUUCCAUCCCGCUCACGACGGGGGAGUGGGAAGAGUGGGGGAACCCGAACGAGGAGAAGUAUCACGCGUACAUGGAGAGCUACUCGCCGAUGGAGAACAUCAGGAGAGGGAAGAAGCCGGAAGUUUUGGUCACGUCCGGGCUGUUCGACCCCAGGGUGGCGUACUGGGAGGGCGCGAAGUACGCGGCGCGGAUGCGCGACGCCGCGACGAACGGCGCGUUCGGCGACGGCGAUUGCGAAGGCGAAGGCGAAGGCGGAGAAGCGCCGAGUCGGAUACUGCUCAAGACGGACAUGGACGCGGGGCACUUCAGCGCGACGGACCGGUACAAGCGGUUCAAGGAGAGGGCGUACGAGCACGCGUUCGUGCUUGAUAGCUUGGGGUUAUCGGGCGCGAAGCCCGCGUGGGCGAAGCGAUGACUGGACGAGCGCGCGUACCGUAGACGACGUAGUCGCUUUGUUGUCUAUUUUAAUCUCGUCGCCUCUCGUCGAUCGAUUCGAUUCAUCGUCCGCUCCUAAACCACCCGAACCACCCUCUCCGCUCCGGCUCCGGCUUCUUCCUCACCGGCGCGGGAAGGUCUAAGAACAGGUAUGGCUCCUCCGGCUCCUCCCCCGGCUUCGACGUCACGCACCGGUACGCCACCCUGAACGCCGCCGGGACGGUGAUGAGCCGGUUCCCCGUGAAGAGCGCUUCGACGACGUCCUCGACGCGAUCGUUGCAUCGAUGCGGCCUCGCCUCGUUCCUCGUGUCCAGCAGGAUCUCGCCCUGAUGCGCGCGGUACGGCGACCGCGCCGCCGCGCCGCCGCGCUCGCCGCCCUUCUUCUUACCGCCCUUCUCGCCGCCGUCGGGGCUGAACCGCCGCCUCAGCUCGUCCUCGCGCUCCUUCGUCAUCGGGACGUCGCCGCCGAGCGGAUUCGGGCUCGCGCGCGGCCCCGGCGGCGCCGCGGGCCCGGCGUCCGGCGUCGCCGUGGACAUCCGGUUGCCCAUCUCGCGAGGGGGGCGAGGGAGGUCGCGACGCGCGCGAUCGCGGCGGCGCGAGACGCGAUGGCGCGCGCCGGCGCGUCGAGGAGUGAUGGGGCGGCGUCGCGACGGCAAUCGCGCACUUCCUGGAAUUUUCUGUUCAUCGCUCGAGGCGCGCGCGAGCGCGCGUGCCGUCAUUAUUGAGUGACACGCCACGCGUCGCCGGCGACCAUGACGAGGCCCCGCCUCGUCGCGCCGCUCGUCGCGCUCGCGAUGGCGCUCGCGCCGCUGAUCGCCGAGGCGGCGUGGCUCGACGACGCGCUCGGCGGGCUGACGCGCGGGGGAACCGGCGAGAGCGCGCCGUCGACGAGCGACGACGCGACGAUAAUUCUUCAGAAUGAUGACGCGAAAAUGACGUCGUCGUCGUCGACCGCGUCGUCGUCGUCUUCGUCGUCGUCCCUCGCGCGGCUCCUCCUGAACCUCCUCCUCCGCGUCGCGUCGCGCCUCGACUCCGUCGUCGUCGCCGCGUGCGUCACCUACGUCGCGCUCGCGAUCGCGCGCCGCCGGCACGCGCGCGCGAUGCGCCAGGCGAGAUCCGCCAUGACGCACCUCCGCGAGCGCGACGCGACGUGCGCGUCCGUCGAGCGCGGGAUGAUGGACUGGAUGAACCACGCGCUGCGGCACCAGUGGCGCAGCGUCAUCGCGGACGUCGUCGACGCGCGCGCGAGGGAGACGAUGGAGGAGGCGCUGCGCGAGGACGCGCGAGCCGCGAGCCGCGGCGUCGUGCGCGAGGCGUCAGUCGCGGAGUGUUCGCUGGGCGUCGUCCCGCCGACGCUGCGCCUCUACGCCGCGCGGUCGUCGCCGUCGUCCAACCACAUCCAGUUCGAGUUCGACCUGGAGUGGCAGACGGUGCAGUCGCAGAUCGUGGUGCGCGCGGUCGUGCAGCCCGCGAAGUUCGUGCCAGCUGUGCGCGUCCCCGUGAGAGUCACCGACCUCGCGAUCGAGGGGCGGGUGCUGAUCGGAUUCAGGCGCGUUCGUUCGCGUUCACACUGGUCCCCAUACGACCGCGUUCGCGAAGUGAUCGCCGUUCCUUGAGGACUUGUCACUCUCUCGGCGCAUCUCUCCGCGCACCCCUCGCGUUCGAUCCCUCCCGACGCGCCUCGACGCCUUUCGACUCCGCCCCUGACGCCUUUGAACUCCGCCCGACCCUCAGGCUCGUCGACCGCGCGCCGGGGGUGGGCGGCGUCGAGGUGUCGUUCGUCGGCCGCCCGAACGUGAGCGUGCAGGUGGCGCCGUGCGGGAUCGCGCUCGGGGACGUCCCGGGCGUGCACGAGUUCAUCCGCGGGAAGAUCGCGGACGCGUUGAAGGAAAAAUACGUCGAGCCGCGGCGGUUUUACAAAGACGUGGAGAGGGCGUUCUUGGAGUCGGGGAGGGACGCGGCGAUCGCGAGCGCGACGGGGGCGGGCGGCGCGCUCGUCGUCGACGUCGUCUCCGCGCGCGGGCUCGCGGCGCCGGGCGGCGGAAGCGGAAGCGGAGGGGGGUGUUCGCCGUACGUGGAGGUGACGUUCGGCGGCGCGACGCGAAGGACGCCGACGCGGGCCAACACGACGUCGCCCGAGUUUAAUCACCGCGUCGCGUUUCCGCUGAUGCACGCGGUGGCGCCGCCGCCGCACGACGAGCCGCGUCUAUCGCGCGGCGGCGGCGGCGGCGGGUUCGGGUCGCCGUUCGCGUCGCAGAGAGGGAUGUUCGAGGAGGAGGCGGCGGAGGAGGAGGCGUCGCGCGACCGCGGCGGCGAGACGACGACGCUCACCGUGCGCGUCAUGGACUGGAGCCCGCUGAGCGCGCCGCGGGAGAUCGGCGCGGCGACGUACGCCGUGGACGUCGCGUCGUUCGACCGCGGCGCGGCGGCGCGCGCGGGAGAGGACGACGGCGGGGUCACGCGCGCGCGGGAAGUCGAGCUGCCGCUGCGGCGGACGCGCGGCGGCGGCGGCGGCGGCGGCGGGAUCGUCAAGCUGUUCAUCGGGCGNNNNNNNNNNNNNNNNNNNNNNNNNNNNNNNNNNNNNNNNNNNNNNNNNNNNNNNNNNNNNNNNNNNNNNNNNNNNNNNNNNNNNNNNNNNNNNNNNNNNGCAGCCGCCGCGAGCGUCGCGACGCCGACGUCGGCGUCGGCGUCGGCGUCGACGGGGGCGAUGACGAGCUCCUUCGACGGCGGGACGUCGCCGUCGCCGUCGUCGCGAUCGCCGCGGUCGCCGCGGUCAUCGGCGGCGGACGGGCUCGGAUCCGCGAUGACGUCGAACGCCGAGGCCGCCGCCGCCGCCGCCGCCGCCGCGCGGUCGAGCGCGGGGUUGAACGCCGCCGCCGCGGGCGCGCGCGGUUUCAAAGAGAUCGGCGCCGCCGCGACGCACCUCGUGCAGGUGGCGAAGAUGCAAAAGGCGCGGCGCGAAGACGCGGCGCGACACGCGACCGAGCUCGCGACCGCGCGCGCGGAGACGGCGGACGCGAGAGAGGACGUCGUCAUGGAGCGGACUCGACGCGACCACGAGCUCAGGCGCGCGCUCGUCGAGGGCGCGGUGUUUUACGUCCACACGCGGCGCAAGCCCGGGUUCGAGCCGGGCAAAUACAGGUGCGUUCUAUCUCACACUGGUUCCCAUACGACCGCGUCGGCGUGGUGAACGCCGAUCCUUAAGGACUUUGCCCGGCGCGUCUCUCCGCCCAACCCUCGCUCACAAUCCCCGCCCUCGACGCCUUUCAACUCCACCUGACGCCUUUGAACUCCACCCCGACGUUCGCUCGUAUGGAACGACCCACAGACUCUGGUACAACGCGUCGAAGAAAUCGCUGCAGUGGUCCGAGGGCCGCAGGCCCGGCGGAAAGACGAAGCUGCACCAGUUCGUCCCCGCGAGCUUGGUGCGCAACUGCGUCGUCGGCACCGAGGCGUUCACCCUCGGCGCGAUCGACGAGACGAAAGCGCACCGGCUGAAGAGCGUCCUCUCGAGGUCGCCGACCAUCGCCAAAGCCGCGGCGUCCGUCGGCGUCGUGCAGCGAUCCAUCGGACACCACGACCCGCUGCGGUGCUUCAGCGUGUCGCUGUGGUUCCCGGACGACGCCCCCGCGGGGGGGAAGGUGGAUAACAUCCUCGCGAGCGGCGCCGCGAGCUUAGGGCUGCAGACGAUCGACCUGGAGCUCCCGGACGGAGGGAACGGGAGGAGCGUGAGGGAGUGGUGCGACGCGAUCACAGCCGCGGCGCUGGAAAACGGCGGCGGCGCGGGGACGAACAACGCGGACCCGAGCGGCGAGGCGGACGUCGCCGCCGCGGCGUUGAAACACAUGCAGCUGAUGCAGAAGCAGAUCGAUCUGAAGCGCGGGGAGGCGGGGGAGGAGGACGACGAGGGGGCGACGGCGUCUCCGAGGCGUACUUCGUCGCCGGGGGCGCCGGCGUCGCCGCCGGCGUCGCCGCCGCGGUCGCCGCGCGGGAUCGCACGCGCGGCGCCGCCAGCGACGGAGAGCACGCCGGAGAGCACGCCGGAGACGACGCCGCCGUCGAGCAUCCGGUUGGACGACGUGAUUCCGUUUCCUUCGCCGUCGAGCGCGACGGAGGAGACGGACGGGGAGAUCGCGCCCGCGGCGGACGCGCCGUCGUCCGUCGCGUCCGCGAAGUUUUGAGCCUCGAGAGAGUCGACGCGCGUCGGUCGAGUCGUCGUCGCGUCGCGUCGCGGUCGCUCUUCUAGCCGCUAAGCGUGUACACUGACUACUGCGCUACUGAUGAAUUAAGACGGAUAACGCGCCGCGACGCCGAGACGUUGCGUCACGUCGCCGCGUCUCUCGUCGCCUCCGCCUCCGCGGCUUUCGCCUUGGCCGCUCGCAACGACGCGCGCGCGCCGUCGAGGUCGCCCUCACGUUUCUUCGCCAGCGCGUCGCGCUUCAGCGCGAGGCACUCCGCGUCGAGAGCCUCGAUCUUCUUCUUCCGCGACGCGACGACGACGUCGUCGUCGGACGCGCCGUGCUCGGCGGCGAGGAGAGCGUCCGCAGCGUCCGCCGUCGCCUCUUUCGCCUCUUUCGCCUCCUCCUCCUCCUCCUCCUCCUCCUCCAACUCCGCCGCCGCGGCCGCCGCGUCGAUCGUCGCCCGCAGCGCUCUCGCCCGCCGCAGCGCCUCCCUCGCGCCGUCCACGUCCCCCGCGCGCUUCUUCGCGACCGCUUCUCGCUCCGCGUCCACCGCCGCAGCGGCGAGCUCCGCCAGCCGCGCGUCCGACGCCGCGCCGCCGUCCGCGUCAUCGUCCACGUCACCUUCCACGUCAUCGUCCACGUCGUCGUCCACGUCGACGGACGACUCGUUCAGCGCUCGCAUCGCGUCCGCGAGCGCGGCGGCCGCGGCGUCGGCCGGCGUCGCCGUCGACGGCGACGGCGGCGGCGGCGAGCGCGGCGAAGAAGGGGACGCGCGCGACACCUCCGCCUCGAUCGCGUCCGCUCUCGACGCGAGCGCCUUCGCGCGUCUCAGCGCCUCCCUCGCGCCUUCCAUCUCCCCCGCGCGCUUCAGUCGCACCGCCUCUCUUUUCGCGUCGAGGCACGCGGCGCGCAGCUCCGCGACGGACGACGACGACGACGACGACGACGACGACGACGACGCCUCGACGACGGACGUCGCGCGCUUCGUCGUCGCCCUCCGUCUCCUCGCCUCCUCCCUCGCCGCGUCCUCCUCCGCCUGCUCCCUGAGGAUCUCGCGCGCGAGCGCCUCGGCCUCGUCUUCGGAAUCCUCCCCCGGCGGCGCGUUGAUGGCCGCCACGAGCGCCGCCUCCUCGAGCGCGAGCGCGUCCAUCGGCAUGGACGCGAGCUCCGCGCGCAGCCGUCGCUCCAGCGCGUCGACGUCCUCGAGAUCGUCGUCGUCGUCGUCGCCGCCGCCGUCGCCGUCGGAGCCGCUCAGCUCCGCGAGGAGCGCGGCGUCGGAGAGGACAGCCUUCUUCCGCGCGCGCGGCGCGCGCUUCGGCGGCGGCGCCGCGCGCGGCGCCAUAGUGACGCGCGGAACGUCAUUUCGUCGUCGCGUCGUUGAAUAAAAACUAACGUCAGGGACAGGACCGCGUGCUCGCGUCGAGUGGACGGAUGAAACCCUCGCGUCGUCCGUCCCCAGAGCGCGUCGCGCUGGCGGACGUCAUGUUCGGCGGCGGGAAACCCCCCGCGCCCGACAAGGCCGCGGCGGCCGAGUCCGUCGACGCGUCCCUGGACGACCUCUUCUCGCGCCUGCGCGACGCGACGUCGCGCGGCGCGCACAAGAAGGCGCUGCGGAUCUCGGAGUCGAUCCUGAGCCUCGCGCCGGGCGACCCCGACGCGACGCGAUGCGCGGUGGUCGCGCUGAGCGAGCUCGCGCGGCACGACGACGCGAUCCAGUGCGUGGAGGACGCGCCCGCGGACGUCCUCGGCGGGCUGACGUUCGAGUGGGCGUACUCGAUGUAUCGCGCGGGGCGCGUCGCCGACGCGCUCGACGUGCUCGACGCGACGGAGGGCGACGCCGAUCUUCUCGAGGAGGACCGCGGGUCGGCGUCGCGAUGCGCGCAGCUGCGCGCGCAGCUGCUGUAUCGCGACGGGCGAUUCGAGGAGAGCGCGAGGAUGUACGAGAAGAUGUUCGAGGUGCGUGUCAUCGCGCGAUCGUCGUCGGCGGUCUCCGAUCGCGACGACCGCGCGGGUCGUCGAUCGACGCGGCGAUCGUCGGUCGAUCGCGGCCGCGCGCGGCGGGGCGAUCGUUCAGACAGGAGAGAGCGGUCGUGUUCGUUCACGCGUCGAGUCGCGAUCGUCGCCGCGUCGGUCCAUCCAUCGUUCAGCGUCCCUCCUCCAUCCUCGCCGCGCGCCGCGCACUCUGACGUCUUCCCCACCCACCCCCUCUCCUCCCCCUCCCACCGCGCAGGAGCACCCCGCGGAGAUGGCCAAGGUCCCGAACGUCGCGGUGAACCUCGCGGCGUCGCUCGUCGCCGCCGGGCGCGCGUCCGAACUCCUCGCGACGCUGAAAAAAAUCGUCGUCUCCCCGAAGGCGUCGUUCGAGCUCGCGUUUAACGUCGCGUGCGCGUGCGUUUCAAACGGCAACCUCCGCGACGCGGACGAGUACCUCGCGCUCGCGCGCGCGCGAGGCGAGACCACGCUGGCGGACGAGGAGCUCUCGCCGCAAGAGAUCGAAGACGAGCUUCUCCCGGUGACGGUCCAACGCGCGUACGCCGCGCACCUUGGCGGCGACGUCGACGCCGCGACGGAGGGAUACCGCGCCGCGAUCGCGACGAAGAGCGCGAGCGACGCCGCGACGGUCGCGGUCGCGGUGAACAACCUGUUGACUAUCGUCGGCCCGAGAGGCGUCGGCGGCGCGGAGGCGAUCAAGAAGAUGGAGAAGCUCAGGCGCGUUCACGUUUGUCGCGCCGGUCCUCAUACGACCGCGUUCGCACGGUGAACGCCGUUCCUCGAGGACUUUACUUCCCGGCGUCGUUUCUCUCCGCCCAUCACCCCUCGCUUUCCAUCCCGAAACAACUCGACGCCUUUCAACUCCACCCCUGACGCCUUUCAACUCCACCCCGACAUUCGUCGCUUCGCGUGGACCCUCCCUCGACCCUCAGCGACGACGCGGGGACCCUGCGCGCGGACGUCGCGAGGCACGCGAACGAAGAACAACGGAGCGCGUUUCUCGCGAACCGCGCGAUCGCGCUGCUGCACUCGAACCACCUCGACCGGUGCCGCGAGUCGCUCAGCGCGCUAAAACGAGAGGAGGAGGAGGGGCGCUCCCUGCACCACGACGCCGCGCGCGUCGCGUUGAUCGACGCCGCGUUGUGCAUGCGAAACCGCCGGCCGGCAGACGCCGACGCGGCGCUCGCGCGAUUCGUCGACGGACGCGGCGCGACGGACGCGGGCGCGCGCGCGACCGCGCAGCUCGCGCGCGCGCAGAUCGCGGCGAGCGCGGGGGAGUACGCGAAGGCCAUCUCGGCGCUCGAGGGCGUCGGCGCUGCCUGCGCGACGUCGCCGGCGGUGACGGCGACGAUCGUCGCGUUGCGCGAGCUCUCCGGCGACGCGGCGGGUGCGGACGCGGCUUUGGAAGCCGCCGCGGCGACGCCGGGCGCGCCGACGACGCUGGCGCUUCGCGCGGCGGAGCGCGAGCUGGAGAGAGGUCGCGCGGCGGAGGCUGUCGCCGCGUACGAGCGCGUGCUGAGCCUCGGCGCGCGCGACAAAGGCGACAAAGGCGACGAGGACGAUCUGAAGCUCGCCGACGCGGGGCUGGUCAAGGCGCGCGCCGUCGCCGGCGACGCGGACGGCGCGGAGCGCGGCGCGAGCGAGGUGUUCGAGGCGCUGCUCGCGGCGCGGGGCGGGGAAGCCCCGGACGCGGACGCGCUGGAGGAGACGCCGCCGGACUCGGUCCUCGCGCGCGCGGCGGAGGUGGAGAGGAGGCUCGCGGCGCGGCGCGGCGGCAAACGCGGCGGCGGCGGCGGCGACGACGGCGGCGGCGGCGAGCGCGCGACGCGAUGGAAGCGACGGAAGCGGAAGAUCGUCUACCCGAAGGGGUUCGACCCCGAGAACCCCGGGCCGAUGCCGGACCCGGAGCGGUGGCUUCCGAAGCGCGAGCGGAGCGGGCACAAGGGGAAGAAGAAGAAGCAGGCGAACGUCAGAGGCGCGCAAGGCGCCGGCGCGUCCGACGCGGAGCUGAGCAAAAAAGAGUUUAGCGGCGGCUCCGGCGGUACAGCUGGCGGCGGUGGCGGGGUGAAGACGAACGCCCCGGACGCGGACGUGAUGGAUAAGCUCCUGAGCGUGGGCGUGGGGAAGAAGAAGAAGAAGGGCGGGCGGCGAUGACACGACGCCCGGGCCCGGGGAAGGAUGGGGGGAAGGGACCCCGGCGUUCGUUCGGCGGGGAUCGAUUUCGACUCUUAAUCGUAGUAUGGCUUCGCGUCGCGAUUUCAUGAUCAUCGUCAGUCGCUACGUGUCGCUACGUGUCUUCUUCGUCCGCGCGCCGCCAAAACACCCCCACCCGUUCACCUCUUCUCUUCUCCUCGACUCCGACUUCACUUGCUCGCGUCCUCGAAGUUCCCGACGAGGUCCGGCACGUCGUCCCCGUCCGCGCCGGCUUGGUACUGCGCCGCGAUCUUCUUCAGGUUGGCGAGGUUGUCCGGCCCGAGCUGGUUUAUGAUGCCCGGGAGGAGAUCCUGAAGCUUCUUCGUCUGCGACGGCCCGGACACGACGUACGUGUUCGCGGCGAUGCUCGCCUGGACCUUCGGGUUCGUGAAGUGCGUCACGACGUCGUCCUUAAAGAUGUUCACCUCUUCGAUCCCCGGGAUAACGUUCACGCCUAGGCGCUUCAGGGUGUUUUGAAGGCGCUUGUCGUCCGUGGACGUCGUCUUGUGCACCGCCUUCUUCUUCCUGUGAGAAGCGCGGACGUACGGGCGGGAGGAUGAGAAUGGAGGUGGGGGGGGGCGAUGUGGUCAGCGCGCGAAUGUCGUCGCGAGGAGGACGCGAGGGAGCGGGGCGGCGGGAGGGAGGGAGGGCGGAGGGGAGGGGAAAAUCGCGCGUCCGUCGCGCGAGAGUCGCCCGAGUAGGGUUUCGGCGUCGCGCGCACCUGCGCAUCGUCCCUUUGCCACCCAUGCGGACGGAGCCCGCGAGCUUUUGAAGCCUUUCAACGUCCAUGUUGACUACCUGAGAGCGCGCGCGGAGGCGGUGGAGCGUCAGCGAGACGUCGCGCGGAGGAGGAGGCGUCGAGGCCGGGCGCGAGACGGCGACCGAGAUGAUGAUGAAUAAUGACUCCGCGUGCGAUAUUCGCGAUGGCGCUCGGAGAAGAGAAGAUUUCCCCGCGCGCUCGCGUCAGGGUUUACGCGAGCCGCAGACGCGCGCGCACCUGUUGCGAGCCAAAGAUCCGGACGAGUGACCCGCGCUGGGGAACUCUCGCGUCGUCGUGCGGGGCGGCGCGUUGGAAAGAGCGACGACCGCGGCGAGGCGCGCGUUUUACGACCCGCCGGCUCUACCGGUUUCGCCGAGUGCGCGUAGACUCGACGAGUCACGCGUGCGCGACGACCGAGAAGCAUCAGAUGACAGGGCUACGAAUGGGCUGUAAAGGUUUUUCACCCACCCCAAGUUUCAACAUUUGAUCGUGUCCCGUUUCAACUGACCGAGAACUUUUCUACCACUAGCACCGCAGACUGGGAAAAACGAGAUCGCGAGACACGUUAAAAUCUGAUACGCCAGCGCUCUCACUCUUCUCAGGGUUCACAUCGGAUCACAUCUGCAGCGCCGUCUUCUCGAUGUCCACGUCCCCCAUCGUCUCGUCCUCCUCCUCGCUCCCCGACUCCUCCUCCUCCGCCGCCUUGGCGAGCUUCUCCAUCUUCUCCGCGAGUAACCGAUCGUCGCGUUCGCUCACCGCGCGCGCCGCCUCCUUGAUCACGAUCUUCCCGCCCUUCGCCUCGAUCGCCUUCCCCGCCGCCGCGACGGCGAGGUCCACGAGCUCGACGCCCUUGUCCUUGUCGAGCGUCUGCGUCGUCACGACGUACAGCGGGCUCGCGACGAGGCUCACCUUCACCUUGACCUGAGCGUCUUCAGACGAAGAUCCUCCGCUCUCCGCCGUCGCCGCCUCCGCCGCGCGCAUCGCGUCCUUGAUGUGCAGCACGCCGUCGUACUCGAAGCACGUCAGCUCGAUAUCCGCGCGGAUCUUCAGCGGCUGCGGCGUCAUCCGGCGGCGAAUGUCCUUCACCAGCGCGUCUCUCACUUCGUCGCUCACCGCGCCCGAUCCGUCGGGACGCCGCAACGCGUCGAGGAUCUCGUCCGGCUUGGUGACCAUGUGCUUAAACGCCUCGAAGCAGUGGCCGUACUUCCGGUACAGCGGCCAGCCCAUGUGCUCGUACAAGUCCGACAGCGUGGUGCCGCACGUGGACGUCUCCGCGACGUGACGCAUGAUGGAGUGCACCAUCUUCGACUUGUUGUACUUUUCCUCGCACGCGGCGACGUCCUCGGGGGAGACUCUGCGUUUGGAGAGAUCGAUGUAGCCCUUCUCCUGAUCCACGCGCAAUACCAUGACGGGCUCGACGCGCCCAACCUUGAUGAGCUUCGAGACGGAGCGGAUCCGUCGGCGCGUGAGCUCGCUGAGCAGGAUCAUGCCCUCGAUGUUGUCGUACUCGAGGAGCUGGACGUACGCGCCCAUCUCCGCGAUGGACUUGACCUGGACCAUGACGACUUGGUCCACCUCUGGGAACUUCUCCUCGUACAUGCGCGACCCGGAGGACAUGAUCGCAACUUUAUGAUCGAGUUAGACUACGCAGUGGAGGACUAGGCUUCCGUCGACGACGCGCGCCUCGACGUCUCCUUCGCGAUCGAUCGCGCGAUCGAUCGUUCGAUAGAUCGUUCGUUCGUUCGUUCGAUCGGCUUCGAUCGAAUACCCUUCCUUCCCACCCUCGGGCGCGGACCUGCUCGGGUCGAGCGCGCGACGAGACGCGAGGGCGUCUGAGCUCGCGGGCGUGCGGCGCGUGCGCGAUGCGCGCGACGACGCGCGGGAGCGGCGGGCGUGGACGGCGCGAUCGGGCGACGCGUCGACGCGCGCGCGGAAGUGGCGCGCGAGGCGCGCGCGCGCGGUGUUCUCGGUCUUUUCGCUUCGCUCGAGUGGCGGCGGGGCGAUCGCGAGGAACGGGCGAAUUAACUCGCGAACAGACCGUCGUUUCGAUCGAGCGCUGCAGACUGGUCUUCGUAGACUGGACGGGCGCGGCGUCGCGUCGGGGCUUCUUCGGUCGGGGAUCGUUUCGCGGAUUCUCGACCCUCGCCGCUUCCCCACUCGCGCGCGCGCGAACGCACGUUCGACCGCGCUCGACCCCCCCCCCCCCGCGCGCGGCUCCGCGCUCGAGUCUCGUCACACCGCGUCGUCGUCGUCGUCGACAGCGAGCGUCAUGCGUCCUCCCGCGGGCCGCGGUUUCGGAGGAGGAGGCGGCCGAGGAUUCGGAGGCAGGUCGCCCGGCGGCCGCGGCGGCUUCGGCGGCCGCGGCGGCCGCGGCGGCCGCGGCGGCUUCGACGAGGGACCUCCCGACACCGUCGUAGGUGCGCGUCGGCGUCGCGUCGCUUCCGUCGUCGGGCGAUCCGCGCGCGUCGCGAUCGUCUCGCGCCCCGUCCGUCGCGCGUCGCGAUCCCAAUUCGAUCCUGGGUUUUCUUUCGGGCGGCGCGCGCGGGCUGGCGCCGAUGGACGAUGAUCGAUCGAUCGAUUUUCCUCCUCCAUCGAUUCGAUCCACCGCCGCCGUCCUCGUCCUCGUCCUCGUCCUCGUCCUCGUCGUCCCCCCCGCGCUCACGCGAACGCUCACCAUCAUACUCGCCAACACUCGCCGCCAACAGAGGUCGGGACGUUCCUGCACGCGUGCGAGGGCGAGGCGGUGUGCAAGCUCACUAACGCCAAGGUGCCCUACUUCAACGGGCCCAUCUUUCUGGAGAACAAGACGCAGGUUGGCAAGGUGGAGGAGAUCUUCGGACCGAUCAACGCGUCGAUGUUUACGAUCAAGAUGGCGGAGGGCGUCGUCGCGGGGUCGUACAGCAAGGGGGACAAGUUCCACAUCUCCCCGGAUAAGCUUCUGCCCAUGGAGCGGUUCUUGGGGCCGCAGAAGGGCGGCGGCGGCGGCGGCCGCAGCGGCGGCCGCGGCGGAAGAGGCGGCGGCCGCGGCGGCGGACGCGGGCGCGGCGGGCCGGGCGGCCGCGGCGGCGGCGGGCGGUUCGGCGGCGGCGGCAGAGGCGGCGGUGGACGGUUCGGCGGCGGCGGAAGAGGCGGCGGGCGCGGCCGCGGGCGAUUCUGAUCGCCGCGACCGCCGCCGCGCCGCGCGAGCGACCGUGUACAUACCGUUUGUUGUAACUGACGACGUGGAAGCAUUCACAUUCGACGACGACGACGACGACGACGAUACCGAUACCUCACAGUCUUCUAAGAUGGUGUUAUGUUCUCUCCUACGUGUCGUCUCCAACCCCGCGAUCCCCCAGACCCGCCCGCGUCGCGCGCGCGCCCGAACCCGAAGCGCGCUCGGCUAGACGCCGCCCGACCGAUCCGACCGCGACGUCUCCUCUCGCUUCGCUCCCUCGUUCUCAUUCUCAACUCGCUCACUUCUUCGCCGCCGCCUCCGGGGACAAAAACUUAUCGAGCUGCGCCUUGAGCUGCUUGUUACUCCGGUUCAGGUACGCGAUCUCGUCGCCGUGCUUCGCCUCCUCGUCCGCCCUCCGCUCGCUCUCCCGCUUCUCGAUCGCCUCGCACUUCGCCUUCCACUCCGCGCACUGCCUCUCCAGGUCAGCCUUGUCCGUCUCCAGCUGAGGGUCGAGGGUCCAUACGAGCGAACGUCGGGGUGGAGUUGAAAGGCGUCAGAAGCGGAGUUGAAAGGCAUCGCGGUCGGGGAUUGAAAGCGAGGGACCCUGGGCGGAGAGAGACGACGGGCAAAGUCCUUAAGGAUCGGCGUCCACAUCGCGAACGCGGUCGUAUGGGGACCAGUGCGAUACUAGAACGCGCCUGAAGAAUCCGCGCCUCCAUGUCGCUCUUUCCCUGCUCCGUCUGCAGCGCCUUCCGCACGCCGAACGCGACGGACGACUCGUACAGCGUCUGAUACGCCUGGAUCGUCAUCCGCAUCUCGUCGCGGAUCCGCAGCAGCAACAGACCGCGCUCCGCGCAGUUGAUCGUCACCUGGCGGAUCAUCUCGUCGAGGCACUGCGCGUACAGCUCCUCGCGCACGGGGCACAGGCCCGUCUCGCGCGCCUGCCGCGUCUGAUGAGGGUCGGGUCGUUCGAUUGGUGGGCGACGUGGCGGGAAGUGACGUGAUUGGUUAGGUAUGUGAUGACGUGGAUGGAAGACGUUUCAUUGGACGAGAGCGCUGCAGCGACGGAGAGGGCGCCGCGCGGAGGCGGUGGCGUGGGAGACGGCGCGGCGCGACGACGGGACGCGCCUGCAGCCGCGCGUCGAGCUUCUCCUGGAGGUUGAUGACGUCCAGGCGCGUCGCGGGCGUGGGCGCGACGUACUGCACCCACAGCGUGCCGUCCUCGACGUGCUCGCGCGGGGGGAGGAUGCUGUUGAGGAUGUCCUCGGUCUGCGUCUUCGCGGCGCCGCCGUCGCCCUUCUGUGAUGAACGCGGACGAGCGAUCGACGGAGUUGGGGGCGACCGGGGUGGGUCAGCGAUCGAUCGGCGACGGGGCGCGGGAGACGCGCGCGGGGGGGGCGGCGCGAGAAAGCGCGCGGGGGGGCCCGCGAUGAAGUGGCGGGCGUCGCGGCGCGGCGCGUCGAAUCGUCGAAUCGUCGUCGCCGCGCCCGUCGAGCGACGCGGCGCGACGACGACGACGCGCGAGCGAGCGAGACGAGGACGCCGUUCCAAAUUGAGCGCGAGCGCGCGCGCGACGCGCGCGCGAAUCGCGCCGCGCGUGGACGCGCCUUCGACUUGUCCGCCCCGACUGGGAUCCGCUUAUCCUUCGUCGUCGUGAUCUGCGUCGCGAUGGGGGAGGUGACGCGUCAGCGCGACGUCGAAGCGAGGAGACGCGCGCGCGUCCGGGGCGGACGCGCGCGCGCGGCGAAGCGAAGCGAAGCGAACGAAAUGAAUGCUCGUUUUCGGCACGGUGGAGCGACGCGCGCGGACGACGCACCGUCUGCGGCUGGUCGUACAGCACGAGCGUGUGCAGCGGAGGAAGCAUCCUGCGCGGGUUCGUGCGCGGCCUCGUGCGCCGUCGCGCGGGGGUGGUGUGCGUCGCGUCGCGCGUCGCGCGUCGUUUCCGUCGAGCGACGACCGGCGAAUGAGACGUCUCGAGGUCGAUAGAUUCCGCGCGACAGCAUUUCAUCGGUCGGUUGAAACGGGACGCGAUCAAAUGUUGAAACCGUCAGAACGCGCCCGAUCGCGCGAGGCCGAUCGAAGCGACCCGGAGAACGACGUUGAAAGAGGCCAUGCGACCCUUCCCGCGUACGUCGUCGCUUCAAGCGACGCGUCCGUCGUUCGCGCGCGCCACUGCCGACGGCGCGGACGCCGACGAGCACGCGUCGAGAGGAGACGCGCGCGGCGUCGACGGACGCACGAGAGGAGAGCACGCGCGGCGCGCGAAGCGACUCCGCGGGCGCGAGGGGAGAGGCGGGCGACUCCGGCGAGGCGCGCGCGAGGGCGCGUCGUCGAUCCGUCCGUCGGGUGAGGCGCGCCGGUCUUUCGUCGUCGCGUCGCGCGCGGGCGUCGAGCGCGAGGGGAGGCGCGCGGCGCGAGGACGCGAGGGGCCAUGGCGGACAUGUUGAAUAACCCGUUCGCUCAGCUGGACGCGCAGGUGCGCGCGCGGACCUCCGCGACCGCGGCAGAUCGCGCGUCGUCGCGUCCGUCCUCCUCCGCGGCCGCCGCGCGACGGACGCUCGGACGCGCGGGCGAAGAGCGAAACGAUCGAUCGCGGACCGGCGCUCGAUCCCCCCCCGCGCGCCCGCGCGCGCGCUCGAUCCCCGCCCCUCCCGCGCGCCGCCCGCGUCCUCUCGCCCCCUCCGGUCCGAAUCUCACCGCCCCGCCGCGCCCUACGCGUCCCCGCGUCCUCCGCAGAUCGAAGGCCUCCUGCGCGGCGAGCUCGUCCCCGAGGCGGACGUCAAGGUGAUCUGCGAAAAGACGAAAGAGGCGCUGAUGAGAGAGGAGAACGUCGUCCCGGUCGCCGCGCCCGUGACGGUCGUCGGCGACAUCCACGGCCAGUUCGCGGACCUGUGCGAGAUGAUGAAGAUCGGGGGGAAAGCCCCGGAUACCAACUACCUGUUCCUCGGCGACUACGUCGACCGAGGGUACGACUCGGUGGAGACGGUGUGCACGGUGAUGGCGAUGAAGGCGCGUUCUUCUAUCUCACACCGGUUCCCGUACGACCGCGUCGGCGUGGUGAACGCCGUUCUUUAAGGACUUCGCCCAACGUUUCUCUCCGCCCAGGGUCCUUCGCUUUCAAUCCCGACGCGCCUCGACGCCUUUCAACUCCGCUUCUGACGCCUUUCGACUCCGCCCCGACAUUCGUCGCUUCGAACGACGGAACAACCCCGAAGGCGCGGUGGCCGGGACGCGUGACGUUACUCCGAGGAAACCACGAGUCGCGGCAGAUCACGCAGGUGUACGGGUUCUACGACGAGUGUCUUCGGAAGUACGGCAACGCGAACGUGUGGACGUACAUCACGGACGUGUUCGAUCACCUCCCUCUGGCGGCGACCAUCGACAACGAGAUCUUUUGCCCGCACGGCGGCUUGUCGCCGUCUCUGGACACGCUCGAUCACGUCCGCGAGCUCGCGCGGACGCAGGAGGUGCCACACGAGGGUCCGAUGUGCGACCUUCUGUGGAGCGACCCGGACGACCGGUGCGGGUGGGGGAUAUCCCCGCGAGGCGCGGGGUACACUUUUGGACAGGACAUCAGCGAGCAGUUUAAUCACGCCAACGGGUUGAAUCUCAUCGCGCGCGCGCACCAGCUCGUGCAGGAAGGGUACGAGUGGGCGCACGAGAAGUCCGUGGUGACGAUCUUUUCCGCGCCGAAUUACUGCUACAGGUGCGGGAACCAGGGCGCGAUCAUGGAGGUGGACGAGAACAUGAACCGGGAGUUUUUGCAGUACGAUCAGUUCCAACGAGCGGUGAACCCGGAGGCGCGAAGGAAGCAACAGAAGCUGCCGGAUUACUUCCUCUAGGCGCGCAUCGCAUCGCGCGGGUUUACGUUACGGCACGCGAAGGGAGGGAGGGAGGGAGGGACGGGGGAAGAGGGUAACAGGUUUGGAUUGUUUUGUUUGGAACGAAUGCGACUAAACGAAAAUACAAAACCAACGAAACCCGCAGCGAGGCGAGCCCUACUCCUCCGCGAUCGCGCCGACGUACCCGUCGGCGUACCCGCCAACGACCGGCUCGUCCCCGAGCUCCUCCGGCGUCCGCACCACGCCGUCCGCUCCCAUGACCGCGGUCGUGGGCUUGUACCCCUCGUUGUAGUUCUCGCACCCGAGGUCGCGCAUCGCCGCCGACGCGACGUCGACGCAGUCGCUCGGAUGAUUCCUCUUCGCCGCGCGCAGCAACGCCUCGGCGCGCGUCGCGAGCACCAGCGGGACGUUUUCCGGGUUGCGCACAACCGCGUUUCUGAGAAACAUCGCGCCCUGUCGCUGCGUCCCCUUGUGCGCCGCCCCGGCCGCCAUGCACUCGACGAUCGGCUCGAAAACGCCCUCCGCGCCGCACCGCGCCGCGUUCUCCGGGUGACGCAGACACAACGCCGUCAGCGCGCCCAGACACUGCUCCACGACCGCGUGCGCCGCGUUCGCGUUCGCCUUCGCCGCGGCGUCCGCGUCCGCGUUCGCGUGAGGCGAAGCCGCGUUCGCCUUCGCCUUCGCCUUCGCGUCCGCCGCGCGCUCGCUGAACACGCGCGCGACGUGCGUCAGCACCGCGAUGCCCUCGCUCGCCGCAACGACGCUCUUGUUCGCGUCCGACCCCGCGAGCUGUCGAAGGCACGCGGCGGCGCUCUUCGCGAGCCCGGCGUGCGCGGUGGCGGCCCCGCGGAGCAAUCGCAACGUCGUCGCGAUCCCGCCGCACUCCGCGACGUCUUUGCAGAUGUCGUCGUUCACCGCGGUGUUCUUGAGCGCCUGCGCGAGCGACGCGAGCAGGGACAGGUCGGAUCCGUCGGAUGCGUCGGAUGCGUCGGAAGAAACGCCCGCCGAGGAGACGUUUUCGAGCGCCGCGCACAGCGCGCGAGCCGCGCCCGCCUUGGCGAACGCGCGCGCGUGCGCGAACGCGCCCGACGCGGGCUCUCGACCGUCGUCCCCGUUGGUGACCGCGCGCAGGGCGUCGCACGCCGCGCGUAACGCCCGCGCGUCGGUCGUCACGUUAAACACCGCGACCACGGGCGCCUCCACGCCAGCCUUCGCGAACGCGCCCUUGCACGGCUCGUUCCGCGUCGCCGCCGCCGCGACGACGGCGGCGACGGCGGCGAGCGCGGCGGGCGAUCCGCCGCGUCGCGCCGCCGCCGGCCACACCUCGCGGACGUGCGCCAUCGGGAGCUUGAGCGACGCGUACGUGUCGCGCGCGUCGUCGCCGCCGAGGACGGCGGCGAGCGUCGCGAGCGCGGCGAUGAGGUGCGACUCGAGCGACGACGCGACCUCCGCGUCGUCGUCGGCGUCGGCGGCGUCGAUGAUCGCCUUCGCGACAUCUGCCACCGCGCUCGCCGCGCCCUGCACGCCUCCCGCGCCGACGCACGCGGCGCACCACCCCGGGGUCUCCUCCGCGCCGCCGCCGAGGCGCGCUCGGAGCGCCUCCCCCGCGGCGGCGACCGCGUCGCGGUCGCCCGCCUCCACGGCGGCGACGUACGCGCGCGUCGCGAUCGCCGCGGGAUGUUCGCCUCGGCCGUCGGGCCCCGCGUAGGACGUCUCGACGUCGGAGAGGUCGACGCCCUGGAGCUCGAACUCCUUCAUCGCGUCCGCGACCGCCUCGUCCGGGUCGAGGUCGAAGUCGUUGAUGUUCGACCGCACGCACUCGUCGAACGCGGCCUGGGAGAUCUUCUUGCGCGCGGCGGCGGCGGGCAUCGCGGACGACGACGACGACGCGACGGUUCGAGUUUUGGUUGACCGAUCCGAGCGAAUAAGAUCCGACGACGUCCGGGGUUCGGCCGCGUUCGCGCUCUUCCGUCGGACGACGCGCGACGGCGCGGCGGGCGCGUGGGUCGCUUCGGCGACGGUUUCGCGCGCGCGCGCGUGCGGCCGCGCGUCGGGAACUCGCGCGCGCGCCGGGGAAGGAAGGCGCGCGAAGGCUGAGGAAGGAGCGCGCGCGACGCGAGUCGCCCGGGACGGCACGGGAUCGGUCGAAACUACUGCGAAACUAGUCGUUGAAACCGAGACUGCGCCUCGCGGAUCGGACCAUUUUUUUCGGUUUGAAAACGAGAGGGGGCGUCGACGCGCGCGCGCCGUCACAAUCACGCUCGCGUUCACCGCUCCCCCACACACCACACAUCCACUCUCAUCAUGUCUGGCAAGGGCGCUAAGGGCCUCUCCGGCAAGGGCCUCUCCGGCAAGGGCGGCAAGGUCUCCUCCAAGGGCGACAAGAAGAAGCCCACCUCCCGCUCCGUGAAGGCUGGCCUGCAGUUCCCCGUCGGCCGCAUCCACCGCUUCCUCAAGGUGCGUCCUCCGGUCGCGCACGUUCGACGCGAUGGCGCGCGCGUUACGUCGUGAAAUCGCGAGGGAUAUCGCGCGGGGUGGUCGCGCAUCGAUUCGAGCACGCUCGCGCGUCGUCGCGAUCGCGCACGCGACCUCCGCGGCGCUAAUCCGGCGCGUCGGCGACGGCUCGGAUUAUCAGAUUUGAACCCGAGUGCCAACAAUCAAUUUUCGACGUCCCCGCGCUGACGUUCCCCCGCUUCCCCGUCACCGACAGAACCGCGCCGCCUCCGGCGGCCGCGUCGGCGCCACCGCCGCGGUUUACUCCGCCGCCAUCCUCGGUGCGUCGAUCGAACGGUCCCGAACGCGCCGUCGCGCGAACGGAAAAAUCAUCCGGCGUUCCUUUUUCCAAGACCGCGUCGUUGUAUUUUUUCCCCGCAUCCCCGCGCGGGCUCUGACGCGCGCUUCGCCUCCUCCUCCCACAGAAUACCUCACCGCCGAGGUCCUCGAGCUCGCGGGUAACGCGUCCAAGGAUCUCAAGGUUCGUACGCGCGCCCGAUGCCCACCUCGCGCGCGCGUCGUCGCCGCUUCUCCGAGCGAAGAUCGAGCCGUUUGCCGUCUGCGUCCUUUUUUUUGAAUUUUUUUUCCAACCGGACCCGCCCGCUGACGCGCGCGUCCCUCGUCGUCUCUCUCGCGUCACACACACAGGUGAAGCGCAUCACGCCCCGCCACCUCCAGCUCGCCAUCCGUGGUGAUGAGGAGCUCGACACCCUCAUCAAGGCGACGAUCGCCGGUGGUGGUGUGAUCCCGCACAUCCACAAGUCGCUGAUCAACAAGUCCUCCAAGAAGUCCGACUAAGCGCCCACGCGCUUCGUCGUUCGCUCUUGAACGAUCGAUGACGAUACCACACGAGCGCGACCCGAGGAAGGGCGCGACGCGCGGUCGACGAGCGAAUCCGUUCGUUCGUCGACCGCGCGUCGCGCUCUCUUCGGGCGCCCUGGGAUAGCGCGUAGAGACGACGGUCGCCCGCUGGGGGCGCGCGUCCGUCUCCGCGAGAAUGGGAGACUUUGAAAUGUAUGUUUGACGCCACGUAUAAAACGAUAUUCGCGUCGGCGACGUCUGGGGGACCGCGCUCGCUACUAGCUCGCAACGGUUUAUCGGGGGGGACCGUGCGUAGACGAUCUUGUAACGCCAACUUUGUCGUCGAUGCGAACGAAUCUCGUGGCCCUACUCCUACGUCUUCGUCUUCUCUCGCCUCUCGAUUCGCGUCUUCUAUUCUACGCGUCGCAGUCACAACUCGCGAGCGCGUUUUUUCGCGCUCCCCGACGAGCCCUUCCCCGCCCUCCGCUCCUGCACCUUCCUCUUCCUCGCCGCCGUCCUCUUCGCCGCCUUCGCGAUCCUCGCGCGCGCGGCCCUCUCCGGGUCCACCACCGCAUCGAGCGCCUUCGCCCUCCUCCUCGCGUCGCGUCGAGACGCGAUCCGCGCCCUCGUCGCCGCGUGCGCGCGCGAGAAGAGCUCGCCGCGCAUCGCGCCGCGCAAAACCUCAAGCGUCUCCUCGGCGAUCGCCCUGUGUUCCGGCGCGACGCCGACGACGGCGUCGUCCGCGCACAGCACCGACGGCAGCAGCAGCGGCGGCGCGAUCGUCGGGUGUCUAUCGAACCCUUCCUCGCCGAGCGACGCCGCGAGCGCGGCGGUCCACCGCAGCGCCGCGGCUCUGGACGCGCCGAUCCCGCCCGCGCCGACUUUGCCGACGCGGCGGAAGAGCCACGGCAGCGGCGGCUUGGCGUCGACGGCGUCGUCCUCGGUCGUCGUCGUCGUCUUCUUCUUCUUCUCUUUCGCGGCGGCGGUUUGGGCGGCGGCGUUUAGGUCGUUCUCGUCGUCCUCGUCGUCGUCCGCCUCCAAAGCCUCCUCGUCCUCCUCGUCGUUCUCGUCGUCGUUCUCCGCGAUCGGUCGGCGCGUCUGCAGCAGCACGACGGCGGCGAACGUCAGAUUUUUCACCGUCUGCUCCGCGAGCUUCUCGUCCACGUCCACCGCGCGCGCGCCGACGCCUUGCUCCAGCACCGCGACGCACGCGCGCGCGAUCGUCUCGAGGUUCACCGGGUACGCGUAUUCGGCGGCGUCGUCGGAAUGUGAACCGUCGCGCCGCCUCGCGAGCGCGGCGGCGAUCGCGGCGCCGUUGACGGCGAGGUACCGACCGAUCACGCGCGCGGCGGCGUGCUGCACCCACUGGUGACGAUGCGACAGCAACGCCUGCGACGCGCGCCACACCGAGUCUUCACUCGCGUCCUCGUCGCCGUCGUCGCAUUCGUCGCCCUCCAGCGCCUCCGGGCAGAGCGCGUGCGCCUUCUCUACGAGCAGCAACGCGCGGUAACACGUCUGCCAGUUCACCGCGACGUCGUCGUCGUCCUCCUCGCGGUGAGCCACCGCCGGGUCGUGCUCCGCCAGCGCGGAGACGAUCGAAUGACGCGCGGCGGCGACCGCGCGCGACGCGUGCGACGGCGACGCCGCGACCGCGAUCCCGAGCGUCUGCAUCGCCGCGCGUCUCAGGCGCUCUGCGUCGUCGCCCACCGCCGCGCCGCCGCCGCCGACGGCGCACCACCGCGUCGCGAGGUCGAGGAGCUUCUCCCCUACGCCGCCGCCCGCGGUGCGCUUCAACAGGACGCGCAGCGCCUCGCCCGCGGCGGCGCGACACUCCGCGUCUUCGUCCGCGCCGAGCCGCGCGACGAGGGGGACGAACAGGAAGACCGCGUUCGCGUCGACGACGUCUUUAGGGAACCGAGCGACGACGUCGCGCGCGCACCGCAACGCGUUGACGCGGCCGGCGGCGUGGACGUAUUCAAAGUUCGCCGCGAGCGACUCCAAGUGCGUUCGCAGGCGGCGCUCGCCGAGAGGGUAGUCCAGGAGGAACUGGACGAGCGCGCCCGCGCACGAACGCCGCGUUUCGUCCGCGUUCGCGCGCACGACGAGCCCGGACACGACGUUCAUCGUGUCGUAAAUUUCCGGCAAAAGCGGCCGACGCGCGAGCACCGCGCGCAUGAGCGAGAACACCGUCGAUCGCUGUUCCUCCCGGUGCGUCUCUUCCAAGUCCGAGAACGCGAAGCGCACGAUGAAGCGAAACUGCGCGUCCGUGGGCGUGAACGCGGCGUGGCGCUUCAGGAGGUUGUUCAAAAGUUUUAAACAAUCCUGCGACAGCUGCGCGUCCGCGCGAGGGCAGUCCUUCAGAAGCGCCAUGAUCCGACGCGCGAGCGCGCCCGUGCUGCUGUCGAACGUCGACAGCCGCAUCGUCGAGAGCUGCGCGAGGCAUCGCACCGCGAGCGGCGGGAUCGCCGCGUGCGGGGACGACAGCGCGCGCACCGCGAGAGGGACGAUGCCUCGGAGGAUUUUCUCUCUCUGCGGGCCCAGCGGGGACGCGAGCGUCGUCGGGGCGUCCUCGUUCGCGUCCUCCGCGUCUCUCCGCGGCUCGACGGCCGCGCCUUUCCCGCCGACGCCUUUUUCGCCUGUUCGUUGGUAAAGGGAGAGCGCGCGCGAGCGAGUCGGUGAGUCGGUGAGUCGGUGAGUCGUUUCGUCCGGCGAGGUGAAUCGAACGCGGUCGCCGCCGCCGCCGUCGUCGCCGUCGGUCGCUUCCCUUCCGGGGAGAGGUCAGAUUUAAAAAGCUCGUAUGUUGAUGUUGAUCCUCACUGGACAUCAGCAUUGGAUUUCGUAACAAUCAUCCCUCCUCUCCCUCGCGAAAAAAUCAGAGACCGCGCCGGGAGAACGCGGAGAGAGAGACAGAGAGACAGAGAGAGAGAGAGGAAGGCGAGGAGAAAAAUAAAUACGCGACACGCACCCGACAUCUUCCGGAGCAGCGCCCUUAGCAACCCGAGCGCGAACACGACGAGGAGGUCAAAGUUCGGAGGCACGUCCUCGUCGCUCCUCGCGAGCGCCGCGAGCGUCGUCGUCGUCGUCGUCUUCGUGCCCCCUCUCUCCGGCGCGUCGUCGUCUUCGUCGUCGUCGCCGUACUUCGCCCUCUUGUACCGAUCCCCCGCGUUCAAUCCCUUCUCCAUCGUCACCGUCGGAUCGCUCCCCGGCUCUGGGAGUCGGACGAGGUACCACCCUCGCUCCCACACCCUGUUCCCGAGCUCCUUCUCCCCCCUCGGCGCGGCGCCCAAGGUCAUCUCCUUCAGCGACGGAUCCGCGCUCGCCUCCGCCGCGCGCUCGUCGCGCGAGACGCCGUCGUUGAUCACCGAGUGACACAGCACGAGCGUCUCCUCGACGGAGGCGCGCGGAUUGCACAGCACGCCCUUUUGCACCGCCUGAAGCAUCGCCUCGAGCUUCCUCCGCACGCUCGGCGCGCUCGCCGCGGGAAGCCGCCUGGUGACGGGCGACAGGAGCUCCGGCAGCGCGCCGGGGCACGUCGCGUGCGUCGCCAACAGCGUCAGGGUUUCGUGCGCGCGGCUUCUCCGAGCUUCGCGGUACGCGCCACGAAUCGCCUCCACCUCUCGCUCCUAUGGAUACGAGCGAACGUCAUUGGGUGGAGUUGAAAGGCGUCAGAAGCGGAGUUGAAAGGCGUCGAGGUGUGUCGGGAUUGUGAGCGGGGGUUGAUGGGCGGAGAGAUGCGCCGGGAGAGAAAGUCCUUAAGGAUCGGCGUUCACCACGCCGACGCGGUCGUACGGGAACCAGUGUGAGAUUGAACGCGCCUCCGCCGCUCGCCCGAAGACGUCCUCGUCGAGCAACGGCAUGAUCGCCUCGAGCGCGUCCGUCGCGUCCUCCGGGUCCGCGCCGGGGACGCACGCGUCGACGAGCGCGUGGAGCGUCGCGCCGAGGACGUGCGUCAUGAACCCGCGGUCGAGCCUCGACGCGAGCAGCCGGACCAGCGUCGGGAGUUUGGCGCAGCCGAGGCCUUUCGACGACGGGACGACGACGGGGCGGCGGGAAGGGAUGCGAUUGGUCAGCUUUCGAUGACGUGUACGUUUCAUUGGACGAGAGCGACGGAGAGGGCGGGCGGGUGCCGAGGUGCCGGGUGACGAAAGAAAGUCCUCGAGGAACGGCGUGCACCGCGCGAACGCGGUCGUAUGGGGACCAGUCUCACCUUUCGCCGCGAGCGCGAGCGCGGCGCGCGCGGUGUCUCGCACGCCCUGCGCCCUGGACCGCAGACAGUUCGCGAUCUUCCCGAGCACGCGCGCGAUGUCCGCGUCGAGAUCGCGCGCGGGGAGGAGUCGAAGGAGCGAGACGAGCGCGGCGGACGCGGCCGGUCGCACGGUCCCGCCCUUCCCCUCGUUAUCCUCCACGACGACGAGAGACUCCAGCAUCGGGAGAAUAUCCUAUACAAGCGAACGUCGGGGUGGAGUUCAUAGGCGUCAGGUGGAGUUGAAAGGCGCCGAGGGCGGGGAUUGAAAGCGGGGGGUGGGCGGAGAGAUGCGCCGGGAAAAGUCCUUAAGGAUCGGCGUUCACCACGCGAACGCGGUCGUAUGGGGACCAGUGUAUAGAACGCACCAUUCGCAACGUCUCGACGACGACCCGCGAGACGCGCCGUCCGACGACGUUCGAGGCUUCCUCCUUCGCGUGACCGUCGGCGCGCGCGCGUUCGCGUUCGCCACCCUCCUCCUCCUCCUUCUCCUCGUCGUCGUCGUCGUCGUCCCACUCGUGGAAGUUCUCGAGCGUCGUCGCCGCCGCGCGGAUGUGCAACGCCUUGCUCCCCUCCACGUCCCACCCGCCUCGCGCCGCGCGUCCGCCGCCCGCUUUCCGCAGCGUCCACGUCAACAGGUCGCGGUAGCCGCGCCACGGGAGCGCGCCCGCGAGGCCGCCGAUCGCCGCCGCCGCGGUCGACGCGACGUCCGCGCCGGCGUCGCCGAGCGACGCCACCGCCAACGGCGCGAAGUAGCCGACGACGGUGUCUGGCGGCACGGACCCCGCGCGCGACGACAACGCUCUGAGCGCUUUACACCGCCGGUGCGCCUGCAGGUGCGCCAUGUUGAGGAAGAAGUCCUUCUCCGGGUCGUCGUCGUCCGCGAGUUUCGCGGCGCCGGGCGCGGCGGUAGGCCACGCGAUCGCGAGCCGUCGGAAGACGCCGACGGCCUCGCCUCGCGUGACCUUAUCGGGCGAGCGAAGUAAGCCGCGGACGCCGGGGGCGAGGACGCCGAUCACCGCCGCACCGAGCGACGCCUCGGAGGCGGCGGCGUGUUUCAGCGCCCUCGCGGCCGUCGCGUCGAGGCCGACGAUCGCGUCGUCGUCGUCGUCGUCGUCGUCGUCGGACUCGUCGUCGUCGGACUCGUCGCCGUCGGACCCGGACCCGUCUUUGCCCGUAACCUUCCGCCGCGCCUCCUCCUCCUCCUCGACGGCGGCGUCCAGGAACCGUUCCAGCGCCGCGGACGCCGCGUGCCUGAGCGCCAUGUCCGACCCCCUGAGCUCGUGCAGCAUGUGGUGCAAGAUGGGCACCACCGCCGCGGGCGGGCACGACGAAAACCAACGCGCGUCGAGCGUUUCGUACGCGCCGAGUCUCGCGUCGUAGUCGGCGCCGUCGACGGCGUUCUUGGCGUCGGCGUGGAGGUUUCUCAAUAUCGGCGCCGCGACGCUCGCGGCGACGUCGCGCGCGGCGACGGAGGUGAACGCGGCGACGAGCGCGCGGCGCGCGGUUCGAGUGCGCAGGCGACCGAACAGCGGCGCGAGCGCGGCGCGGUGGCGAUUCGCCGCCGCCGCCGCCGCCGCGUCGAAACGCGUUUCUUCGUCGUCGCGCCCGGAGGUUUUUUUAUCCGACGUCGACGAAUUCUUCUCCGCGGAUAGACGCGGCGCCGGAGGGACCACCGCGGCGAGCGCGUGCAGCACCUCCGCGAUCGCGCUCUCGUCAAGCUUACGCACGGAGAGCACCGGGACGAGCGUGUCCGCGAUCGCCGCGGACGCCGCCGCGCGCCCGAGCAGCGGGCCGAGACGUUUUAGGAGCGCGAGCUCUCGCCCCGCGGCGCCGCCGGCGGACGCGCUCGCCGCUCGCGCCGACGGAUAAGAGCUCCCCGCCCGUCGCCCUCCGCCGCGCAUAGAACGCGCCGCGAGCGCGCGACGCAGCGCGUCUAGGAGCGCGGGCGCGUGAUCGCGCAGCAGCGAGACGCUGACGUGCUCGGGCGGCGCGGGAUCGGGCUCGGCGACGCCGCGCGUCUCGCGGUCGUUCUUCGCGCGAUCCGCGUCGAAUCGCGCCGUCUCCGCUUGCUCAACGAGCGACUCCGCGACGGCGAUGGCCGCCGCGCGCGUCGCGUUCGACGCCGCCGGCGCGCCCAGCGCGCGCCACGCCUCCGAGAGCAGCGCGCCCGCGCGCUCUCCCCCGCCGCCGUCGGAGGUGAGGAGGACCGCGGUCCGCGCGUCGUCCGCGAGCGCGGCGAUCACCGCGAGCGCCGGCGGCGGCGACGCCGACGACGACUCGCUCGCGAGACGCGCCGCCAUGGGCGACACCGCGGCCAGCGCGGUGGGCCAGUACGUCGAGUAGUCGAACGACGGGUGACGCGCGAACGCCGCGGCGAGGAAGCGCACGGCGAGGACGCGGAUCUCUCGCGCGUCGCGGAGCGACGUGGACGCCGACGUGGACGUCGCGCGCCGCUUCGGCGGUUUCGCGUCGUCGUCGUCCACCUCCUCCUCCUCCUCCUCCUCCUCCGCGUCGAGCUCGGGCGCCUCGUCUCCUUCCUCCUCCUUUUCCUCUUCCGUCGCCGCCCCCGCCGCCGCGGCCGCCGCUCGCGCCGCCGCCGCGCGCUCGCACGUCUCCGACGCCUCUCGCAACAGCUCCAGCGCGAUCGCGAGCAGCGGAUCCAAAUACGUCUUCGCGUGCUCCCCAGCCGCGCUCAGGAGGUCGCCGGCGGCGCGCAGGAAACCCGCGGGUCGGCGGCUGCCGUCGCGCGCGAGCGCGCCGACGUUCGCGUCCGCGACGAGCGCGCGCCACCCCGCGCGGGAGACGGCGUCGCCCGCCGCGGUCGCGACGAGCGCGUCCUGCCACGGCGUCGACGCGGCCGGGAACAGAUCGAGAUCGAGAACGAGAUCGAGUUCGACGUCGGUCGAUGCCGGUCCCGGUCCCGCGUCCGGACGUCGUCGCGCCGCGACGGGCUCGAGCGGAGCGAUCACGGAAUACACGAGAGGGACGAUCUCCGCGGGGUCUAACCGCCCGAUCCACGCGAGCGCGGCCGCGCGCAGCGGCGCGUGUCUCCCGCUCCGUCGCUUUAAACGCGGGAGCAGGCACCUCACGACGAGCUUCGCGAACGCGGGACGGUGCUCUGGCGGCACCGCCGCCGCCGCCGCCGAGUCGUUCCCGCCCCCUCCGUCCUGAGGCUCGUCGAGCUUCAACGACGUGAGCUCGUCCUUCACGGUGUCCAAAGACGUCAACCUCACGAGCCGCGACGCCAAAUCCGGGGUGAGGUGCGGCAAGCGCCAGCUCGCGAGGCAUCUCACCGCGAGCGACGCGAGGUCCGGCUCAUCCGCGGAGACGGUCCGCUCGAGCACCGCGCGCGUCGCGUCGCCGACGCCGCGCUCCAACGCCUUCAGCGGCUUCCCGCCGUUCAGCGCGUCCAGCAGGAGCUUGAGCCACUCGCGCAGGCCCUGCCGCCACGCCUUCCCCGCGCGCGGCGUGCCGUCGGGUUUCGGCGCGUUGUACGCGAGGAAGAGACGCGCGAUCGGGAGCGGGUGCCGGCUCGCCGCCGACGGCGACGCCGCGACGCAGCGCAGGAGGAGCCCUAAUCGCGCCCACCGCUCGACGCCUUGCUCCACGGGCACCGUGUCGAGGGCCAUGCGUCUCUGAAGCGUCGCCGCGGCCUCGGUGGUGGCGUUCGAACCGGAACCGUCGCCGCCUUCGAAAUCGUCCCACGCCGCGCGCUUGCCGCCGCGUUCGCCGCCCGUUUUCGUUUUCGUUUUCUUCGCCUCAGCCGCUCGCGCCGCCGCGGCGUCGUGCGCGUCCAAACACCCGCGCAUGGUCUCCGUGAGGUCGCCGAACACCACCGUCCACGCCGCCGCGUGCGUCCGCGUCCGCGUCGUGAGCGCGGCCGUCAGCUUGAUCACCUCCGGCCACAGCGUCGCGAGGCGGACGUGCAACGCGCCGGCGGCGCAUUUCGUCAUCGCGACGGCGGCGACGGAAGAGAUUCCGUCGCCGUCGUCGCCGUCGUCGCCGUCGUCGCCGUCGCACACGCCCGCGUCGACCGCGCGCGUCAUCGCCGCCACGGAGACUUGCGAGCGCUUCGCGUACUCCAUCACGUUCCCGCCCUUGGCGCUCACGUCGUGCGCGUCGCGCGCGUUGAUCUCGAGCCAGCGUCUCAACAUCUGAGACACGCUCGACGGCGCGUCGUUCACGGAACGCGCGUCGUCGUCGUCGUCGUCGUCGCCGCCGCCGCCGCCGCUCCCGCCGCCGCCGCUUCCUGCCGCGUACCGCGAGAUCGCGGAGAGGUACCGCAGCGUCGCCACGCGCAGGUGCCGCGACGGCGCGUCGAGCGUGGCGGAGUGCGCGCGCGUCGUCGCGAGCGCGCUCACGGGAAGAGGAGAUUCGUCGCCGUCGCCGUCGCCGUCGCGCGCCGCGUCGAGAAGCUCGGCGGCGGCGUCGAGGACGCCGGGGCACGUCAUCGCCGCGGACGCCGCGCGCACGGCGAGCGCGGCGUCGCGAGGGAACGCGUCUUCUUCUUCCUGCGUCACGGCGCUCGCGGUCGCGCGAAAACGCGCGGCUCUGGCGCGCAUCGCCGCCGCGAGCACCGCCGCCGCGUCGUCCUUCCCACCCGCGGCGUACGCGUUUUGCGGCGCGUUCCCGUCCCCGCGCCCGUCCUCCGCGUCGUCGUCGUCGCGCUCGAGGACGUCCAGCGACCACGUCAGCGCGUCGUUCGUCGCCGCGCGCGUCUCCGCCGCGUCCGCACAGUGACGCAGCACGCGCAGGAGCGCCCACCGUCGCCGCGCGGGAACGGCGGCGUGCUCCGCGCCGCCGCCGCCGCCGCCGCCGCCGCGGCUUCGCGCUCUUACCUCCGCCGCGGCGUCGGGCGCGGCGUCCCUGAUCAUCGCCGCGUCGUCGUCGCCGUAAGCCUCGCGCAGGACGUCGCACACGUCCCCGAGGAGCGCGGCGGCGGCGUCGGCGUCCACGAGCUCUUCCUCGGACGCGAAAUCGUUCGCGUCCGAAGACGCGGCGUUCGUCAACCGCCUUCGCGAAUCAAAAUCAUCCCAGCCGGCGUUGAGCGUCUUCGUCAGCGCCGGCGCCGCCGCGGGGAGCAGCGCGUACAACGCCGCCGCCGCCGCGGGCUCGCCGUCCAUCGCCCUCGCUCGCAGCGCGCCUAAGAAAUGGAACGUCGCGCGAUUCGGCGCCUUGCUCACCGCGCUUCCCCAGCGUCCCGCCGCCGCGCCCACCGCGCUCGGGCCUCGACUCGCGCCGGCGAUUUUAUUAUGCGCGUCGACGAGCGCCAGGCACACGCGGUGGACGCCCUCGGCGAGCGCUUGCCACGUGGACGCCGACGUGGACGCCGACGUGGACGCGCGCUUCGAAGCGCGCUCGAGCGCGGGGAGCGCGGACGUCGUCAGCAGCGCGAAGAUGGGGUCGUAGUCCUCGACCCUCGCGCCGCGGUACGCCUCGACGGCGGCGGCGACGACGCUCAGACUCCUCGCCGCGCGCGUCGUCGUCGCCGCGGCGUCCUCUUCUUCUUCUUCUUCUUCGUCGUCUUCUUCUUCUUCGUCGUCGUCGUCGGAGCUCUCGUCGCCGGAGGCGUCGUCGCCGUCCUCUCCCUUCGCCUUGACCGCCGCGCACGCCCGCCUCGCCGCUCUCAACGCGCGCGACCACAUCGCCGCGCACUUCCCGCGUCUCGUGUGCUUCGCCAACGCGUCGAUCGUCUUCUCCGCGACGUCGUACGCUCUCGAUAACGCCACGUCAGCGUCGGUUUCGCCGUCUCUGCGCAGGACGCGCGCGGACGGACGAAGGACGCGUCGAAGCACGCGCGGCGCCCUGGAGUGCAGCCCGUGCGCGGCGCCUUUCAUGCUCUCCGCGAGCAGAUGCCCGGCGGCGUCGACGUUGUUUUCGAUUUCCUUCGCCGUGACGUCCCGCCGCGUCGUCGUCGUCGUCGUCUUCAUCGUCUUCGUCGUCUUCGUCGCCACGUCACCAUCCAUGUCAUCACCCUCCUCGGCACCCUCCUCGGCACCCUCCUCGACGUCGACGUCCACGUCGACCAAAACCUCCGCCGACGACGACGUCGCCUCGUCCAGAAGCGCGUCCACCCCGCGUCGACACGCCGCGUCGGGCGCGGCGCGAAACAAAAACGCAGUCGCCUACGAGCGAACGUCGGGGUGGAGUUGAAAGGCGUCAGAAGCGGAGUUGAAAGGUUCCGAGGGCGGGGAUUGAAACCGUGGGACCCUGGGCGGAGAGACACGCCGAGAAAAGUCCUUAAUAAUCGGCGUUCACCACGCGAACGGGGUCGUAUGGGGACCAGUGUGAAGGAGAACGCGCCUGCGCGGCGAACAGCCGCACGUGCGCGCUCCUGUGCCGCCGCAACUGCCGCGUGAGGUCCAACGCCCUCGGCAAGUCCGUCGCGAGCUGUCGCUGCAUCCACUUCAAGAUCUUCGCGAGGCACGCGAAGACGUGCUCUAGGAGCUCCGGCUCUCGCUCGAUGCCCGUGCGGCACAGCCGGGCGAGUCGAUUCGUAACCGCGGAGAGAUGCGGAAUGAAAUCCGAGCGGAGGUCGCGCGCCAGCGCGGCCAAGCACGCGAGCAGCGCCUCCAGCGAGUGCUUCGCCUCGUGCGUGAGCCUGCUCAGCAACUUCUCGACGACCUCGUCCUGGUGCAGCACGAGCAUCGCGAGCGAGUGCGCGCGCGGGGAGGCCUCCGCGGAGAAGGCUGAGAAAUCCGCGCCGCAGCAGAGCUCCGCCCACUGCGCGAGCGCCUCCUGGAAGAAGCACGAGCUCCCGUGCAGCGGCGCCGCGCGCAGCUCCCCCGCGGCUCUGUGGACGUCGACGUCCACCUCCGCGACCCUGCGCGCGAAGUUUUUGAACGCGAACGCGCGCUGCUUGGGCGGUUUGCGUCCGAGCGCCGCGCGCGCGUCGUCGUCGUCGGACGACGACGACGCGUCGCCAUCGAAAUCGCCGUCGUCGCCGCCGCCGCGCUUCCGCGCCUCGCUCGCGAAGUUUCCAAACUUCGCGGCGACGAACUUGGCGUCGUCCUUGCGCGCUUGCUUCUUGCUCGUCUUCAGGUCCGGGUCCGCGAACCCCCUGCGGCGCUUGUUCGUCACCUGCUUCGCCGCCUUGCCCUUCUUCGCGCCUCCACCAGACUUUGGCGGCAUCGCGGACGCCGACGCCGACGCCGCCGAGACGCGCGCGCGCGCGUCCGGGGACGCCUCCGACGCCGCUUCCGCGCCGCGCGAUCGACCGGUGCGCGCCGCUCGGUCUGCGCGUCGCCCCUCGGCCCUCGCGCGGUCGUCGAUUGGCGCCGCCGCACGACUGAGCAACAACGAGAGCGGAGUCGGCGCCGGCGCCGGCGCCGCGCCGGCGGCGUGAUGAUCCGGUCGGUCGGCCUCGCUGCGCUCCGGCAGUGCUCGGACGAGACGACUGACUCCCGCCGCCGCCGCGAUCGACCUCUUUCCGCGGCGCCUCGCACGCGCAGGCCGGCCGCGACGCGAUACCACCGAACUAAGGGCCCGCCAUGGUGCGUCGACGAUCCCUCCCGCGCGGUCGCGAUCGGCGCGCUACGUCUCGCGGCGCGCCGAUCGCGCCGCGGACGCUCGCGCCCAAACCCUACGACGAUCGAUCGACGAUAAUAAUCUGUGUCUGUCUCUCGCGCCGCGUCGCCGGCGCGAGUGGCGUCGCUCGACGGCGGCCGUUCGCGGGUCCCUCCCACCCCGCGCGAACGAUUCGCUGACCCUCCCUCCCUCCCGUCCCUUCCUCUCAACCCUAAACGCUUCAGGCGUCCAAGUUCUGGGGCGGCGACAGCUCCGAUAGCGGAUCGGACAGCGGAUCGGAGUCCUCCUCCUCCUCGUCAAACGGGUCCGGGUCCUCGUCCUCCGGGUCCUCGUCCUCCGGGUCGUCCUCGUCCUCGGAGUCGGACGCGGGGCCGUCCAAGUACCUCCAGGCCGGGUCCUCGGACUCCUCCUCCGAUGAGGGCGUCCGCGUCGUGCGAAGCGCCAAGGACAAGCGCUUCAUCGAGGCGCGCGCCAUCGCGGACGAGAUGCGAAACAAGAUCAAAAACAACGACUGGAUCUCGCUGCAGACGCUGUUCGACAAACUGAACAAGCAGCUCGAGAGGGUCAUGCGCUUGCAAAACGAGGUCGGCGGCGGCGUCCCGAAGUUCUACUACCGCGCGCUCGCGACGUUGGAGGACGCGAUCGAGGCGACGUUCGCAAACAAGCCCGCGAUCAAGAAGAUGUCCUCCACCAACGCCAAGGCAUUCAACGCGAUGCGGCAACGCUUGAAGAAACACCAGCGCGACGACCCCACCGUGGAGGCGGGGAUCCGAGCCGCGCACGAGAAGAUGGAGUCCACGGACGAGGACGAGAGCGAGCCGGAGAGCGACUCGGACUCGGACGCGGAUGACGACGACGACGAGAAGGAGAAUAAGCAAUCCGCCGACGCCGACGACGGCUUCGAGACGGUCGGGAAGGGCGGGAAGACCAAGGGCAAGGGCGCGGCGGCGGCCGCGGCGGCGCAGCCGCCGAAGGAGCUCGACGUCAUGACCGCGCCGAAGGAGAAGAUCACGUACGAGAUGGUGGACAAGAAGCUCAAGGACAUCAUCGCCAGCCGCGGGAAGAAGGGGACGGAUCGUCACGAAAACGCGGAAAACCUCGCCUACCUGGCCACCGUCUCCACGUGCGCGUCGCAGGAGAUCGAGUCGCUCAUCAUGCUCAUCAGCGCGCAGUUCGACAUCUCCGGGAGCAUGUCCGCGCACAUGCCGAUCCCGAUCUGGAAGCGGUGCGUGAACAACCUCCUCAGGAUCGACAAGCUCCUCUCGGAGAAUAAACAGAUCACGCUCACGGAGGACGUCGAGCCCCAGCCCAAGCCUCCGCCGGAGGACAUCGUCGCGGGCGCGCCCGUGCAGCUCUGGGGGUCUCUGUGCGCGUUCACCGAGCGUCUGGACGACGAGUACUUCAAGUCGAUGCAGUCGAUCGAUCCGCACAGCAAGGAGUACCUGUUCAGGAUGCAAGACGAGUCGCUCUUCAUCGUCCUCUGCGCCGCCGUCGUGCGGUACUACGAGAACCGCGACGACGCGACGGAGAUUCACUGCAAGCUGUCGCUUCGUCUGCUCGAGCACCUGUACUACAAGCCCGAGCCCGUGUACGAGGCGCUGAGGAAGUUCGCGACCGCGAAGCUCGAAGACGCGGACGCGCUCGAGGCGAAGCUCGCCGCGGACGCCGUCGCCGCGGCGGCGGCGGCCAAGGCGAAGGAGGAGGCGAAGAGGAUCCGCGAUAAGCAGGCGGAGGAGGAGGACGAGGAGUACCUCGACGACGAGGACGCGGACCAGGCGGAGGCGAAGGAGGCGCAGGAGAUUCCGUACCCCGCCGGGUUCAGGUUCCCCGCGCCGUCGCUUCCGGAGACGCUCAAGAAGCUGUCGCUGACUAUUUACAAAGACGGCGACACGCGAAGCAAAGCGCGCGCGAUGCUGUGCGAGAUUUUUCAGAAGGGCCUCGUCGGCGACUUCCGCGCCGGCCGAGACCUCAUGCUCAUGUCGCACCUGCAAGAGAACAUCUCGCACAUGGACAUCUCGACGCAGAUCUUGUUCAACCGCGCGAUGGCGCAGCUCGGCCUCGCCGCGUUCCGCGGCGGGUUAUUCGCCGAGGCGCAGUCGUGCCUCGGCGAGAUGUACCAAGGCGGCCGCGUCCGCGAGCUCCUCGCGCAGGGCGUCACGCAGUCCCGCUUCCACGAGCGCUCCAUCGAGCAAGAGAAGCUCGAACGCCGUCGUCAGAUGCCGUUCCACAUGCACAUCAACCUCGAGCUCUUGGAGUCGGUGCACCUCGUGACGUCCACGCUCGCGGAGGUGCCGUACAUGACGCAAACGUCCACGCGGCGGGCGCGGUCGACGAAUAAGCCGUUCACGCGAAUCUGCGAUAACUACGAGCGGCAGACGUUCAACGGCCCGCCGGAGAACGUUCGGGAUAACGUCAUGGCCGCGGUCAGGUUCCUGCUCGACGGGCGGUGGUCGCACGCGAAGGAUAUCAUCCUCGGGUUGGAGGCGUGGAAGCUCCUUCCCGGCGACGCCGCGCCCGUGCUCGAAAAGGUUGUUAACCGCCUCAAGGAGGAGGCGAUGCGAACGUACCUGUUCCAGUUCGCGGCGCAGUACAACUCCGUGUCCAUGGACGUCAUCGGCAAUAUGUUCGACCUCGACCAGAAGUCCGCGCACUCCAUCGUGAGCCGAAUGAUCAUCAACGAGGAGCUGCGGGGGAUGUGCGACGCGGUGACCAACUCCGUCGUGAUGUCGCACGCGGAGCCCACCCGUCUUCAGUCGCUCGCGAUGACGUUCGCGGAGAAGUGCGCGGUGCUACUCGACGCGAACGAGCGCGCGCUCGAGCUGCACGUCGGCACCGGCGGCGCGCAGCUGUUCGAUUACGACGACGACGGCGGCGGCGACGGCGGGCGACGCGGCGGUCGCGGCGGCCGCGGCGGGAGAGGCGGCCGCGGCGCGGGCGGGGAGUGGGAAGACGACGGCGGCGGCGGUCGCGGCGGGCGGGGCCGCGGCGGAAGAGGCGGGAGAGGCGGUGGUCGCGGGAGAGGCGACCGCGACGGCCGCGACGGCGGCGGGCGGCGCCGGCAGGAGAGCUACUCGAACUUCUCCACGCGACGGGGCGCGGAGGGCGACUUCGCGAAGCGCGGCGGCGGGAAGUUUAAGAAGGAUCCGAAGGAGGACCAACGCGAUCCCACGGAGCGGAUGGUCUCCCUCAAGGCUGGGAACUGGAGGCGCUGACCUGACGACGAGUGCGAGUUCUCGCCGCCGCUUAGAAGAGUACGCUAGUACGCUGAUACUACAAAAAAAUACACGUUACCCCUACGACGAACGCUACCAAACGAAACGGGUCGACGCGGGACGUUACCGAGACGACCUAUCUCGUCACCUAUCUCGUCGCCUACGACGCCUCCGGCUCGCCCUCCGCGGCGGUCGCCGUCGCCGUCAUCAUCCCGUCGAGAAACCCGCGCUGAAUCUCCGCGUUGCUCUUCUCCAUGUUUUGCAUCACCAACCCGCGGCAUAUGUCCCACUCGAAAUCCCCGCCCGCGUACGCGGUCCUCACGUCCAUGACCCGCCGCGCGAUCGAGGGGUCCGCCGCGGUGAGCUUCUCUAAAAACGCGUCGCCGUCCUUCACCGGGUUGGCCUCGAGAAAAUCGAGCAGGAACGCGUGCACGUUCGUCACCCGCGCCGCCUCUCUCGUGCCCUCGUUCGAGUCCGCGUCGUCGACGCCGUCCGCGCCGUUGCUCGUGCUGAUCUUCGGCGCCGCGGUCUCGGUCUGGUCGAUCACGAUCCACGUCGCGACGUAGGUGAACAGCGCGGUCAGGAGUCGCGAUGCCUUCUUCUCGGGCGUCUCGCCCCCGAACGCGCCCGCGGGGACGAACAUCUUCGGGUCGUCGCUGAACGACGCGCGGGAUGGCGGCGCGUGGGCACGCGCGCGGGGGCGGCGGCGGUCGCGGCGCGUCGGGACGGAGAUGGAGGGCGCGAACGACGACGCGCGGAGGAGGGACGCCAUGCUGCCGCGCGGCGUGGAAUAACACUGAAGUUUUUUUUCUCCACGGCGGACUUUUUCCAGACUUUUUCGAACAGGCGGGAAGAAGCCACGACGGCGGCGGGGCGCGCCACUUCCCGAGCGCGCGCGACGACGAGCGCGCCUCGAUCGCGUCGGAUCGCACCGCGCGGACUCUACAUCGCGCGCGACGGCGAACCCGCGCGGCGUCAUGACGGACGCGAACCAGCUCCCGUUCGAAGGCUUGGGGCGAAGGCUUGGAUCCAAGGCUUGGGGCGAAGGCUUGGGUCUCCUAGGGCGGCUCCCGUUCGAAGUCCUCGCGAACGGCGUCUUCGCGACGCUGGACGACACCGAGGUCGCGGUGUUCGCGCGGACGAGCGGCGGGUGUUUGAAUCUCGCGAAGCGCGCCCGGCGCAGGCUCAGGCUCAGGUACAUGAACAAGGAGAACUUCGUUCACUCCGUCGAGAGGCUGCGGUGGGCGAAAGAGUCCCUCGGGCUGGAGUGGGACGAGCACUUAACCAGCCUCGCCGCGGGAAGCGGAAAUCUCGAGGUCUUGCAGUGGGCAUGGGAGAACAGUUGUCCUAUCUGCGCGGGAGCUACAUCCAACGCCGCCGGGCAAGGCCGUCUCGAAGUCUUGAAGUGGCUACGGACAGCGAAGACGCACCCGGGGGCGCUCACGAAUACGAACGACGGGAAGUGUCCUUGGAGCGCUAGAUCCUGCGCCUUAUCUGCUGAGGGCGGGCACUUCGAGGUGUUGAAAUGGCUGCGUGCGAAUGGAUGUCCGUGGGACGCUUCGACGUGCAGCGGUUCGGCGAAAGCGGGCUCCCUAGACAUGUUGCAGUGGGCGCGGGAACACGGUUGCGAAUGGAGUGCGCGAACCGUAAACGACGCCAUCAGCGGAAAGAGUGUCGAAGUUUUAAAAUGGGCGGUGUUGAACGGCUGCCCUUGGGAUGACAGUUCGUGCCAGAUGAUUGCAGAGUUGUCGAGCGGUGGUAUCGAAAUGAUGACGUGGGCGCGCGAACACGGGUGUCCGUGGGGUAGAAUCGAUAUCUGGGGCGCAACCGAAAGAGCCGCUUGCCGCCGGGAUAUCGAAAUGUUGACGUGGCUUCGCGAGCGUGGGUGCCCGUGGAGUCGUGAUACUUUCGGAGGGGUUUCGUCGAAGUGGCAUCCGAAUCCGAAAGACAUAGUCAUCGUGGAUGGAACAACAAAAAUCGAGAUGUUUGAAUAUUUACGCGCAAACGGAUGCCCUUGGACUGCGAAUGCUGCCAAGCACGCUGCCGAAAUCGACGACUUUGAAGCUUUGAAGUGGUUCCACAACGCGGGGUAUCCUUUCUCUUUUUGGGCUUGCACGGCGGCAGCCGGGCGAGGUAAUCUUGAGGUGCUCAGAUGGUUACACGAGCACGGUAAACCGUGGAACUGGACGUGCUGCGCUUUCGCAGCAGGAUGCUCAUCAUUAGAAGUCUCCGAGGACGAACGCAUCGAGGUUCUGAAAUACGCACUCGACAACGGCGCAGUCUUUAACUACAGAGCAUGUUCUCACGCCGCGUAUCACGGGAACCUAGAGGUGUUGAAGUUCUUACGAUCGCGUGGGUGCGAUUGGAACGAGGAUACGUGUGCGUACGCCACACAUCAGUGUAACUUACACGUGUUGAAGUGGGCACGAGAACACGGAUGCCCGUGGGAUCACAGGAUUCUUCACUACGCCGUGGACAGUUUGAGAACCGAAAACAAACGGGAGUUGCUCGCGUGGGUACUGACGAACGGGUGCAUCCUGGCAAAUUUAGGAGAAAGCAGAAUCUACUACGAAGUGAUAGAAGAAGAUAGCGACUUUGGAUAUCUCGACAGCGAAGAGGAGUACGACAUUUCCAGCGACGAAGACAGCGAUGACGACAGCGAUGACGACAACUCGCUCGACUUUGAUCUAUUCGAUUAGACCAAAGCGUUCGACGACGACGUGACGAAUGACGAUUUCAUUUCAUCUACUACGAAACCUCAACAUCACGCCCCCGCCUGCAUCGGCGGCGGUGCCGCGCACACGUAAUCCAACAAGAACACGCUCGCCUCCGCGGUCGCGGCCAAGUCCUCGUGCAUCGCCGCGAACGCCUUCGACAACCUCCUCAGCGCCGGCAACAACUGCUCGCUCCCCCCCCCUCCCCCGCCGCCGCCGCCCGCGCCCACCAGCGCCCCCACCAUCCCCCCGUGCGCGGCCGCGUGGAUCGCCCGCCCGUGCGCGACGCACAGCUCCCUCGCCCACCGCAGCAUCAGCUGCGCGUGCGGCCCUCGCGUCGCCCUCGCCGCGAUCGACUCGAUCAGCGGCGAAAGCAACGCGGGUGGAAAAUCCCGAAGCGCGCCGGCGACGGCGUCCGGCGGAGUCUUCUCCAGCACCUCCCGGACGAGCGCCUCGUCCUCCUCCGCGCCUCUCAGACGCAGCGCCAUGAGCAGCGCGACGCGCGCGUCGCCGUGUCUCAGCGCGCGGCGCGCGGCGGCGGGGGUCACGUCCUCGCCGAGGUCGGUCGGAUCGAACGCGGCGCCCGCGUCCUUGGCGAAGACCAUCACGCCCUCCGUCGUGGACGCGGCCCAUCCUUGGCCGGUGGGCGCGAACGCGACGUGCUUGCAUCGGAUCGUCUUGCGCUUCUUCUUGCCGUUGUUCGCGUUGGAGGAUCCCGCGGCGUGGGCGCGCGCGCCGGGGAUGUCGUUCGCGUCGUCGUCGUCGUCGUCGUCGUCGUCGUCGUCGGGUAACAGGUCCAGCGGCCCGGCGUCCGUGACUCUGCUCGAGUCCAACCGCUCGAUCGUCCCGUCCAUGGCUUUGCUCUUCGACAGCGAAAACUUCCUCAGCAGCGACGUCCCCUCGACGUCGUACAUGCACACGCUCUUGCCGUUCCCUCCCGCCAUGAGCAGCGCGCCGUCGGCGCUGUACGCGAGCGUCUUGAACGCGCGGCCGGCGUUUACGUUGGCGCCCGAGCGCAAGUCGCCGAUUGUCUUUCCGCCCGCCAUGUCUCUCCUGCCCUCGAUCGUGCCCUCCAACCGCGCGUCGUCCGGUUUCCACAGAAAGAUCUGCCCGUCCAGCGUCGCGGCCGCGAGCUGCUUGCCGUCGGGGCGGAACGCGACGGCGAGGACGUCGUGCGCGUGCUGGAGAACGUCCGUCUGACCUCGGCCGUCGUAGACGUCCCAGAGCCUGACUGUCUUGUCCCAGGACCCGGACGCGAGGAGCGGGCUCUCGGGGGAGAAGCACAGCGCGUUCACGGGGCCUUGGUGCCCGGCGAAGAUGUCCAGGAGCCGACCGGUCUUGAGCGACCAGAUGUGGAUCUGGAACGUGUCCAAGGAACCUGCGACGAGAGUACAGAGAGGAGGGGGCGCGGGGUCAGCGAGCGAAGCGGAAGCGGAGGGGGGGAAGGGGAAUGCGGGGCGUUCGCGUCCUGGCCGCCGCCGCCGCCGCCGCCGCGGAUGGAGAUCAGAUUUAAAAAGCUCGUAUGUUGAUUUUGAUCCUCACUGGACAUCAGCAUUGGAUUUCGUAACAAUCAUCCUGUCCCAUCCGCGCGCGGCGACGCGUCGAGUCCGAGUCGAGGAAACGAAAAACGAAAACGAAACCGAGAGAAAAGAUCCAACGAAGAAAAGUCUCGGGCGCGUUUCGCGCGCGCGCACCCGCGCACACGAUCUCCCCCGAGGGAUCCACGGCCAGCGAGACGAACUGGCACGGGUCCGGCGACGUCAGCGUCUUGAAGUUCCGGUACCGCAUCAGGUCGAACGCGCGCACGGUCCCGUCCAUCGACGCCGAGAGCACCGCGUGCCCCGACGGCAAAAAACACACCGCGCCCACCGGCCCCGAGUGCUCGUCGAACGUCACGAAACAGCUCCCCGUGGCCGCGGACCACACCUUCACGGUGUUGUCGUCCGACGCCGUCGCGAUCAACGCGCCGUCGGGGGAGUACGCGCACGCGUUCACGUCGUAGUAGUGCCCCUGCUGCUUGUACACGUACGUCUCCGACUGCCACUCCCAGACGAGCAGUUGUCCCAACUUGGCGCAGCCGAGCGCGAUCCACUCCCCGGUCUCGUUCCACUCGCACGACGUCACCUUCUGCGUGGAUAUGGAGAGCGUCUGGAGGUGGUUGAACUCGCCGGUCGCGAGCCUGUGGAGCGUGAAGACGCCGUGCGCGAACCCGGCGCACAGCAUCCCGCUCCUCGCGUGGUACCGCGCGCAAGAGAGCUUAUUCGGCAUGUGGAAAAAAUGUUUUCCGCGGAGACGCCACCGCCGCCCUUUCGGUUUCUUCUUCUUCGCCGCCGCCGCCGCUUCGCCUUUCUUCCUUCGCUUACUCUUAUUACUACCGUUCGCAUCGUCUUCGUCUUCGUCUUCGUCGUCCAGCAGCUGCCACUCGAACAGAGCGCCGUCCUCGGAUAUCGUGUAGCACGAGAACCCGUCGAGUUGCGCGCAGAACGCGACGGCCACCAGCGGCUCGCGGUGGCCGCUCAGCGUCGGCGGCGCGUACCCGUCGAGAUGAUUCGCGCUGUAUAUCCUCGCCGUGAGGUCCUUCCCGCCAACGAUGAUCCACUGGCUGUCGCCGGACCACGCGAGGCACGUCGCGUCGUCGUACAUGCCGCCGUACGUGCGAAGGAGACGGAACGGCGCGAACUCUUUGAGCAUCGUCGGCGUCGCCCAGAUCUGGACGAGCUUUCCGACGAGGACGGCGAAGGAUUUGCCGCACGGGGAGAACUCGCACGCGGUGACUUUGCCCUUGAAGUUCAUGUGGUGCAGCGUGACGCGUUUUCUGCGACGACCGACCGACGAGAGGCGUGGGAGGUGAGAGACUGGACGGUUGGAGGAAUUCGAUGCGAACGACGACGCGAACGAACGAACGACGCGAACGAGACGUCCUUCCUCCCCGCCGCGCGAUGCCUCGUCAAGUCGUCGUCCUCAACGACUCGCGUCGAUCAGUUCUCAACAUCGAAUUAACUUUUAUUGCUUUUCGUCAUCGGCAUCGCGGCGCGGGGACGCGGGAGCGGCGGCGCAUCCGAACGAGGGAUGGGAAAUCGCGUCGUCGCGCGAGCGCGCAAUGAGUGACGGGCGAGGACGCACCGAACGUUCACGAGGAUCGCGCGCCCGUCCGUGUCGAACGACAGCAUAUGAUGCCCCGACGGCGACACCGCGACGCAUCUGAUCUCCGUCAAGUUCUCGCACGGCAGCGUCGUGGACGACGACAGCUGUAGGUCCACCUCGGAGACGCGGUUCCCGACGCUGCUGAUGAGAUGGUGCCCGCGCAGGCACAGGUUCCCGCCGCGGUACGGCGCGCCGAGAAGGUUAUUGAAUCGAUAGUGCGCCAUCGCGUCGACGCGCGCGCCCGCCGCGGUCGGGUGUGAUGCGCGGUUCGCGGCGCCCUGCCCCGCGCGCGUCGCUGUGGACGUCGGGGCGGCGGCGAGCGACGAACAGAAGUCAGAAUAAUCUCGUCAGCCGCCGCCGCCGCCGACUCCGAAACUCAACGACGGCGCGCGUCGCGCCGCGGUUUCGCUCGUCGCGCGCCAUUCCGCGGGACGCCGCGCGCGCGAAAGCAGGUCGCCCGCGCGCCGCGUCGAGAGCGAUGGCGAAGGCCGCGGCGGCGACGGCGCGCGGGAGCAAGCGACGCGCGGCGUCGGACGCGGACGCGACGCCGUCGUCGGGGAAGAAGGCGAAGAAGAAUGCGAAGAAAUCGAAAUCGAGCGCGAAGAAGCGAUCCGACGGCGACGCGCACGGGUGGCGCCCGCUCCCCGUCCGCCUCGACUUCGGCAGCGCGUUCACGCGCCACCUCUUCGUGCGCGUCCCGUCCGCGAACGCCGCGGAGGGCGCCACGGAGGGCACCGCGCUGUUCGUCGCGGCGAUCCCCCUCGGAUGGACGCGCGCGCAUCUCCGAGAGCUCUUCGAGGAAAACUUUGGCGCGGUCGAGGAGACGUCGCUCGUGACCUUGGACGCCGCGCCCGACGUCGCGGGCGGCCUGGUGCGCUUCGCGUCCGCGAGCGGCGCGAAGAAGGCGCUCGCGGCGAGCGUCCGCGGGGGCGACGCGCUCGACCCGCCCGCGUCGCUGGCGCCGACGUCGAUCGGCCUGGAGAAGUGGGUCGGACAUCAUCGACACGCGCGGCCGGGGAGCGAGGUGCGUUCUAUACACUGGUCCCCAUACGACCGCGUUCGCGUGGUGAACGCCAUUCCUUAAGGACUUUGCCCGGCGUCUCUCUCCGCCCACCCCACGGUUUCAAUACCCGCCCUCGGCGUCUUUCAACUUCAACUGACGCCUUUCAACUCCACCCCAACGUUCGCUCGUAUGGAACGACCCUGAGGCGUUGGGGAGACGGAUAGACGAGUGGUUCGAGGCGUUCGAGGCGGAGGAGGCGAGGAAGGAGGCCGCGGCGAAGGCUGCCGGGGAGGGAGACGACGGGUGGACCGUCGUGGAGGCGAAGCGAGGAAGGAGGAAGACGACGGAUGAUGAGGGCACCGCGGUGGGCGGGAUCCGAGCGGCGACCGCGGACGCGAGGCGAACGGCGGGGCCGACGCCGAGGGAGAACUUCUACCGGUUUCAACAGCGCGAGAAGCGCCGAGGCGAGCUGUUCGAGCUGAAGCAGAAGUUCGAGGUGGACAAGGAGAGGGUCGCGAAGCUCAAGGCGAGCCGCAAGUUCAGGCCGUUGUGACGCGGCGCGAUCUCGCGGGCGUUGGCGCGCGCGACAGCUGUGUGACCAGACUCCUUUAAUCACGAUAAAAGAAUUCUCGACGAUCCUUCGAUCACAUCGCGACCUGCUCGUCCUGCUCGCGCUCCAAGAUGUCCAGCUCCCCCCGCGUCACCUCCAUCUUCCGCUCCAAAACCUUCAGCGCGUUCACGACGAUCUCCUCCGGUCGCAGCGCGCCCGUGGACUCCACCGUGAAGUGAAACGCGUCCUCCUUGGCGCGGAUGUCCACCAGUCCCGGCUUCCCGAGUUCCUCCGCCUUCUUCAGACACUCGCCGUCGUACCCGUACUGAGGGUCGAGCGAACGUCGGGGUGGGUGGAGUUGAAAGGCGUCAGAAGCGGAGUUGAAAGGCGUCGCGGCGUGUCGGGAGGGAUUGAAAGCGAGGGACCCUGGGCGGAGAGAAACGACGGGCAAAGUCCUUCAGCAGAAACGGCGCGCGCGACGCGAACGCGGUCGUAUGGGGACCGGUGCGGUAACAGAACGCGCCUGAUCCGGCGCGUCGACGACGACGCGCCUCGUCGCCUCGUCGUAGCGGAACAACGCCGUCGGCGACGACUCCACGAACGCCAUCUUCUCCUCCUCCGUGAGCGUCGCCAUCAGCUCCUCGUUGAUGGUGAUCUCGGGCUCGAACCGAUACGUCGCCGUCGCGACGGGCUGCCACUUCGCGUGGUCUCGCCCCACGCCUUUCCUUGCCACGCACCGCAUGUUGAUCUGCUGCCCUCUCCGCAACUUCACGAUCACGACGCCGGGGAUGUCCGGUCCGUCGUCGGGACCGCGCGCCGCCGCCUGCGCUUCGAACUCCAUCGCGCCGCCUUUACCCUUGAUGGACUCUCCCGGGUGGUAAUUCACCGGCGCGACUCUCGGGUCGUAGCACACGAGAUCGUUCGACGUCACGUCCACCGUCUCCGCGCUCGCGCAUAUCCCCGUGUUCAGCUCGAAGUGCACGUCCGUCACGCUCUCGUCGUCGCCCGCGUAGUCGUACGGGAACUCCAUCUCCACCGCCUUCUCGCUCAGCAGAGGGAUCAGCCCGAGGCGAUGCGCGAUGAACUCGUCGCACAGGCAACUCGUGUUCUCGAUCACGUCCACGAGGUCGAUCGCGAGCGUCGGGACCUCCGCGAUGAUGACGCGCCGCAGCGCGUUCGCGACGGAGGUGUCCGUGUGCAGUAGCGCGAAGCGGAUCUUCUCGUGCGUGAGCUCCUGGACGACGAUCGACGGCGAACGCUGCUUCGGCUCCGUCGUCGGCGCCAUGACGACGGAUUCUUAUACACGACGACGACGGCUGGAAAACUCUUUCUUCCUCGAGGGCCGAUCGCGCGCGUGAUCGACGCGCGCGAAGACCGGGUUCGAUCGAGCGCGGGGUGGGCGCGCGUCCUGGGGUCCCCGCGGAGAGUCGCGCCGCGACGGAUCGGUCGAUCGGCGUGGUGCGCGCGCGAGCGAGUGCGGCGAGCGCGCGCGCGGAGAGGGUUUCACGUGAGAAUCGGCGCCGCGGCAAACUCAGGUGCGUUCUAUACAAAAGUUUUUCACCCAUACUCGUAGCAUAGACCGGUUUCAACACUUGAUCGCGUCUACUUUCAACUGACCGGUGAACUUCAUGGAACGACCCUGAACGUGAACGUGAUCGCGAGCGCCCCGGCGAGCGCGCGCGAGCGGCCGCGGCCUCGCGACAUUUCCAGUCCUUCUCGCGAGGCCGCUCGGCCACUCCGCGCCGCGCGAACGCGCCGAGUCACGGUCCCGCGCCGCCGCCGCGGACGCGCGCCGACGCCCGCCCGCGCGGAAUGGCGUUAGGCUCCGGGAAGCUCCGAGCGGCGACGAACCGCGUGAGGUGCGCGCGCGGGGACCGAGAUCGACGCCCGCGACUCCAGGAUGGAUGCCCACUCCGUCUCGUCAUCGUUCGAACGUUCGGUCUUUCACGCCUUAAAUACCCGUCUGACGCGCGCGUCCCUCGCGUCCCUCGCCUCCCGCGCCCUCGCCCUUCCCCCCCAUGGCGUGGCCCCCACCCCAGGACGUCGCUCGCGAACAACACGAACGAGAUAUGGACGGACCUGAUCGGCAUACAGCAGAGCAAAGACGCGGGGACGAACAGCGCGAUCGAGGCGUCGAUCAAGGUUCCAGGACGCAUCGGCGGCGCGGGCGUCGGCACGGGCAGGAGACGUCAACGCGACGACGCGAUCAUUCACCCCACGGAGGCGCUCGUCGCGCUCGCGCGUUUGCAGAGCGCGCGGAAUUCGGCCGCGGGCGCGGUCGUGGAGGGCGACCGCGGCGUGUGCCGCGUGUGCGGCGGCACCGGACACCUGACGUCGAUGUGUAAGAACGAGUACGCGAUGUUAAAAGACGACGACGACGCGGCGGAGGACUCGGUCACGGACCUGAGCAGCGACAGCGACAGCGACAGCGGCGACGGGGGAGGGAGGAAGCGGAAGCGGAAGAGCGGCGGCAAGAAGAAGAAGCGCAAGAAGAGCCACCGCAAGAAGAAGUCGAGCGGCAAGGGGAGAAAGAAGAGCUCGAAGAGGAAAAAGAAAAAGAGGCGGCGGGACAGCUCGAGCGACUCGGACUCGGACUCGGACUCGGACUCGAGCUCGAGCUCGAGCUCGUCGUCGAGUUAAGGUUAAGGUUAGUAAAACGGUGCAACAAGACGUACGUAGGGACUAGUAGUGGCAUCGCGUCGUCCUUCACGCCUCCGCGGCGUCGGCGUCGGCUUCCUCUCCGCCUCCGCCGCCGCCCUCGCUCCCCUCGCCGUCCUCGCUCCCCUCGCCCCCGCCCGGUCGUUGGUUCUCCUUCCCGAGCUUCUUCAGCCCAAUCUUCGUGAGGUACGACGGCGCGUCGUGCUGCGCGAGCGCCUCCACGUUCGCGGUGUCCCCCGAGAUGUUCCACAGCGCCGCCUGCGCGUGCCACCGCGUCUGCGAAUCUUUCGUCUCCAACAGCGGAAGGAGCAACGUCAACGCGCCGUGGGACGACGCGAUGCGCGCGGCCCAGUCGCCGCGCGUCGUCAUCCGUCGCAGGACCCCGGCGGCGAAGGAUCGCGCCUCGAUCAUCGCGGGCGUCAGCGUGGGUUUCUUCGGCGCGGCUUUUUUCUUCUUUCCUCCCUUCUUGCCGCCCUUCUUUUUGCCGCCUUUUUUCUUUCCCUUCUUCUUCUUCUUGCCGCCGCCGGCGUCGUCCUCCGCCUCCGCCUCGGUCGCGCCCGCGUCUUCGGUCUCUCCCGCGUCGUCGCCUCCUUCGCCGUCGUCGUCGCCACCCUCGCCGUCGUCGUCGCCGCCGCCUUCGCCGUCGUCGCCGCCUUCGCCCUCGCCGCCGGACCCUUCCCCGCCGUCGCCGUCGCCGUCGUCGUCGUCGUCGCCGGAACCCUGUUCUUCGUCGUCCUCCUCCUCCUCCUCUACCAACCCGUCGCCGUCGUCCGCGAGCUUCUUCUUCUUCUUCUUCGGCUUCUCCGGGGUCGGCUCCGCCUCCUCCGGGACCGGGUCCUCGGGCGGCUCCUCGCGGACGAACCCCUCCGGUAGCCCCGCGGCUCCCGCGCACAACAUCACCAGCGGAUGAAUGCCCCCCUCGUCGAUCACCAUCUCCAUGCGACGCAUCUCUUCUUCGCUCGGCGUCACCAUCAUCGCGACGGACACGUUCAGGCUCUCGCCCAGGUUGUGCGUCAGCACGGACGACUCCGCGCGCGAGUUCAUCGUCGGCAGGGCGAGCGCGUCGAGCUUCGCGGGCGCGGCGAUGGUCUUGAGCGGACUCGCCGCCGCCGCCGCCGCGUCCGCCCCAGGGUCCUCGCCCGCGCCGCCCGCUUUGGCUCGCUCGCCAGGAGCUCCCGCGUCGCUGCCCCCGCCGCCGUCGCUGCCUCUGUCGUCGUCGUCGUCGUCGUCGUCGUCGUCCAAGCUCGCGCCCGCCAUCGCCCUCGCGGCGGCGGCGGCGGGGUUAUUCUUUUCCUCGUGCGCGCGCAUCUCCUCCUCGUACUUUCGCCGCGACUGCGUGCACACGUUGAAGAUGGUCGCGCACGCGUUCGCGCGGCACUGCAGCGUCGCGGUCUCUUUCUCCUCCCACAUCACGCGCACGAGACCUCUUAUGAUCUCCCUCGUGGAGAUGGCGUCCUUGACCUCGUCGAGCUCGGACAUCUCCCGCACCACCGCGGACGCGGCUUCUCGUAAAUUCAUAUUCGCGCCGUCGUCGCGCCUGUCCGUCGCGUGAUCGACGCAGUACUCCAGCGCCUGCGAGCGCUUGAACACGUCCAGCUUCACCGCGUCCGGCCCGUUCUUCUUCGCGUUGUCGCCGUACCCGUGCGCGACGCACUUUGCGAGAACGAUCACCGCGUCUUCCUUGGCGUCAAACGCCGGGUUGAACGGAUCUCGAACCACCUCCACGACGUCGUCGUAUCCCGCCUUGACGAUGUCUUUGAUCGUCUGCCGCCGCGUGCUCUCGCACUCUACCAGCUUCCGCAGCGUCCCCACCGCGCUCCGCUGCCCGCUCGUCGAGCGCGUGCGCGAGCUGAGGCACGCCAGCGCCGCGCGGUGCCCCUGUGCGGCGGCCACAGCCUCGCACAUCGCGACGUCGCCCUGAGGGUCGAGGGUCCAUCCACACGAGCGAUGAUAUCGGGGUGGAGUUCAAAGGCGUCAGAAGCGGAGUUGAAAGGCGUCGAGGUGUGUCGGGAUUGUGAGCGAGUUGCGGGCGCAGAGACACGCCGGGAAGUAAAGUCCUUAAGGAUCGGCGUUCACGACGCCGACGCGGUCGUAUGGGAACCAGUGUGAAGGAGAACGCGCCUGCGCGAAGCAAUACACGAGUCCCAUCCCCGCGCCCUGCGCGGCGGCGUCCUCGCUCUGCUUCGCGGCCGCGACGCCGGCGAGGAGCGCUCCCGCGUCCAUGAUGGACUGCUUCGUCCCGACCGGGGAGUCUUUCGUCAGGCAGUGGCUCCACAGGUGCCCGAGCGCGGCGGCGCGCGGCAUCGGCACGGGGGGCUUGGCGUUCGCGCGUCCGCCCACCUCGCACAGCACCGCGAGGUCCAUCGACUGCUUGAAGUACUCCGGGGUCAUGUGCGGCGGGCACGGGAGCUCCUUGGGCUCGUUCUCGUCGCCGUCGCCGUCGUCGUCCGCCUUCUUCUUCUUGCCUUUCUUCGCCAUGACGACGGGAGAGGAUGAGGAGGAGGAGGAGGCGCUUCACCCGCUUCUUCUGCGCGCGGCGCGCGGACGAAUCGAUCGACCGAUCCGAGAAAUCCAAAUCGAGAAGCGUCCGCGACCGACGCGCGCUCCGCUCGGGUCCUCCUCUCCCGCGACGGACGUCCGCGCCCGCGGCGGUCGUGUCGUGUCGCGCCGCCCGGCGAACGCGACCGCGACCGUCCCGAGGCGUUUCGCGCUCGAGCGCGCGGUCCGCGCGCCUCGCCGAGUGACGCGUCGUCGAGGGAGGGGGAAAUCGCGACUCGUGACGGGACCGGACGAAGAACGCGAACGUCAGCGUCAUCGUCAUCGUCGCGCCGAGCGCGACGAGUCGCGCCCUCGUGCCCUGCGCGAGGGCGCGAGCCGCGUCGCGCGCGGGUCACAACGCUACACACGCGCGCACGACCAUCAUGAGCCAACAGGCGAGGAUCGACGAGAUGACCAUGCGGAUCGAGGUGCGUCCGCGCGCCCCGCUCGGCGCGGUCCCCGCGCGCGCGAUCGAUCGCCGCGCCCGCUCGCCUCCGCGCGCGUCGAGGGGUCCUUUUUUUGUCCUCGCGCGCGAUCGACCCCUCGAUCGCGCGCGUCCGUCGUCUCUCCCCGUCGCGACGGGACGUCCGCCUGACCGCUUCUUCGCUUCUUUCCCCUCCCCUCGCGUCGCAGAACCCGAACCGCGUGGUCGGGUCGGGGUACAUCCAGUUCCCUCCGCAGCGGCCGUUCGCUGGGCCGCUGUUGACGCAGCCGCCCACGGUGUCGGUGCGCGCGAACGAAUCCUCCUCCCUCGCGAUCCCGCGCGCCGAUCGAUCGUCCGCGUCGCGUCGACGACGCCGGACCCGCGUCGGCCGCGACGCGCGCGCGAGAUCGCCGCCACCGCGCGCCUCGCGCGUCUUAAUUUCGCGUCCGCGCGUCGCGCGCGCGCGUCGACCGCGCGGCGCGCGCGGCGGCGUCCGACGCGCGCGCCGCGCCGCGCCGAUCUCGCGCGCGCGCUGACGCGGCACCGCGCGGACCCCGCCGAGUUUCUUUCGUCUUCCUUCUCGCCGCUUCUUCCCUCUCGAGCUUCUGACCGACGAUCCGUCCCAUAUCGCCCCUCGCCGCGCGCGACGAUCGACGCGCGCCCCUCGCCCGCCGCAGCAAAACGACUACCCGGACGAGUGGAAGAAACCCGCCGCGCCGCCGCCGCAGCGACCGCCGCCGCAGCAGCAGCAGUACCAGCAGCAGCAGUACCAGCAGCAGCAGCAGUACCAGCAGCAGCCGUACCAACAGCAGCCGCCGCAGCAGCAGUACGGACAGUACGGUCAGCAGCAGUCGUACGGAGGGUACGGCCAGCAGCAGGCGCCGCCGGUCAACAACUCGUAUCAGCAGUCGCUGCCGACGCAGUACCAGAACAGGGCGCCGCCGCCGCGGCAACAGCAGGCGGGUGGGCAGCAGCGGGCGAUGCCGCAGCCGGGGGGACGGCCGGGGCAGCGACCGGGCGCGCCCGCGCCGCGCGGCGGUCGCGGCGGCGGACGAGGACAAGGACAAGGACAACGGCCGCCUCCGCCGCAGCAGCAGCAGCAGCAGCAUCAAAACGGGCGUCCGGGCGGCGGCCAGGCGCCCCCGCGGAAGAUGCUCCCGGGCGCCGUCGUGGGGUCGCUGGUGGCGGCGGGGCCCGAGCCGGCGAAGGUGCGUUCUAUACACUGGUCCCCGUACGACCCCGUUCGCGUGGUGAACGCCGAUCCUUAAGGACUUUGCCCGGCGCUUCUCUCCGCCCACCCCUCGGUUUCAAUCCCCGCCAUCGACGCCUUUCAACUCCACCUGACGCCUUUCAACUCCACCCCGACGUUCGCUCUAUGGAACGACCCUAAGCCGCGGACGCCUCCGAUUCGAUCCGCGGCGCCGGCGGCGGCGGCGGCGCCCGCGGCGGGCGGACCGCCGGGGGAUAAGCUGUCCAAGUCCGCGGCGAAGCGCAACCGGAAGAAGUUGCGCGAGGGGGGCGCGGCGGCGUGAUGAUCGCGAUCGACGUGACGACAUCGCCGACGCGCUCUUCGUCGCUUCGUUUCAAGGGUGGAUCGGUUGUUGAGAUUUUUUUUCCAUCUUUCCGUCCGUCCCCGUCCGGUCCGUCGUCGUCCGUCGACCGACCGCCGAGGGCGCUCGAGAGGUCGCCGUCGACGCGUAGCGAUGUCGCGGUGGCUCGAUUGAUUAUGUGAAUGAAGAGGAGAUUCCGUCGAGAACGCGCCUUAUCUCGUCGACGCUCUCCGCCGCUCGUCCCGUUCUAUCAGAUCUGACUCGUCACCUGUGGAGUGUAGUUGUAGUAAGUACGAAAGUAGCUCGCGUUCUGUUCAUACAGUACAACGGCGUCAUCACGCCGUCUCGCUCAUGAACUUGGCACCCCCUCGUCACUCGUCGGCCGCGAGAGGCGCGCACCUCGCGUCGUCUCCGCGCGCGCGCGAGCACGACGCGCGCCGCGCGCCGCGCGCGUUCGAUCGGCCGCGGCGCGAGCGAGAGAGCGACCGGCCCGGCCGCGUCGUUGUUAGUUAGAUCUUACCUUUAGAUCUGAGCGAGCGACCGCGCGAACGAGGACGAAGCCGCGCCGCGAUGCCUCCUCUGUCCGCCGCCGCGGCCGAGGCGGCGAAGAAGCUGAAGGAAGCGCGCGACCGGGCGGAGGCGAACGCGAACCGCGCGCCGGCGAAGCGCCCCAGAAGACAAGCGCCCCGGCGCGCGCGCGGCGGCGACGCGCCCGCGCCCUGGGGCGACGCGGAUUCCUCGGGCUCCGAGGUCGACGGAUUCUACCGCGCCGCGCUCGGAUGGCUCCUCUGGCGUCGCCCCGAGGAGGGCGAGCUCCCGGAGAUACCCACGUCGUUCGCCGACGCGCGCGAGUACGUCCGCGCGUUCGAGCCCGCGCUCGUGGAGGAGACGCGAGAGCAAGUCCGCAAGGAGUGGUUGGAGAGCGUCGCGGAGAAGCGCCAGUAUCAGGCGCGUUCUGGUUACACUGGUCCCCAUACGACCCCGUUCGCGUGGUGAACGCCGAUCCUUAAGGACUUUUGCCGGCGUGUCUCUCCGCCCAGGGUCCCUCGCUUUUAAUCCCGACACGCCUCGGCGCCUUUCAACUUCAACUGACGCCUUUCAACUCCACCCCGACGUUCGCUCGUUGGAACGACCCUCAGACCACGCUUAUCGGGCUGGGGACGAGCGGCGCGUGGCGCGUCGCGACGCUUCGGUGCGCGAACCGUCGCGAAGCGGAAGCCAUAGGCGCGCUCUGCCCGUCCAACUCCGUCGCGGUGCUGUGCGAGCGACGCGUGGAGGAGAGCGAUCCGUGGUCGAGGCACGCGGAGGGGUCGUCGCUGCCGCUCGCGUGCGCGGGGUUCGUCGAGAGCGUCGACGCGAAGGAAAAGGACGGCGACGGCGUCGUCAGGUUUCACUUUUUCAUAAGCGACGAGGCGCACGUGCGGACGGAUUCGAGCUGUCCGAACUGGAGGGAGUGGCACGAGAGGUAUCGACAGCGCGAACGCGACGUCUUGGAGCUGUUCGAGGGCGCGAAGAGGCAGGUCGUGGACGCGAAAGGACGGUCCAUGCACGUGUUCGAACGUCCGCCCGAAAAAGGAGACGACGAGGAAGAAGAGGAUGGCGAGAUCGCCCCCGCGGCCGUCGACGUCGACGGCGCGAAGAGAGAACGCGAGAAGAGCGUUUCCGGCAUCGGAAGAAAGUUCACGCUGUCCCCCGCGGGCAAGCUCCACAGCGCGGUGCAGCGGUUCGAGGCGCUCCAUCACUUCGCGGCGAGGCUGUACGGGCCGAUGCGCGCGGCGAUGCUGUCGCCGCCGCCGGAUCGCAUGCCGAAGACGCGAGACGUGGCGCCGCCGCCGCUCGCGCUCGAAGUGGAGUCCCAGCCUGAGCUCGCGGGGUUUCUGAGGAAGACGUUCAACGCGCCGCAACUCGCGGCGAUCAAGUGGGCGGCGGCGCACACGCUGCGGAAUUACGACGGGGACAACGCGCUGACCGCGACCGACGUCGACGCCGCCGCGGGGCGGGAAUCCGCGUUUCCGUUUACUCUGGUGCAAGGCCCGCCCGGGACGGGGAAGACGCACACGGUGUGGGGCAUGCUGAACAUCAUCCACUUCGUGCUGUACCAGAGGUAUUACCAGAGCUUGCACCGCAAGGUGGAGCUGGACGCCGCGCGCGCGUCUGGGGACCUACGCUUCGCGCGGCAACUUUCGGAGGCAAUCUCAAGAAACGGCGGCGACGCAGGCGACGACGACGACGACGACGACGACACGACCGUCCGCGAGCUCUUCGACUAUCUCGCGCGCGAGACGGGCGUGCAACUCGGCGCCAACCUCGGCGUCCGGAAACCUCGCGUCCUCGUGUGCGCGCCGUCGAACGCGGCGAUCGAUAACCUUCUCGAGCGCGUCGUGAAGAAAGGGUUCAUCCGCGGCGACGGUACCGCGUACCGACCGAACAUCAUUCGCGUCGGCGCCGACGACGCCAUGGGCGCGGACGCCGUGAGCCCACUCUACGCGGGAGAACGCGUCGAGAUGCUGAUUCGCAUGGGCCCGGAGAAGUGGGACGCCGCGUAUCGGAAACAGGCGGCGUUCGUGGAAGCGGCGGGGAAGGACAUCGAGUUCCUCUGCGCCGCGCACAACAAGGCGGCGAGAGUAGCGAGAACCGGCGGCAUCUCCGGCUCGCUUGGCGGGCUCGUGGACGAGGAGGUCAUUCCAGCGGACCCCGCGGAGGCGGCGGCGGCGAAGGACGCGCGCGACGCCGCGGCGACCGCGCGCGUCGUCGAGCUGUGUCGCCUGUACGAGGAACGGAACCGCGGCGUGAUGGACAUGGCGCGAUUCGCGUGCCUUCUCUCGAAGCUCGGGAAGCUGGGCAAUCAGUGGAAGAGGGAGGCGAAGAACAAAGGCAAGAUGGGUCGAAGGCUACGAAACGUGCUCGAGGCGUCGUUCGUGGACGAGGCGGAGAUCGUGUUCACGACGCUCACGAGCGCGAGUCGUCGGGUGUUUCAAAAGCUCACGCACGGGUUCGACACCGUGUUCGUGGACGAAGCCGCGCAGGUGCGUUCGAUGCGCGCGUUUCGUUUCGUUUCGUUUUUCACCCGUCCCUCGGUCUCGGUUUCAAUGCUGUAUCCGAUCGCGUCGAUCCCUUUCGACUGACCGAUGCACUUUUUUCGCGUACCUCUGGAACCGCCCGCAGUCGUCCGAGGUGGAGACGUUGAUUCCGUUUCUUCACGGCGCGCGGCGGUGCGUCCUCGUCGGGGAUCCGCAGCAGCUCCCGUCGACGGUGCUGUCCACGGCGGCGCAGGGGGUGUCGUUUCAACGGUCAUUGUUCGAGCGUUUCACGUCCCUCGGCGCGGAGGCGGUCCUCCUGAGCGUUCAGUACCGCAUGCAUCCGGAGAUUCGCGCGUUUCCGUCGAGAGCGUUUUACGAGGGGCGCCUUCGCGACUCCGAGUCGGUGAUCGCGGCGCCGCCGGAGAGCUAUCACGCGUCGUGGCCGCUGCGGCCGUACGUGCUCUUCGACGCGAGCCAGGGCAAAGAGAAGAGGUCCACGGUCGGGUCGGUCUCGAACCCGUACGAGGCGCUCAUCGUCGUGUCGCUCGUGCGGCGGUUGGAGCGGACGUUGUGGCGAAAAAACGGCGAAACCGUCGACGGCCGCUGCGCGAUAAUCACCCCGUACAAGGCGCAGCGGAGCAAAAUCCGCGACGCGUUCGCGCGCGUGUACGGCGACGAGUCCGCGAUGCAUCGCCUCGGGAUCGUCGUCAGCACCGUGGACGGGUUCCAAGGCCAAGAGGCGGACGUCAUCAUCUUCAGCACCGUCCGCGGCGGCGCCGGCCGCGGCGGCAUCGGGUUUUUACAGGACGUCAAGCGGAUGAACGUCGCGCUGACUCGCGCGAGAAGGUCGCUGUGGAUCGUCGGCAGAGUCGACGCGCUCGAGGGGAACCCGAUGUGGAAGGACUUGGUCGACGACGCGCGCGAGCGAGGGUGCGUCGUCCCGGACUCGGAGCUCGGGGACGUGUUGGAGGUCGCGGGGGAAGACUACGACGGCGGCGGCGGCGGCGGCGGCGGGGGCGGCGGCGGCGCUCGAGGCGAGUGGAUCGGAGGCGACCGCGGCGUGGACGCGCCGCGCGCGUCCGCGACCGCGUACGCGCUGCCCCCUCCGCCGCAUUAGCGUUUUCAUCGCGCGAGUGAGUAGCUUUCGUCGCCGCCGCCGCCCGCGACGCCGUAUCUCGCUGCUCCAGCACAGACACUACGCGGUUCGCGUGUAGUUGUACUCUCGCGCUCGUACGACCAGCCUGAUCUGCAGUGCGACUCGAAAAACCUGCAGCCUCGCCGACUGGCAUUAGAAGGAGUGCGGACGCGGCUCUUCGCGGCGAGAUGGCCGGCGGGGGACGGCCGCAGCGGGAGCGACCGCAGCCCGCGAGGUGCGCGCUCGAUCGCGACGCGCGAUCGAUCGACCCUCGCGCGCGAUCCGCCGCCCCAUUCGUGUCCCUCGAGGCGCUCGGCUUUGUUGUUUUUUUCGUUUUCGAUUUCAGCCUCCUCGACGCGCGCGAUCGUUCGAUCGUCGCGCGGUCCGCCCCCGUCCCGCGCUCGAUCCGAUCCUCACGCGUCCAUCACCCUCCGUCGUCGCCGCCGCGCCGCUCGCCAGGUUCGAAGCGGGACCGGCGCCGCCGCCGUCGGUGCUCGCCGCGCGCGCGAGGGGCGACGCGAGCGCGUCGCACCCCGCGGGGCCCGCCUCGGCGGCCGUCGCCAGCGGCGGACGCGAUGGAGUGACGAAGCGCGCGUCCAAGCCGCCGGAGACGUUCGAGGCCGGCCCCGCGCCGCCGCCGUCGGAGCUCCGCAAGCGCGCGGCGGCGAUCGCCGACGGCGACGCCGCCGCCGGCGGCGGCGGCGGCGCGAAGACCGAGCCGACCGCGCCGGGCGGCGCGGCCGUCGCCGCCGCGACGCGCGGCGCCGACGACGCCGACGCCGACGACGCCGACGACGACGCGACGACGUCCACGCGCGCGCUGAGCGCGGAGCCGUCCGACGCGCACGACGCGGACGACGCGGAGUUCGUGAUGGACGCCACGAUGGAGGACGCCGCGGCGGACGACAUGGAGACGUUCGAGGAGGAGCUCGAGCGCGCGCCUCUCGACGCGGACCUCGUGCGAGCGGAGGUGUCCGCGCUGACGCGAGAGAACGACCUGCCGAUCGGCGACGUGCUGCGAUCGUACGGCGCGCCCGUCGCGGGGUCGAUCGUCGACGGCGGCGGCGGCGGCGACGACGACGAUGACGACGACGACGACGACGACGACGACGAUUACGGCAGCGACGACGGCGACGACGCCACGGACGACGACGACGCGCGGGCGUUCGCGGACGGCGCGGAGGUCGAUCUCGUCGUCGGCGCGCCCGACUCGCGUCGGCAAUCGCUCACGGUGGCUGGGAUGACGCGCCCGCCGCCGCCGGCGCUGCCGCCCGGGCACGAGCCGAUCGUGUACGCUACGCGCGAGGAAGCCAGGGAGGCGGCGCUCGCGGAGGCGCGGAGGAUACACUACGAAGAGGAGGUGCUGGAUCGAUCGUACGACAUCGUGACGCGGCCGCCGCGGACGAAACCGAUGCCGUCGUUCCCGGAGCCCUCGAGGAACAAGACGCACUGGGACCACCUCCUCGAGGAGAUGAAGUGGCUCGCGGGGGAUUUCGUUCGCGAGAGGAAGUUUCGAAUGAAGCUCGCGAAGAAGGCGGCGCACGCGGUCGCGCGGUCGAACCUCGACCUCGAGUCCAGGGUGAUCAAGCGACGACUGGACGAAGCCGCGGCGGCGAGAAAAAAAGCGAGACGCGUCGCGAGCGAGGUGAUGCAGUUCUGGAUCAAGAUCGAGAAAGUCGUCCGGUUCAAAGCCCAGAGCGCGAUCGACUCCAAGCGCAAAGAGGUCAUGGACAAGCACCUGGACUUCAUGAUGCAGCAGACGGAGAGGUACUCCACGAUGCUCGCGACAAAACUCGGCGGCGACGCCGACGCCGACGCCGCGAACGCGAACGCGAACGCGAACGCGAACGCGCCGCCGAAACGCCUUCCGGCGCCGCCGACCAAGGACGCGCCGGACAGCGGCCACAGCGACAGGACCGCGAUCGUCAAAGGAGAGGGAGACGACGACGCGGACGCGGAGGAGUACCGCGCGGACGCGAGCGAGCUCGAGGAAGAGGACGACGAGGCGACGCUGGAGGAGGAAGAGCGGCGAGCACGCGCGGCUGGGGAGGACGAGGACGCCGACGAAGAGAUGGCGGACCUGAAAGCGGAGGCGGAGGUUCCGAUCGAGGAGCUCCUGCGGCGGUACCGCGAGAUGGAGGAGGCGGCCGCGAAGGAAGAGGAGGGCGGCGGCGACGGCGUCAAAGAAGAGAUCGCGGGCGCCGAGGUCAAGUCCGAGAUCGAGCCCGCGACGGAGGCGCCCGAGGACGACGAGGAGGAGGACGACGGCGAGGAGGCCACCUUCGCGGACAUCGUGGACGAUGUCCCCGCGGCGGCGGCUCGACGCUCCAGGCGCGGAGGCGACGACGACGCUCGCGCUCCCGCUCCCGCUCCCGCUCCCGCCGCCGCCGCCGCGACGAACGACGCGGACGCGGACGAAUACGUCGCCCCGGAGGGAGGAUCCGACGACGAGGACGACGAGGCGACGCUGGAGGAGGAGGAGCGGCGGGCGCGCGCGGCGGGGGAAGAGAUGGACCACGACGAGGAGAUGGCGGAUCUGAAAGCGGAGGCGGAGGUUCCGAUCGAGGAGCUCAUGCGACGGUACCAGGAGAUGGAGGCUGCGCACGCCGCGGCGGACGCCGGCGCCGCCGCCGCGGAAGAGGAGGAGGAGGAGGAAGAAGAGGAGGAAGUAGAGGAGGAGGAGGAAGAGGAGGAGGAGGAGGAAGAAGAAGAAGUCGGCGUCGACGCGCUCGGGGACGAAGAGCCGGAGAUGACCGAGGAAGAGAAGGCCGCGUCCGCGGCGCGUCGGUCCGCGCUCGACGCCAUCGCCGGCGACGCCGCGACGCUGCGGCCGCAGGGGAACACGCUCGCAACCGCGGGACAGCUGUGCCGCGUCCCGUUUCUUCUGAAGCACACUCUCCGCGAGUACCAACACGUCGGCCUCAACUGGCUCGUGAGCUGCUACGACAAAGCCCUGAACGGCAUCCUCGCGGACGAGAUGGGGUUGGGGAAGACGAUCCAGACCAUCUCUCUUCUCGCGUACCUCGCGUGCGAGUGCGGGAUCUGGGGCCCGCACCUCAUCGUCGUCCCGACGUCCGUGAUGCUGAAUUGGGAGGUUGAGUUCAAAAAGUGGUGCCCGGCGUUUAAGCUGCUGACGUAUUUCGGCACGGCGAAGGAGCGGAAGCUGAAGAGGCAAGGCUGGAGCAAGCCGAACUCGUUUCACGUGUGCAUCACGACGUACCGCUUGAUCACGCAAGACCAGAAAGUGUUCCGCAGGAAGAAGUGGAAGUACCUCAUCUUGGACGAGGCGCACAUGAUAAAAAACUGGCGGUCGCAGCGGUGGCAGACGCUCCUCAACUUCAACAGCAAGCGAAGACUGCUGAUCACCGGGACGCCGUUACAGAACGACCUCAUGGAGCUCUGGUCUCUGAUGCACUUCCUGAUGCCGCACGUGUUUCAGUCGCACAGCGAGUUUAAGAACUGGUUCUCGCAGCCGCUGACGGGGAUGGUCGAAGGCGGCGAGGGCGUCAGCGCGGAUCUCGUCUCGCGGCUCCACGGCGUGUUGCGACCGUUUUUACUGCGGCGGCUCAAGUCGGAAGUCGAGAAGAACCUCCCGGGGAAGACCGAGCACGUCGUGCACUGCGGUCUCUCUAAGCGUCAACGUCGGCUGUACGAGGAGUACAUGGCGAGCUCGGACACGUCCACGACGUUGUCCUCCGGGAACCUUCUGGGGAUCAUCAACUGUCUGAUGCAGCUUCGAAAGGUGUGCAACCACCCGGAUUUAUUCGCGGGACGACCGAUCGUGUCCGCGUUUGAUAUGCUCCCGGGAGUGACGCUUCGCGUCCCCUCGAUCGUCGCGAACGACGCGCGCGAACGAGAAGAGGACCCGCGCCGCGCGCGCUUCUUCGCCCCGCGCGGGUUACACUUGCUGACGAUCGAGGACCUCAACGCGGGAUCCCCCGCGACGGCGUCGGACCCGCGCGACGUCGAGGAGUGCUUAGCCCUCGGCGGCGCGUACGCGCGCGCGAUGGAACCCCCGGAGAAGCUCGGAAGGACGACCGCCGCCGCGGACGCGGCGGUGCGCUUGUUCGCGGAGGUUCGAGCGGUCAGGGCGAGGGAGGAGCGACGCGCGGUGGCGCGGCGCAUCGCGCUCGCCGCCGCCGCCGCAAUGCGCAGCGUGCCGAUGUACGGCGCGGACCUCCGAGCCGCGGCGACGAUCCCGCAUCCCGCGCACGCGUGCCACGAGAUGGCGGCGACGCACGGCGCCGGGCCGUUUGCCGUCGCGCCCGCGCUGCUGGAGCUCGUCAAGUCUCCCGCGCGAAGAGCGCUCGAGUGCGCCGAUCUCGUCGCGCAGUUUAUGUUUGCCAUUCCGAAAGCGCGAGCGCCGCCGCCGUCGAUGACGUGCGGCGCGCCGUCGGCCUCGAUCAACGCCGCGGUCGCGGAACGCGCGGCGUGGUCGCAGAAGGUGGGCGCGCCCGCGUUGACGCCGUUGCGCGCCGCCGCGGUUCGACAGCAGCUCUUCUUCCCGGACCGAAGGCUCGUGCAGUUCGACUGCGGGAAGCUCCAGGCGUUGGCGCAGCUCCUCCGGACGCUCAAGUCCGGCGGGCACAAGGCGCUCAUCUUCACGCAGAUGACGAAGAUGCUCGACAUCCUCGAGGCGUUCUUAAACUUGUACGGGUACCCGUACUGCCGCCUCGACGGCAGCACGCGACCGGAACAGAGGCAGAUCUUGAUGCAGCGGUACAACACGGACCCGCGUCUCUUCGUCUUCAUCCUCAGCACGCGAUCCGGCGGGUUCGGGAUUAACCUCACCGGCGCGGACACGGUCAUCUUCUACGACUCGGACUGGAACCCCGCGAUGGAUCAGCAGGCGCAGGACCGCGCGCACAGGAUCGGGCAGACGCGCCCGGUGCGGAUUUACAGGAUGGUGUGCAAGGGCACGAUCGAGGAGAACAUCUUGAAGAAGUCGAUGCAAAAGCGCGAGCUCGAUCACUUCGCGAUUCAGGCGGGGAACUUCAACACGGAGCACUUCAGCAAGCUCAACGCGGAGAAGGGGAGGCGCGGCGGCGGCGGAGCGAGCGGCGACGGAGACGACGACGACGGCGCGGGCGCGACCGCCGUCGUCGGCGGCGAGGCUGGGUUCGCGGCGAUGAACAUUUUCGACAAGGCGAUGUCGCGGACGACGGCGCGGCCGGCGGACGCCGGCGGCGGAGAGAAAAAAGGCAACGGCGGCGGCGGCGGCGGCGACGACGACGAGGUCGUGCGUCUCAUGGAAGAAGCCCAGGACGACCAAGACAAGGCGACCGCGGCGCAGCGGAACAACGAGGACAACGACGAGGCGCACGACUUUGACGACGACGUCAAGGAGUCGAACGACCCUGACCGCGACGACGACGAGACGGGUCGAACGCCGAAGGGCGCCAAGCCGGCGAGGUCGGGCGCGAGCGGCGGCGGGGGCGCGAGCGGCGGCGAGGGCGCGAGCGGCGAGCCGCCCGGGACGCCCGCGGCGACGACGUCCGGCGCCGGCGGCGACCUCGCGAUGGAGAAGAUCAACACGAGUUUGGAAGGCGACGACGCGUUCGCGAAGGAGAUGCUCCAGAAGGUGCGGCAGAGCGCGCAAAAGGGGGAAGGCUUCGAAGCGCGGCUCGCGCCCGUGGAGCGGUACGCCGUGCGUUACCUCGAAGAGACGGUCAAGAUCUUGGACGACGUCGACGCCGCCGCGGACGCGAUCGCGGCGUACGAGGAGAAGGAGUGGGAGCUCGAGCAGAUGGAGAAGCAGAAGGCGGCGGCGGAAGCCGCGGGAGAAGACGAGGAGGACCAGCUCGUCAUCGAGGGGUGGGACACGGGCGCCGCGGACGAGGAGUACAGAGCGAAAGUGUCCGCCGCGGAGGCGGAGGCGCAGGCCGCGAUCGAGUGGGAGCGUCAGGAGCAGGAGCGCAUCGAGGCGUACUACGCGUCGUUGGCCGCGCCGCCGCCCGCGCCGGCGCCCGCGCCGCCGGCGGAGGAGGAGGCGGAGGAGGCGGAGCCAAAGGCGGCGCCGUUGAAGGUGAAAUUCACGCUGAGGGCGCGGGAUCCGUUCGACGCGGUGGCCGAGGCGGCGGCGUCCACGGGCAGCGGCGGGACCGGGACCGGAACCGCGCAGCAGCAGCGGCAGCGGCUGCAGCCGCCGAACGCGGACGACGCGGCGAAGGCGGCGGCGAAGAAGGAGAAGAAGGAGAAGCGCAAGCGCGACGACCCCGAGCGCGAGGAGCGUCGUCGGCUACGCAAGCUCGAGAAGGCCUCCGCCGCCACCGCUGCCGCCGCCGCGGGGGGAUGUGGAGGGGGAUCGUCGGGGCCCGGCGCCGGCGCCGCGGGCGUGAUGACCAUCUCCCCCGGCGCCUCCGCGGACCCCUCCAAACCUGCGGCGGCGGCGGCUGUCGCCGCGGCGUCGCGGUCCGUCGCCCACCCGUGGUAGGGAUCCCCUCACUUUCCCGUAUCUUCGUUCGUUUUCGUUACAUAUCAUGGUCUACACGUUCGUUUCCGCCGGUUCCGUCAGAUUGUCGACGCUAUCUCGCGACAUCGUCGCGAUUUACUCUGCCUAUUUCAUCGCUUCGUCUUGCGUUUCUUCUUUGGCUGCGUCAAGGCGAUCUCGUCUUCAUCCCGAGCACCCUCGGCAUCAUCUCCAUCUCCCUCCGCACCGCCCGCGGGCACUGUCGCUGUCGCCGUCGCCGUCGCUGUCGCUGUCGCUGUCCACUCAAACUGCUCCGCGAUCUCCGGCUGGUACUUGGUGAGCGAGUCCUUGAACUUCUGCGCGUUCUCCGGUUGGUUAGCGAUGAUCCACCUGAUGGCGCUGUUCAGGUCCCGGGUCUCCUUCUUGACAGUGCCGGUGCCGGGAUCGGUGUAGAUGAAGUAGGUUCUUGCCUUGUUGCUGCUGGCUGGGCGUCUCAACUCUCUGCUCCAACCCUGGAGCUUCACGAUCAGCGCGCGCACCUCGAGCUUCUCCUCGAGCAGUGGCGCGAAUUGCACUUUGAGCUGUGCAUCGGUGCGGCGAGGGAGGAGCUCCGGCGCAGUGAACUUGCCGUUCUCGACGCAGCCUGUGUGGUACCGUUGCUGGGCGUCUAACACCUCCUGCGUGAGCAGCUUGGUGGUGUCCCGGUCGAUCGUGCCCCCGGGGAAGAUGCACAGCCCUUGCUUGGCGUCGAAGAUGUACCCGUACUCCUCGUACAUGGCGCCGCGCAUCUUGAUGAAAUGCUUGACGGAAUCUUCACCGCCGCAAGCCAAGCCGCCGUGCAGUACCGCGUGUUCGUGUCCCUUGCGAACGAUGCCGAUGAUCACGUUCGCCGCGUUCACGUCGUGCAUCGUGUGCUUGACGUGGUCCGCGUUCCCGGUCUUGUCGCACGUCCGCCGCGGUGGGAAGGGCAAACCCAAGCCAUGAUGCUUUCCGAGCUCUUUCUUUCUUCCCGAACUUUCGCCCGGGGGGAGCAGUGGCUUCGAGAUGAUCCCGAAGAGGUCGGCAGCCGUGAAGUUCAACCCCGUCGCACGCAGAAGUUCGGCUUGCAACUCCUCGAGGCUGAAUCCGCGGAUGACCCCGUCGACGAUGAUCUGGGUGAACGACUCGCCGCGGGAUCGCCACGCGCCCGCGGCACUGCAGAGGUCGUUGUCGGGAAAGAAGACGCCUUUGUGCGGGUACGCGCGGGUUACCGGAAGAGCCGCGGUGUAGAUGAACUCCUUCACGCGGAUGCCGUGCGUGCGGAUGCCGCAGCCGAAGCGCGGCGCGUACUCAGCGUCUUUGAGAGACUUUUCGGUCAUGUCGAGCGUGUACUGGCCUUUCCGCUCUUUCUUCUUCCUCGCCACCGGGAACGCGCCGUGGACGACUGCACCGGUGCCGUCUCUCCAUCUCGGGCGGGCGAGGAUGUUGAUGAACCAGUCCAGCUCGCUAGACGUGAAGUCGCAGAACGCGAGGGAGAAAAUUCCUUCACCCAGCGACCCGUCGCCGGCGACUGUCGCGUCCAUCCACGACGGCGUGGCGGUAAGCGCGAGCGGGAACAGCGGGUCGUCCUCGAGGUCCUUGGGGAGGAUGACCUUUUUGCCGCGACGAUUCGUGUAGAACUUCUCCUGGAGCUUCUUGUCGCCGACGGGCGUGGUCGUGAUGGCGUACUUCCAAGACUUUGCUCCGUUCGAACACGUGGCUUCGAAUUUCUCGAUGAAGUCGGACUCCAUCUCGGCGCCAGGUCUGGGUACGGUCUUCCACUGCACGUUGUGGAGGUUGGCGCGUUGAAGAUCGGCGUAAUCGCGAUUUGUCGUCUGAAGCGUAAAGCGGCCAGAUUUAGCAUCGAAGGAUGCGUCGCUGCACAUCGCGCCGAACCAGUGCCCGAGCUCGUCCAUGGUGUCGAUUUCGUACUGUUCGACGAUGAGCUCGAGCGUCUCGUUGCCCUGCGCGAGCGCGCCGGCGGAGAACCAGAACGGCAGCGGCCAGUCGUGCUCGAGGUACGCCUUCGCGACGCCGCGCCACGGCGCGUCGAUCUUGUCGACGCGGGCGCGCUCCUCGGGCGUGAGUAUGCGUCUCUUCAGUUCUGCGGGCUUGGGAACCGAUCGGGAGGCUUCAUCCUUGGCCUCGUCAGCCGCGCGUUUCUUCGCGGCGGCGACCAUCGCGUCGUGCUCUGCUUUGAUGUCUCUGACGCACUCGUCAUCGGACAGCGGGUCCGCUUCGAACGCCGCGCGCAGUUCGUCGAUGGUUUCGUAUCUCAGCUUGAACGCCUCCUGCUCCUCGGCAUCUCGCGCGGCAUUCGCCGCGCGAGAUGCCGCGGCGGCAGCAUCGUCACGCCUGCGUUCAUCGGGGGAUUUACGCUUCUGCCGAGCCACCUUGCCCGCGUCGUAGUUGCGAGUUUCGACGCUGUGCAUGUCCUGAACCACCGAGUGGGCACCGCGCGUCACUGCCUUUCUCGCCGCGGACGGCGUCCUCGCUACGGACGGCCGCGGCGUCGCGGACGUCAUCGGCGCCGCGGGUGUGACGACGAGCGCGGACGGCUGCAGUCGCGGCGACGAUCUCCGCGGCAGAGGAGGAAGCUCGCUCAGCGACUCGACCGCGAGGCGCCUCUUCGCGGGCGGAGGAGGCGCGGAGUCGUCGCGACCGACGUCACCGUCGCGUAGGCGGGUCAAGGCGGCGUUGAACGCGGGAGUCAUGUACUCUACCGGGUCCGCGUCGAAACCAGCGCCUCCGCCUCCGCCGCGACCCCCCGAUCGCGUGCGCGAGGAGACGGGCUGCUGCGCGACCGCGCGCGUCGCCGCAGGCGUCGCCGCGGGCGUCGCCGCGGGCGUCGCCGACGUAGACGUCUGCGUUCUCGUCGACGCGCGGAGGAUGUACCGGGGCGUCGGCGCAGGCGUCGGCGCGGGCGUCGGCGCGAGCGUCGGCGCGGGCGUCGCCGACGUCGACGUCGGAGUUCUCUUCGGCGCGCGGAGGAUGCACGGGGACGGCUUGACAGCCGUCGCCUUCUGAGCUCGGCUCGAGCCCAUGCGCGUGAAGUCACGAGCGGCGUUCAUCGCGGUGUCACGGAGCGCCGCUCCGAGACGUCGACUGAGACGACCGGCUGCUCGAGCGGCCGCCAUCGCGCGUCGGGAGAUGCCAGCUGUGCGAACUCGAACUCGGGUGCCUAACUUUCACCGCGGGCGGGCUCCUGCCUGUCCGCGCCGUCCACACCGUCCACGCCGUCCACGGGCAGGUGCUAAUGGAAGCUCACGAACGUCCGCGAGGUGCGCGUCUUCGUCGUGCACGUCGCCGCGACGCGCGCGCGGUCGUCCCUUGUCGCGGAGCGAGGAUCUGAGAGAGGACGAACGCAGGAGGAAAAACUUUCUCAAGUUCCGGACUCGCGGAAGGCUCCGGACUGCGCCCGUCGCGAGCCCACGCGAGCGGUUAAAAACGCCUGAAACGUGUCGCGGGACCGAAACACGUCGCGCAGAAAUCGAAACACGCGCGAGCGAGGGCGAUGUGGAUGUUCCCGAGCGAGCCCGGAGUCGGCCGUGCGUCGUCGCGCCCGAACCAUCGGCAUCUCGCGAAAAGUGCGCUGCCGCGAGAGAUGCGAUUGCUCAUUUUCCGCGAGCGAGGGAACGAACCGGACACGAGCGCGCGCGUGUCGAGCGAAACGCGCUCUGAAGCCGUGUGCGCACCUUCGGAGUCCCAGUCUUCGCUGCCUUGAGAAUCUCUACUCAGCGCGUGCGGUGGGGUGGCGCGCGCGGAGUGCUGAUGGACGCUCGCGUGAGACGGCUCAGAAAGCGUUUCCCUGCCGUGUCGGUCCGAAAAUCACGAGAUCGCGAGCGACAGCUGUCAGUCAGGUCGACCGAAACUUCCCUGUCUCCUUCCCUGAAUCGUCGCACCGGUUGCGUCGCCCUCGGGAUCGACUGGGCCCAGAACUUCGAUCAUCAGUCUGUUCCGUCUGCAUCACUCAAAUUACACCGUUCCACCUCUUAUCUACCGCGUCGGGCUCCCCACGUCUUAUAUCGCUCGCGUUAUGACUUGACAAACUACUCGGGCGUGUGCGUGUCUGAUUGUUUUUUUGUGCGGGUGACUCUAACAAGUGGAAAGGCGGCGAGGACGUCGUCCUCUGCGCGCUCGUGAACGAAUUCGGCGGCGGCGCGUGGAACGUCGCGUCCUCCGCGCUGUCCGCCGCGCGGUCGAUCGAUAACGUCCACCGCGCGCCGAUCGCGUGCAAGGAUCGGUUCAGGAGGCUCCUCGCGACGCACGGCAGGGCGCUGGGCGGGGUGGACGCCGGCGGCGUGGGGGCGGCUCCCGGGACGUUACGCGUGACGCCGGAGCUGACGCGCGCGCUGUUGAGGAAAGUCGCGCGCGAAUCGUUGGGACCGGGACCGGGACCGGGCCCCGGCCCCGGCCCCGGCCCCGAGGGCGCGGCGGCGUCCGAGGAGGAGCCGCCGGCGACGCCGCCCGCGGUGGUUCGGUUGCGGGGCGCGGUGCAAGCCGUGCGCGCGCGCGCGGGCCCGGGCGGGGCGAUGACCGCGGAGCUCACGAGCGAGGUGGUGGCCGAGAUUCGAGCGCUGUUCGAAGCGACGGGCGGCGCGUGAUGGAUCGAUCGAUGGAUCGAUCGCGCGCGCGUCGGGGGAACGACGCGGCGCGCUCGCGGGAGAGGACGAGAGGGGGAGGGAGCGUCUUCUGUAUUUUAGCGAACCGAGAUAAUACACCGUAUUUGAUGACGAGAAAAACGCAUCGGCCGACGAAUGCGAUACGACGGGUCCGUCCGCGUCCUAUCCGCGGCGGUCCCCUCAGGUCACACCUCGGCGCCCGGCGGCUCGGAACCGCUCGGAACCUCCGCUCGCGCGCCGCCCGCGCGCGCUCGCGGGACCCGUCGUCGCGCCGAGCAGAGCCUUCGCCGCGCGCGCGUCCUCUCGAGCGCCCGCCGCGUCCGCGAUACGCCGCGCGUCGUCGAGCGGCGAGCGCGCGCGCGACCGCGUCGAUACGACAUCGCAUCGUCGGACGCGUCCCGGACGCGCACAUCAGAUCGAUCGAGAUCGAUCGUUCGCCGCGGUCUUCGCGUCCGCCGCCAUAGCGCCGCGGCGAUCGCACCCGCAAGGGGGGGCGGACACGUCCCCCGGGUCGCUCUCCCCCGUCGCGAGGCUCCUCCACGUCGCCUCGACCGCUGGAGCCGGCUUCGAUCCAGCUGGCAACAUGGCGGCAGCGAACACCGCGCACAGCGUCGGCAUGAUCGCGGCGUGGUAUUUUUCAAACAUCGGCGUGAUCCUCCUGAACAAGUACCUCCUCUCCGUGUACGGGUUCCGUUUCCCGGUGUUCUUGACCACGUGCCACAUGGCGAUGUGCGCGCUGCUCUCGCUCAUCGUCCGCGCGUCCGGGAUCGCGCCGAGGCAGAGCGUGAAGAACCGAGCGCACCUUCGAAAGAUCGGCGUGCUGGGGGUCAUCUUCGUCGCCUCAGUCGUCGCGGGCAACGUCUCCCUGCAGCACAUCCCGGUGUCGUUCAACCAGGCGAUCGGCGCGACGACGCCCUUCUUCACCGCGGUGUUAUCGCUGUGCAUCAUGCGACAGAAGGAGACGAUGCAGGUGUACGCGACGCUGGUGCCGAUCGUGUUGGGCAUCGUCGUCGCGUCACGCGCCGAGCCGCUGUUUCAUCUCUUCGGGUUUCUCGCGUGCGUCACCGCGACCUUCUGUCGCGCGCUCAAGUCCGUGAUCCAGGGGAUGCUGCUGUCGAACGAGAGCGAGCGGAUGGAUUCCAUCAACUUGCUGCUGUACAUGUCGCCGAUCGCGCUGUCCGUGUUGUCCGUGGCGUCCACGGUGAUGGAACCCGAAGCCUUCGGCGUGUUUUACGACAACUGCGCGGAAUCGCCGCGGUUCUUCUUCAUCAUCACCCUGAACUGCGUCCUCGCGUUCAGCGUCAACCUGACCAACUUCCUCGUCACGAAGUGCACGUCCCCGCUGACGUUGCAGGUGCUCGGGAACGCGAAGGGCGCGGUGGCGGUCGUCGUGUCCAUCUUGUUGUUUAAGAAUCCCGUCAGCGUCGUCGGCAUGUUCGGGUACGCGGUCACCAUCGUCGGCGUCGCGUGGUACAGCAGCGCGAAGAAGAAGGCGCCGGGGGACCGACGCGGGAAGCGGGAGGGCGUCGGGAAUUCGGCGCUGGGGGGUGGGAGGAUGAGCGAGAAGGUGUGAUGGAGGACGCGCGAACGAGCCCGGCCCCUUUUAAACAAAAAACCUAGGUUAGCGGAGGACGAUUUAUUUUCGAGCGAAGAAACUUCAACUUCAUUCGAACGAUCGUUCGCCGCCCGCGCGCACGUCGCGACGUUCGUUCUCGCGUUACGUGCUGCAUUACAUUCUUCGUCUCUAGCGCCGCGCUCGACGUGUGAUCGGUCGGUCAUCGAGGCGCGUCGAUCGAAACUCGAUGCUUAAAACGCGCCUCGUCCUCCCCCCGGGUACAACCCUGCCUCGCCCGGCAUCCGCUCGUUCUCCUUCCCCGACGCCCACUUGAUGUAAUCCGGGCUCUCGCACGCGGCGUACUCCUCCGCGAGCCCCUCCACGACCUCGCGCGCGUCGUCGAACUCCUCUAACCCGUCCGCGAAGAUCGCGUGUUGCUCGUAUUGGUCCAGAAACGCCUUGCGACGCAUCAGCUUAUCGUACUGCGUCAGACACUUCGUGAAGAGGUGCCUGAUCGACGUGUGGUUCGCGAGCAUCAGCCCGCUGACGCGGUGCGCGGUCUGGACGUACGGCGAUUUCCGAGACAGCGCGACCUGGAUCGACGCGGGCCCCCACUCGAUGAAGUUGGCGAGCUUGCGCUCUCGGAUCCUCUGCAGAGACUUGUGCACUUGCGUCGGGUCCACGUCCCCUUGGAUGAUGUUCAAGAUGGAGAUGUACUUGGACUGCGAGAAGUCCUUCCCUCGAGAGUGCGACGACACCAUGAUGUUCUUCGUCUGCAGCAGCCGUCGCAUGACGUCGAGCACGGUCGUCUUUCGCACCGCCGGCUGCGCGUUCGUCUCCGUCAGCGUCAACGGCGUGUACCCCGUCAUCAAAAAGUGGCACCGCGGCGUCGGGAUCAAGCUCGCGACCAAGCCGACGAGGUCGUUGUUCAUGUACCCCGGGUACCGCAGCGUCGUCGUGGACGCCGCCAUGACCGUGGAGACGAGCGAGUUGGUCUGCGCGAACGUCGGGUUUUGAAUGUGCAGUCGAUCCACCGCGAUACGGUUCAGCGCGGUGUUAUCCAACACCACGACGCAAUCCGCGUUCAGCGUGAGGCGCUUCAGCGUCAGCAGCGAGUUGUACGGUUGCACGACGACGUCCGAGGUCUCGUGCUGGUUCGGGAACACGGAGUACGUCUGCACGAGCUUCUUCCCGUAGCGAUCGUUGAGCGCUUCCAGGAGGUACGAUCCCAUCCCCGAGCCGGUGCCGCCCGCGAUGGAGUGGCACAACACGAACCCCUCCAGGGAGUCCGACCCGUCCGCCUCGCGGUCGAUCAUGUCCAUGAUCUCCUCCUGCACCGCCUCGGCCUGGGAGUAACCGGACGCCCAGUUAUUCCCGGCGCCGCCGCCGUGCGAGGAGAUGAAGACGUUCUCCGCGUUGUACAAGUUUCUGUGGUCGCUGUUUUGAAUCGCGUUGAUGACCCUCGGCUCGAGGUCGAGCAGGAGCGCCCUCGGGACGUAGUGCUCGUCGUCGGCUUGGUAGAAGAAGACAUCCUUGCGAUCGCCCGCCUGGUUGUUCGCGGCGUACUCCUCGAGGAUGCCGUCCUUGCCGAUCCCGUGCUCCGCGCAGAGCUGCUUCCAAAACUCCGUGCCGAUCUGGUUGCCGCACUGCCCCACUUGGAGCGUGAUGACCUCGCGAGGCAUGGCGCGCGAUGAUCUCUCUCGCGGUCGUCCCUCCUAUAGCGUUCUUCUCCUCCUCCUGCGACGCGGACGCCGCCCGCCCGCCUCCUCGAGCCGCGCCCCCCGCCGCGACGAAAGCGCGCGCGUCUCCUUCCGAUGAGCCGACCGCUCGCGCGCCUCGUUCGUCGCGCUUCUUUUCCCGCCCCUCCUGCGCUGUUGCGUGGAGAGAGCGCGCGACGAGAUGCCGAGAUGCGGGGAGGAGCCGAGAUGCGGCGCGCGAACCGCGUGCGCGCGUCGCGUCGCCGAGGACGUGCGCGCGAUGCGCGCGACGGACGCGCGGCGCGAGACGGUGGCGUGCGGCGCGGUCUCGUCCGCGCGCCUCGGCGUGUGCGGACCCCGGGGGAUGUCAAGUCGAUUUUGAACUUCUGUUCGAGAAGAACGAUGGAGGCAAAAAGAAGAGCAGGUUAUGGGCACGACGACGCGACCGCCACUCACCGCGCACGGGAGUUCACACACACACUCACACACACGGCGAGGAUGGCGACGGCGUCGCUCGGUCGCCCGCGGCGAUCGGUCUUCUCCCUCUCGCUCCUCUUCCUCCUCGUCGCGCUGACGUCGUCGCUCCCGCGAGCGACGCGCGCGGACGACGAGUGGGACUCCGACGACGCCUCCGCGUCCGCGUCGCUCGACGACGACCUCGCUCCGAGCGAGGACGUCCCGCUGCAUCGGUUCGAGAUCGAGGUCGUGACGACCGGGAAGGCGUCCGGGAAGGAGAAGCGCGUGGACAAGCCCGCGUUCUUCUUGCGCGGGGACGACGCGAGCGCGGCCGCGGCGAGGUUCGUGUACCUUCACGCGCUUCCCUUGGAACACGUCGCGCACUUCGCGGAGGUGUUUCGAUCGGAGUGGGAAGGGAACGUCCCGGACGAUCGGAAACCGCGCGUCCGCGCGUCGAGGUCGAAGCCUCCGGGACCCGCGGCGCUGCUGGCGCGCGGGAAAGCGGCCGCGGAAGAGAAGGACCACGAGAGCGCGUACGUCGACUACGUCCGCGCGAUCGUCGGCGAGGGCGUGGACGCGGAAGAUCCCGCGCGCAUCGCGCUCGACGGCGAUGAGAUGGACGAAGCGAAAGAGCUGUUGCGGGCGCAUCACGCGUUGCACUCCCGCGCGCUCGUCGCCGCGGACAAGACGCGAGAGCAGCGCGCGGUCGCGCACGAGCGCGAGGUUGACGUCUUGCGCGCGAGACGCGCGCGCAGGGACCGCGAGAGGGAGGAUCUGGAGGACCUCGUGACGAUGCUGGGAUCGGAAUUGGAAUCGUCAGAAUCGUCGGCGUCGCCGUUCGACGCCGCGACGCGCGACGCCGUCGUGCGAUCGAUCGAAGCCGGAGACUGGGACGCCGUGAUCGCGGCCGUCUCCGCAGCGGACGCCGCCGCCGCGCGCGCGGGCCACCCAGUGGACGCGCUGCGCAAGGCGACCCUCGCGUACGCGCACUACGCGACGGGAGCGUCGACGGGUACGUUCUAUACACUGGUUCCCAUACGACCCCGUUCGCGUGGUGAACGCCGAUCCUUAAGGACUUUGCCCGUCGUCUCUCUCCGCCCAGGGUCCCUCGCUUUCAAUCCCCGACACACCUCGACGCCUUUCAACUCCAACUGACGCCUUUCAACUCCACCCCGACGUCGCUUCGUAUGGAACGACGCUCAGCCGCGGAGCGCGCGGCGGAUCGAUCGAUAGCCGCGGGGAAGACGCACGGCGACUGGCGCCGCGGGCAGACGCGCGCGCUCGCGGCGCGCGUCGGCGCGAACGCGGCGAUCAGGCGCGGCGACGUCGAGACCGCGCUGCGGUUCGUCGCGCUGCCGGUUCGCGCCGACCCCGACGGCGCGAUGUUCAAAGGCGCGUACGAGGCGCUGAGGGGCGUCCAGAAGGAGUUGCGAGACGCGGACGCGAAGCUCGACCGCGGCGAGUCGAGGCUGGCGCUGGACGCGGUGGAGCGCGCGUCCGCGACGAUCCGCGGGCUCGGGGUGCGAGACGGCGUCGGAAACGUCUUCGCGGACGUGGAGAGCCGCCGGUGCGUCGCGCACGCGCAGAUGCGAGCGUUCGAUCUCGCGCUCGCGGCGUGCGAGAAGGCGUUCGCCGCCGUCGGCUGCGGCGCCGGCGCCGCGUCGCCGGAAGCGGCGAAGCCGGAGGACUCCCGAGAGACGCGGCGGUCGUGCGACGAUGCGGACGCGAGGGCGCGCGCGAGGGCGCACGUCGCGCGCGCGGAGGUGCACUCGCGGGAUAAGUACCCGGAGGGUGCGCUCGCGGAUCUUCACGCCGCGGAGGAGCUGCUGGCCCCGGACGCGCGCAGAGGGUCGACGGACGCGGCGAAGGCGCUGAGGGACGUCGGGGAGAAGCUCGCCGCCGCGAACCGCGCGAAGCACGAGCACGAUAACUCGCGGGAUCACUCGAAGAUGCUGGACUUGCCGGAGAACUUGCACGAGCUCGAGAAAGAGCGCCGGUGCGAGUUCGUGAAGAAGGCGUACAAGCGAGCGGCUUUGAAGUGGCACCCGGAUAAGGCGACGGAGGCGGGGAAGUCGAGGGCGGCGCGGAAGAUGAACGAGAUGACGGAAGCGAGGGAUCACGUGAACAAACGGUUAGGGUGCGUCGCGCCGAAGCGCGACCCCGCGGAGGAGGCGCACAGGGCGGCGCAGCAGCAGUGGCAGCAGCAGCAGCGCGCGCGGCACUUUCAGCAGUUCCAGCAGCGCGGCCGACGGACGCACUUUGAGUUUUGAGCGCGGCGUCGCGAACGCGCGCAUCUUUACGGCGAUUUUUUUUCUCUCACUUCUUCACAGUCUCUUUCGUCGUAUGUACAUCGUCUCACCCUGUUCAUCAUCUCUUUCGUCUUAUGUACAUCGUCUCACUCCGUUCAUCAUCUCUUUCGUCGUACUGUAACCUGUAGUACGUCGUCUCACUCCGUUCAUCAUCUCAUUCGUAUUUAAUUCUCCCACUCGUUCGACUCGUGGUUCGCGCACAUGCAGUUCACGCUCGUCCAGAUGCUUCGCUGGUAGUUGCCGUCGACUUUGCUGAUGUGCGCGUCGCUGCCGCACGCGCCGCCGCCGCGAGCCUCGGGCGCGACCUUGAGCGUCCACGUGACGUCCUCGUAGUUCGGAUACGCCUUACGGCUGGACGACGUUCCGGACAUGAUGCACCCGGCGGGAGCGACUUUAAACGCGCCGAGAUUAGUCCAGUCAGAGGCCUGAUCGAACCCGCCUUGGUACCUGGGCGGCGCGUUCUUGCCCACGAUGUCGACGCCCGCGUGUAUCGCGGCGCGCAGACACAUCUCCUGCGUCGUGAUGGUGCUGAAUCCGUGAGCUUCGCACGUCAUCGUGUCGAUCUUCACGAAAGGUUGCUCGGCCUCGAGCGACGGCCGCGCCGGCGGCGCCGGCAUCGCCGGCGGCAGAUGCGGCGCGCCGACGACAAAGUUGCCGUUCGCCUGCCCUCUCGAGGUCGAGUCCACGUGCGGCCAGUCCUCCUUCGACUUGAACUCGUGUCGAAUCGCGGGGAGAACGGUGAUCGGCUGCAUGAUGACGGAAUUCUUUUCGAUGACUUCCACGGUGCCGCCUUCCCACCCGCCGCCGGUCCAGUGAUCCACGAGCGUGAUGGAAUGCAACCCGGGUUGGAGGCACAUCUUCUGUUCGUACGUCGUGUCCGGACCGUAAAACGGCAGCGAGUCCACGCCCGCGGGGAGGAUCGCGCCGGGGGCGAUGUGAUCGGAGUGGUGCGUCUUGUCGGGCGUGUCGUCCACGUACCAGUACAUGUUUUUCGCCGCGUGGUAGUUGGUCGUCUUCGUCUUCACGACGACGUCGACGCAACCGGACGACUCCGCGGUCGGCGGCGCCACCGGCGCGGGCGGCGCCGCGUCCGGGGGAGCGCUCGCGUCCUUGCAGACGCACUCGAUGUCCGUUUUUAUCGUGUCUUCGAUGCCCGCGCCUCCGCACUCCGUGAUGUUGCCUCGCUGGUCUUCCGUGACGUGAAUCGAGUACUUCCACCCGUUUGGCUGCGGAAACACCGUUCCGUAUCCGACGCAACCCGCGGGCUUGUCCUUGAACAUCGGAGGAUCGAAGUCGAUCCAGCCUCGGCCGUUGUACAGGUCCAUGCCCACGGACUUGGCGCCGAGGACGCACUCUUCCUUGUCGGUGACGAUCGAGUACCCGUUGGAUUCGCACGUCCCUUUGGUGACUUUGAAAAACUUCUUCGACGGCGUCGGCGGCGCCGCGGGCGGGGGCGGCGACGGGGGAUCCGGGCCCGCGACGUGUCCGGGGGUGAACACGUCGUUCACGUCGAUCUGGACGUCGUAGCAUCCGCCGUUGUGAAGAAUCAGAUUCUCGGACGGGUGCGUCAUCGACUCGUACCCGGGCUUGAGAGUCGAGCCGUAUUUUUCGUCGCUGUUCUCGAGGCCUAGCUUGUCGACGCCGCGCUGGAUCCAAAACUCGCCUCUGCCGCUCGCGCCCCACGUGCCCCACGAGUUCAAGCACUUCCAGUACUUCAUCCCGGACGGCGUCGUGCCCCAGCCGUAGCACGCGAUGGCGUGCGAUCCCGCCUUAUCCUCCGGGUUGUUCGGAACGUCCACGAAGACGCCCUCGUCCGUCCAACCGUCGCCGCCGUAAUCGGUGAACGACUUCGGGACCGAGAUGGAGCAUCCGAGCGCGCCGUAUUGCUUCAUCGCGCGCAUGAUGUUGUCCUCGCCUCGGAAGUUUCGCACGGCUUUGCCUUCGGUGUCUCCGGUGGAGAACCACGUGUCUCCGAGCUCGUGUUGAAUCGCUUUCACGACCCUGCGCGUGUGACCCUUCGCCGCGGCGUCGGGGUGGCACUCGGCGCGACACACCGGAUCGCGAACUUGGAUGCCCUUCGCGCGAAUGCACGCCGGGCAGCCUCCGAUGUCGCCCGCGGUGUACGGAUCGCACGCCUCGGUCGGGACGCCGUAAUACAUCGGGAACUCGAAGAUCCGCGUCGAAGAUCCGCAGCAGC
RNAcentral lists this long non-coding RNA (136675 nucleotides) under Micromonas pusilla. Its description in RNAcentral is "long non-coding RNA (MPUS_LNC000097)". Lineage: Eukaryota; Viridiplantae; Chlorophyta; Mamiellophyceae; Mamiellales; Mamiellaceae. The record is from RNAcentral.